UGAACUUGGCCAUUUUGGAGAAUAUAUAUUCCAUUUCCCACUAAGGCUGUGGGUGGUAAUGUUUUUCACAGGGUUAGUAGCCUCACAAACUGUCGUUGAUUUCUUCGAACAUGGCAGAAAGAAGAGGAGCUUAAGUUCCUUCGGUCGGAGCUGGAUAGCUUUGGGAAGGAAGAUUUACUUCCUCUUCUAGAAGGGAACGAGCACGCAGUCAUGGACGACGAAGUUUUCAAAAUGAGGCAUGCACGAAACUUCACCUGGAACAUUACACUACUGUCGAUCUUGCCACGGAACUUGCAAAUCCCCUCUCGAACUUGUUUUCCCGGUGCCACUUAAGGAGCUCUUGGAACAAAUCCGGGAAUGGCCCCGUUGCGUUCCUAUCUCCGGAAUAUCCUCCUUCAGGCAUAUGCCCAGAGGGGGUCUUCGACAGGAUGCCGUCCAAGGACGUGGUCGCGUGGACGGCUAUGGUGAAUGCCUACGCCGAGAACGGCGUUGUGGACCUCGUGCAAUGUAUGUUCGAGAAUAGGCCCGUGAGGAACGUGGUGUCGUGGAACUCCAUGCGUUUUGCAUAUACCCAGAGCGGGUAUUGCAAUCAAGACAUGGAGCUCCUUCAAAUCAUGCCUGCUCACAACGAGUGCACGUGGAAUGUUAUGAUUCCUUGCUACGCUCUCAGUGGAAACACGGGCAAGGCUAUUGUUGUAUUCCAGAGCGUAGGCGCAAGAAUGCUAGCUGCCUAGAACGCUCUAAUCUCGGCAUUUGCCCAGGCUGGGGAUUUCUCCAUGGUGAAAGAUCCCUUUGACGCAAUGCCUGCUCCCAAUAUUGUGUCGUGGAAGAAGCUCGAUUUAAGCUCAAUCACCUGGAGCGUGAUGCUUCAAGCAUUUGCAGGGUUUGGGCAUGUACAAGAUGGCGAGAGUUUGUUUCAGAUCAUGCGAGAAACCUCACUCGGCGAUCCCAGUUGCUUGUCAGCCUGGACCAACAUGAUUGUUUUAUAAGAUUGACAGAGCUCGAGCAGUGUUUGAUGCUUUGGCGUGCCUGGACAAGGUCUCCUGGAACACCAUGCUCGCUCACCUGACGUCCACCACUGCAAAUAUUUCUUUGAGCAAAUGCCCGGCCACAACCUGGUGUCUUACAACACUGUCUUGUCCUCGGUGGUCAGCUGCAGAUUAUCCGAGAAAGCAGUGAAAAUCUUCGUCGAAAUGCCAGAGAUAACAUACAGUGUGAUGAUGCAAGCUUAUGCACAGGAAGGCCAGCUUGCGAGUGCCAGGAGACAAUGCCGGAUCGCAACUCAGUGGCUCUCAUCACCGUGAUCUUGGCACUCGCACAGCCCAAUCCCCAAGAACAGCCUUUGAGCGGUUUGAGGCCUGGAGCUCGAUCAUCCCGGCCUAUGUGCAGAACGGACGCGUGACUGGAUCGCUUUCGAGAGAUGAUCUUGCUGUCUUUCAAGCCAGACGAGACCAUCUUCACGACAAAUCUAGCAGCGGCAGCGAGCCAGCUCGAGCAGUGUUGCCGAGAUUUUUUGUCCAUGAUCGCAGACUUUGGGAUCUCUCCCAGGAUCGAGCACGCAAUGGGGCGACCUGGUCAGUUGGAGCAAUCCAUGCCAUUUGUUCCACAGCCGGGCUUGUGGAUGAUUCUUCUGGGCUCGAAAUGCAAAGGUUGUGGAAAUGUCGGCUGGAAAAUCGGGAUAAUGCCAGGUUGACAACCAACAAUCCUAGUCAUCCCGGAGAUGCGGGUGUUGUGCCAUGUAAGCUGAAAACCUAUCCCACCAGCCAAGGCGCAGUAGAGGAACACUGGUAUAAAAGAAAUGGAGGAGGAGGUAUGGUUAAUCCGGGAGAGCCCGAAAGGGCGCUUGCAUCCCUCGGGUUGCUUAGUAAAUGGGGUCGCUGACCCUUGACCACUUGGCCCCCCUCGUCGGUGACCCAGUAGUGCUAAGUCGGUAUGGUCAACUCCACCGUGACCUACCGGAUAGCGCUUGGUACCCAGGGCGCCCAAGGAGGCCCGAUAUCUUUUGCAAACAUUUCUUUGAUCUUCCUUUCUGGAAUUUCUUGGUGCGCCAGGCCUUGAAGUAAAUUUUUUCACUCAUUUGGGAGGAAACGAAUGUUUGCGGCACCAGGCGGUUCUCAAUUUCACAAGACCAUCAAAGCUCAACCUAAUGCGUUAUGUCGAUGAUGCUUCUCUCUCUUUCUUUUUCCCGAACAAGCAAGGAUGGCACUUUCAAGUGCCUGAGAAAGGAUAGAGAAUUGUGCUCCAAACACGUUACACUUCUUUGCAAGUCGGGUAGGUGUUACUGAUUGUGAAGAAAGGUCUCCAAGCUAAAGAGGCUUGAGGAGGGAUGCCUUCUACAAGAACAAUAGCAUCGAUGAGGCUAACAAAGAGCUUUCCACAGAUAGAAUAAAUAAUGACUCCAGAAGCUUAUGGAUAAAUAAACCACCAUAAACCAUUUCCUUUCGAAAUAUAAAGGUGAAAAAAAAAGUAUCCCUUCCCAAAUCCAAAAGCUAUCAGCUCAGACCCAAGAAAUUCUUCUUUCUUGCGAAGUGCUCGAUCUCAUCAACUUCUCCCCGAUUUUGCGGAAUGCAAGGCAAAUUUUCGUGGGAGCUUUAUCCAGCGAAUUGAUUACCAGGUCCCAUGAGCGAAAGCUGGUGGAAGAAACCCUUGCUGGACGACUUGGACUGGUGGGGAGAGAAUCAGAUUGGACGCAUGAUGCUCGAUGGAUGGCGAGGAGAUUAAGUCCUGGAAGCAGAGAGUUGACGCCAGCUCAGUGAAAGCUGGGAAAAAUCCAGGGACAGAAGCGAGUGAAAUUCCGCUUCUAAUCGCUUCGAAACUCUGGUUGAAUCCACGAAUUUCUGGCUCCUCGCUCCUGAGCUCUUCAAAUCGGUCGAGAGCAUAAAACAGAUUUAAAAAUAUUUCAGUAAACCGGUUAAGUUGCUGAAAACCUUUAUCUUAAAGAUGGUGAAACAAUAUUUGGCGAAAAACGUAGUAUAUUCGUUUGUUUCGUAUAGGGUUUGUGAUUGUAAAAGGGAGACGGGAAGAACUUCUCACGAGCAGAGCAGAUCGGAGAUGGUGGCGGUGAACGUUGAGCGGUAUGUUGAGCUCAAGCGCAUGAUCGACGACUUGGCGAUCGAGGCUGGUAACAAUAGGAGCAUCCGGGUGAAACAAUACGAUAGCUUCGACUUCGCGGACUAUGAUCACUGGGCCGAGACCAACAACAAGAGGGCGCUCAGGCCGGACUGCCAUUUCAUGGAGGACGAGGUGGCGUUGGAUCCUCCCCAUGCCGACCGGAUCACGCGGAUGGUGGCCGUGGCGCUCCAGCAAGAGGAGGAAGACAACAGGAGGCAACUGGCUAAGGAGGUGAACCACUUCACAAGGCAACUGGCGCUUCAGCAACAACAAGCCGGGCCACCGAGCAAGAGAGCUCGCCACUGAUCGUCGAAUCAUCCCCUGGAGUGAUGAUCGAAAACAAUCUUGUAUCACAAGCUCCAACAAACGUGUGAACAAAGCAAGCUCCUGCCAAGGAGCACAAACUUUUGUUGUUUGUACUUCAUAUACCUGGCAAUGAAGAGAUCUUUCCAGUUCUAUGAGCCGUAGUGGCGUUCCAUCUCGCGGAAUAUGGCCGUGAGUCAUUUGGGUCUUCCUUUAGCUAAUAAGCCCUAGCUAGAGCUACAUUAUGAGCGAAGGAAACGUUGCUGCGAUGUUAGCUGCCAGGGUAUGCCGUAUUAUUGGUGCAAAGAAAAUGUGUACAAGUGCUCCAGUGGUGCCUGAUCAAGAACAUCAAUACUCAAACUCUAUACUGAUGAAAGGAAAAAACGUUUGUUUUGUUUUUUUGAUAAAAUCAAUGCGCCUACUCCCUCUUCUCAACUUUGUGAUUGAGGAGAAUGGCUUUUCAAUGGUUCUUCUUUUCUUCUUUUCCUUGUUUCUCAUCGAAUGCUUGUGUUCAUGCUCCCGCUUCACCACUGCCCUUGCAAGUGAAAAACAACCAAAGUACUGAAGGAACUGUUGUGUGCAUCAUGUUUUCUUCGAAUCAAAGUACUAUUCUUACGCUCUCUCUGGUUCUACUUGCGAGAACAAACAUGAAUUUAGAGACGAGUCGUUUAAAAUGAGUUCUUUGGAAGUACUUUUAAUAACAGAUUAAGAAAAUGGAGACUUUGGAGUAACAGGAUUUUACCAUGCGAUUCAGCUGCAGGGUUUACUCGAGGUGAUGGCAAACUCCAGUGUUGCAAUCUCACACUUGCUGCCUUUGGCACUUCUGGCAGUUGUCCCGGCACACCUGGUCGCUUGGAGGUGCACAGGAAGUGCCCCUCCACACAUAUCCCCGCCAUAGCCAAGCUCUCCUUGUUGACCACUCCAGGGUGACGACCAAGUCCAUGAGGUGAGCUUGGCCAUUUUGGAGAAUAUAUAUUCUAUUUCCCACUAAGGCUGUGGGUGGUAAUGUUUUUCACAGGGUUAGUAGCCUCAUAAACUGUCGUUGAUUUCUUCGAACAUGGCAUGGUUUAGAUGCUCUAAGACGAAAUGGAAACAUCGCUUCUUUUCGUCCAAGAUGAGAAACGAAGAACAAACAACAUGGUACGUACCUGAGGAAAAUGUCUGAGAAAAGAAUGAUAAAGAACAAGAAGACGAGGUUGGCAGCCGAGCAUCCGAGGAGCUCGGGGUGACUGUAAAGAUGCACAGGAGCAAGCUCGAGUGCAUUGUGCAGGGCAGCUUCAAUGGAUCGCUCAAGGCUAAAGCAUCCUAAGAAGAGCUGAGGAAGAUACUCUGCCUGGCAUUUCCUCACUAUGAUGCCUUCUAGUGGAAAACUGAUAAGAACUGAUGUCUUGAGAUGUAUUUUAACUUAGAAAUGUAUUUUCCUUUUACACAACAACUAUUGGAGCAAUCGAUUUCACUGAAUGAAGAAAUCUUGGUUUUGGUGGUGGCAACUGUGAUGGCGGGUCCUUGUCCUCACUAGACUCUUUGGGACAACUUUUGGACGUGCUAGCCUCCACUGCAUUGAUCACAAACAAGCUCCCCAUUGCACUACUUGUCGAUGAAUCCUAGGUUGUAUACAAACUGAAAAGGGUUGAGACAAAAGGGAGGCAUAUAUAGCUUUUAGUGCGAAUAUUCUUUAUUUUAUUCUGGUCUAAGCUGUUUUGCAUUGAAAAAAAUUAUAAUAAUAAAAACAUAAAGAGAAAUAAAAAUAUAUUAUGAUUUAAUAUUUGAGCUUUUAUCCUCAUGUAAAUGCCACAUCCACUUGCAUGGUUUCCUAGCUUGCUAUAUCACUCCAAAGGUUCUAGGCAUUAUAAAAUGAUUAGAAAACCAAUGCUAAAGUAAAGAUAAAUCUUUUGAUUAGGCAUAUCUUGAAAGUAAAUGAAUUGUUUGGCCAUGAGGUAUAAAAUCCUAAACUUCCCUUCUAACAUUAUAGGUAUUAAUAUAAACUUACUUCAAGGAUUAUUAGUAUUAAAAUAUUAGUUAGGAUUUUAAUAAUUGACAAUGUGAGUGCUUGGAAUAUGGAAAGGGAAUACAAAAAAUAUGCAUAUCAAUUAGCCCAAAAACCCUAGCUUAUAUAAAUAAGCGAGUGGUCAAGAUUGAAACCAAUCUGACAGCUACCAAAAUCCCACUAUGCUAAUAUUAGUAUAUAGCACGUACCUGUACACUUAGCUCUGACAUCAUCCCCUCCUCUCGGAAUAAUGGAAGACUAUCAGGGUUCUCUUGUAGACGGGCCGAGAUCUGGAGGAACGACAGGAGGAGGCAUCGGCAGAUCUGUAGGUGAUAUUAAUUGCUCCUGAUCCCUUUGUAAGAAGUGUUUCAACCGCUGCACAUGCACAAUCUCUGGAGGAUUAACCUACUAGACGUCAUGCUAAACUUCAUAAACUUGUGGUCUAACUUGUCGCAAUACACAAUAUGGUCCUUUCCAUUGCGCAAGGAGCCCCUUAGAUAAACCACGUACUAUAAGAUGGGGAAAAUGGACUAAUACCAAAUCAUCCACUUUGUACUCCAUAGGUGGAUGAUGAUGGGAGUUGUAACACUGUUGUUGUCCCACUUGUAUGCGGUCUAAGUGUUCGGCAGACUCUACUUAGACAAGUGGAAGAAUGCUUAUCAAAUACUGAUCCCACGACUUAGCAUCGGCAGCUCGUGGCAAUCGUGAAGGUAAACACAGCUCCUUUGGUAAUAUUGGAUCAUAACCAUAGAGGAGUUUAUAUGGUGAAGCACCAACAGAGCUCUGCACCCUAUGAUAUAUGUAUACCAAAGAGACGGCAAAUAACCAUCCCAAUCCGAAUGCAGUGCGAUCAGAAAGAUGAUCCACAAAAUGACUGAAAUAUUGCACCUUGCCCAAGAAGCGCUACACAUCAUUCACACACUUCGGAGUAGAGAACUUUAGAAUAGCCACAAGUUUGUCAAGAUCAACUUGCAAACCCUCACGAGAAAUACGGUACCCAAGAUAAGUUGUGUCCUUGUACCCAAACACGCACUUCAACCGCUUCAACUUUAAACCAACGUUGCAUAGCCGAUCCAACACUUUAUAAACAUCACAAAUGUGCUUCUCCCACGUCCCCUCCGAGUGGAUCAAGACAUCAUCAAUGAAGUCAACAGUCACCUCUGGCAUAUCGCAAAGAACCUCGUCCAUCAUCCGUUGGAAAGUUGCUGGAGCAUUGUUCAAACUAAACAGCAUCACUAAGAACUCGUACAAACUAAAUGGUGUAUGAAAACUAGUCUUAGGAAUAUCUUUUUCGGCCAUCGGUACUUGCCAGUACCCAGAAGCAAAAUCUAACUUGGUGAACCAACGACUUCGCCUCAGACAAUCCAAAAGAUCAACAGUGUGGGAAAAGGGUACACAUCUAAAAUCGUCACUUUGUUUAAUGGACGAUAAUCGAUGCAAAAACGAAUACUCCCAUCAGGCUUUGUCACAAGAUAAAGUUCACAUGCCCAAAGACUCCGCAACUUUUGAAUAACACUCUUCUCCAACAUCUCCUUGACGCUUGCACGUAAAAUCUUGAUCUCCUUGGGUGACCAACGACAAAUAGGAACCUUGAUUGGACGAGCAUCCUCAGUUAGAAUCGGAUGAUGUGUGGCAAUCUUCGCCCCAAACGAUAGGUGAAAUUCAAAGAGAUCAGAAUACUCCUUCAUAAGCCAGUCAACCACUGCAACACAAAGACUGUCGGAGGGAUCGGAAAAGGGAAGAGCAGAACAAAACAUAAACAUAGGAGGAAAUAGUGGGGGAAAAAAAGUAAUGGAAGUAGAGGUAAAAGUAGAGGGACAAAGAGCUACGGAAGUGAGAGGAAUGGAUAAAACAUAAGGAAGUAUGAAACAAGGGGGAGAAGCCUCAAAGUCACACUUGGCAUGAUUGCGCUACAACCAAUUCAUACCAAGAAUGAGGUCAAAAGCUUGACUCGGCACCACCCGUAAUGACUGCAACUCAAGCUCGAGGUCACCCACACGCACAACCAGGUCCGCCUCAUCCCGUACACAUGCAUGUGUACGGCCGUUGCCAUAAAGAAUGAAAAUUAGUUCCACCGCACGAUGCAAGUGUAGAUGGCAACAUAUAGCAACAGGUCAAGCAAUAGAAGAUAAACUCGAACCUGUAUCAACUAACACGGAGAGAAUAAUAGGAGACCUUUUGUUAUAAAAAAGAGCUUGGAAAGUAAACACUGGAUGAACCAGUGUCGAGUGAACCCCUUGAUGAUACUCCCGAAAGAAAGAUGGAGGGGUCACUGACUUACUUGCGCAAGGUCCCUCCAUUACUCACGCGACUCCUCGUUUCCCGGAUGCAUCUCAGUGUCCAAACCUUCCACUACAGCAGCACUAACAGGACGUUGCUGACUCCAAGGUCUCCACCCAGAAAAUGGAGGUCGCCAAUCCGGAAAACGCCGACAGCGCUAAUAAGUAUGACCAACUUCAUCACACGCCCAGCAGCGAAUAUCACGGCCACGACCAUGUCCUCGCCCUUGUCUUUGGACUCGAGCAACAACAGCAUCAACCUCCAUUGGAACAGGACCGUCACCCAUAGGAAGGGGAGCUGAAGGAUGGGUAGCAAGAAGUGGAAGAGGCAAUGUCUCAUAACAUUAUGCCAAGCGAAGAGCAUCGUCAAAGGUAGCGGGAGCAAGUGCAUGCACAAGUCCGACAAGAUUUUGACGAAGUGCUGGCCAUAACAUUCCUAGCUUGAUCUGCUCCAACAUAUUUGGCUCCGCACGAAGCAAAAGACUUCAGAAACAAAUGCUAAAUUGCAUCACCGACUCAGAUGGCCCUUGGCGAAGAUGAUACAGUUGUUGGAAAGCAUAAUCACAGUCGUCGGCAUGUUCGAAGGCGCAUUUGAAGGCAUCCGGGAGAACACUCCAAUCCCCACGAGUGGCUAUGCUCAGACCAUUGUACUAUUGCAAUGCCAUUCCUUGGAGACACGUGGGAAACUCACGCAAACGUCAAGCAUCAUCCCAAGAAUGAUAUGUGGCAAUCACCAUGAAGUGAUCGAACUAAUGGUACAUAUCAUCCCCAGGAUUCCCACGAAAGAACUCUGGCCGAACACGAGGAUUAGCACCAAGAGCAAGAGGAGUUAUACCACAUGCCAUGAAUGCCGCCAUCAAUUGAGUUUGGUUGGUCAAUUGCAAGCGCAUAGCAUCAAGCAAUUGUACCAACUGCUACUCCAAAGUCAAAGGAGGAGAUUGCUAAUCUGUUAUGAAGACAGACAAAGAAAGAGCAAAAAAAGAGAAACGACAAAAAGCGAGAAGGAAAUGGGAGAUCUAGAUAAUGCAAAAAGCUAGAUCUAAACCAAAAUCCCAAAUUCAAGCAUUUCUUAAGGACAAUCAAAGGUGCCCAAUGUGAGUGCUUGAAAUAUGGAAAGGGAAUAUAGAAAAUGUGCAUAUCAAUUAGCCCAAAAACCCUGGCUUAUAUUCAAGAGCAAGUGGUCUAGAUUGAAACUAAUCUGACGGUUACCAAAAUCCCACUAUACUAAUAUUAGUAUAUAACAUCAUAGCCGUACACUUGGCCCUCACAAUAGCAAAAUAUAAGUUUAAACAAGAAAAAUUUAAAAGAAAUGUUACUUACAAUGCUUAUAGAAAUAUGGCAAUGAAUAUGUGAUUUCGCAUGGAAGCAUUAUAUAUUUACACAUGUGCAAUUUUUUUAAUUUUUUUUUUGAGUUACAUGCAAAAAUAUUAUGUAUACAAUCACUUUUCAAUUGGUAUAUAAGCAAUUAAAAUGCCAUUGUGUUGUCAUGAGAUAUGUUACAUAUGAAUGGGGCAUAACAACUUAUAUUACCAUAUAUACAUCAUGCCAUGUCAUUUUAGACAAUAUGACAUCAUUGCAAUUUAGCAAGGGUUUUUUAUCUCAUUCUUGUGAGUGCAAAUUUAUAAUGAGUUAAUUGUGAUCAUUUCUCUCCUCUCAUUUCUCUUAGUUAAAAUCCAUUUUUCAUGGUUAUUGCUCAUUUCUCACAACUAUAGCUUAUUUCUUGCAAUUGUGGCUCAUUUCUCAUAACUUAAAAGUGUUAUGCAUCUUAAUCUAUUUAUUGCACCUUUCAUUUUUUGUAAUCUGUUUGCAGUAUGACACUUUAACUUAGUGCCACAAUAAGUGUGACCAAUUAGAGUGUAGUGGCAAAUGCAAUUAAUUAAAGUGUAAUGGUGAGUGCAGUUGAUUGGAGUGCGAUGGCAAGCUUGAUCAAUUGUAGUGUGGUGGUAAGUGCAAUUAAUUGAAGCACAAUAAUGAGUUCAAUUAAUUGGAAUAUAGAAGCAAAACACUUCUUUAGUUUUUUCUCAAUUGUGUAACUUUCUCUAGGAUUUACUCACAUAAAAGUUCCUUCAUUUCUUCAUUUGUUGCAAAACCAUUAACUUACAAAGUAUUUUUCAUUACCUUUAUCAAAGAGAGUGUCUAAAGAGCCUGUAAUAUUUUAAAAUUUAACUUGCACAUUUGAAAAACGUCACCCAAAAACUUAACCCUAUUGACAUGUAAAAACAAAAUUUAAGAUGGGAUGCAAAAAAUUAUAUAUAUGGCAUUAUUUUAUGAGUCAUACACAUGUGUUACAAUAAUUUAAACACGCAUGUGUUUUAUUUUCAUAUAUUUUGCAAAUGUGAAAGAUAUUUUACUAAAUUAUCUAUCUUAGGUACAUCUCCCCUCUUGGGAGGUGUACCUCCCCCCAAAAUGCUUCAGAAUUUAAUAGUGUAAAGAUAAUAAAUGAAAAUAUAUUAAAACUUAAACAUGAUAAUUUAAAAAAAAUAACUAAAACUUUAGAAAUAAUAUAGUAAAUUGUUAUUAAAUCAUCUCUUCUAAUAAAAAGUAUGCUUUAAAUUUUUAUAAGAAAUUCUUUAUCAUGCUCAGAUAAUUAUUAUUAUUUAGAUUUUGAUCAUAAUUUUCAGUGGCAAAUAGAUCAUUUGGAUCAAAUUUUCAUCCACCCUAGAAGGGAGUGGCAUCGUAGAGAGGAAAUGCCAGGUUGAGGAUCUUCCUCAGCUCCUCCUUGGACACUUUAGCCUUGAGCAAUCCAGCGGAGCUCCCCUCCACAAUUGAUCUGGGCAAGCCCAGCACGCUCCUACACAUGCGCUGGAGCUUGCUCCCCUGCAUCUUGAAGCUCAUCUCAAGCUCCUCGGACUCAGCUGCCGACCUCGUCUUUUUGAGCACAAGCGCCACCACUGGCUCGUGGCGCUGCUGCUGCCGCUCUAGCAGGGAAAUCUUUUAUUGACUGCUAUUGACUGGGCAUUGACUGGGCCGUUAGCUCGCCUGCUCUGUGUGAUCCUCUUCUUCCUGUGCUCCUUUUUGAGCGGCAAUAAGGAGAGCCUGGCUAUGGCGGGGAUAUGUGUGGAGAGGCAAUUCCUGCGCACCUUCACAAGCGACUAGGCGUGAUGGGACUACUGUUAUAAGUGCCACUACAUCAAAGGCAACAGUGAGAUUUGCAGCACUGGAGUUUGCCAUCACCUCAAAUGCAAUUGUAUCACCCCUGCAGCUGAAUCGCGUAGUAAAAUCCUGUUACUCCAAAGUCUCAAUUGUUAAAAGUUUAUUAUAUAAGCACACUUACCAGAGAGAAGAAUAGUAAUUGGCACACAACAGUUACUUCAAUAGUUUGGUUGUUUUUCACUUGCAAGGGCAUUCAAUGAGAAACAAAGAAAAGAAGAACAUUGAAAAGCGAUUCUCCUCAAUCACAAAGUUGAGAAGAGGAAGUAGAAAUUCGUUUUUUCCUCUCUUAACCUGUCCUCCACGUCUUCCAUAAUUCCUAACUGAUGUUCCAUAUCAAAAGCUAUCAGCUCAGACUCAAGAAAUUCUUCUUUCUUGUGAAGUGCUCGAUCUCGUUAACUUCUCCCCGAUUUUGCGGAAUGCAAGGCAAAUUUCGUGGGAGCUUUAUCCAGCGAAUUGAAUCCCAGGAGCGAAAGCUGGUGGAAGACUUGCUGGACGACUUGGACUGGUGGGGAGAGAACCAGAUUGGACGCACGAUGCUCGACGGAUGGCGAGGAGAUUAAGUCCUGGAAGCAGAGAGUUGACGCCAUCAACGAGCUCAGUGAAAGCUGGGAAAAAUCCAGGGACAGAAGCGAGUGAAAUUCCGCUUCUAAUCGCUUCGAAACUCUGGUUGAAUCCACGAAUUUCUGGCUCCUCGCUCCUGAGCUCUUCAAAUCGGUCGAGAGCAUAAAACAGAUUUAAAAAUAUUUCAGUAAACCGGUUAAGUUGCUGAAAACCUUUAUCUUAAAGAUGGUGAAACAAUAUUUGGCGAAAAACGUAGUAUAUUCGUUUGUUUCGUAUAGGGUUUGUGAUUGUAAAAGGGAGACGGGAAGAACUUCUCACGAGCAGAGCAGAUCGGAGAUGGUGGCGGUGAACGUUGAGCGGUAUGUUGAGCUCAAGCGCAUGAUCGACGACUUGGCGAUCGAGGCUGGUAACAAUAGGAGCAUCCGGGUGAAACAAUACGAUAGCUUCGACUUCGCGGACUAUGAUCACUGGGCCGAGACCAACAACAAGAGGGCGCUCAGGCCGGACUGCCAUUACAUGGAGGACGAGGUGGCGUUGGAUCCUCCCCAUGCCGACCGGAUCACGCGGAUGGUGGCCGUGGCGCUCCAGCAAGAGGAGGAAGACAACAGGAGGCAACUGGCUAAGGAGGUGAACCACUUCACAAGGCAACUGGCGCUUCAGCAACAACAAGCCGGGCCACUGAGCAAGAGAGCUCGCCACUGAUCGUCAAAUCAUCCCCUGGAGUGAUGAUCGAAAACAAUCUUGUAUCACAAGCUCCAACAAACGUGCGAACAAAGCAAGCUCCUGCCAGGGAGCACAAACUUUUGUUGUUUGUACUUCAUAUACCUGGCAAUGAAGAGAUCUUUCCAGUUCUAUGAGCCGUAGUGGCGUUCCAUCUCACGGAAUAUGGCCGUGAGUCAUUUGGGUCUUCCUUUACCUAAUAAGCCCUAGCUAGAGCUACAUUAUGAGCGAAGGAAACGUUGCUGCGUUGUUAGCUGCCAGGAUAUGCCGUAUUAUUGGUGCAAAGAAAAUGUGUACAAGUGCUCCAGUGGUGCCUGAUCAAGAACAUCAAUACUCAAAGUCUAUACUGAUGAAUUCAACCUCUAAGGAAAAAACGUUUGUUUUGUUUUUUUGAAAAAAACAAUGACUCCCUCUUCUCAACUUUAUGAUUGAGGAUAAUGGCUUUUCAAUGGUUCUUCUUUUCUUCUUUUCCUUGUUUCUCAUCGAAGGCUUGUGUUCUUGCUCCCGCUUCACCACUGCCCUUGCAAGUGAAAAACAACCAAACUACUGAAGUAACUGCUCUGUGCAUCAUGUUUUCUUCGAAUCUAAGUACUAUUCUUAUGCUCUCUCUGGUUCCACUUGCAAGAACAAACAUGAAUUUAGAGACGAGUCAUUUAAAAUGAGAUCUUUGCUUAUAAACUUUUAAUAACAGAUUAAGGAAAUGGAGACUUUUGAGCAACAGGAUUUUACCAUGCGAUUCAGCUGCAGGGUUUACUCGAGGUGAUGGCAAACUCCAGUGUUGCAAAUCUCACACUUGCUGCCUUUGGCACUUCUGGCAGUAGUCCCGGCACACCUGGUCGCUUGGAGGUGCACAGGAAGUGCCCCUCCACACAUACCCCCGCCAUAGCCAGGCUCUCCUUGUUGACCACUCCAGGUAAACGAGCAAGUCCAUGAGGUGAGCUUGGCCAUUUUGGAGAAUAUAUAUUCCAUUUCCCACUAAGGCUGUGGGUGGUAAUGUUUUUCACAGGGUUAGUAGCCUCACAAACUGUUGUUGAUUUCUUCGAACAUGGCAUGGUUUAGAUGCUCUAAGACAAAAUGGAGACAUCGCUUUUUUUCGUCCAAGAGGAGAAACAAAGAACAAACAACAUGGUACGUACCUGAGGAAAAUGUCUGAGAAAAGAAUGAUAAAGAACAAGAAGACGAGGUCGGCAGCCGAGUCCGAGGAGCUCGGGGUGACCGUAAAGAUGCACGGGAGCAAGGUCGAGCGCAUCGUGCAGGGCAGCUUCGAUGGAUCGCUCAAGGCUAAAGCAUCCGAAGAAGAGCUGAGGAAGAUCCUCCGCCUGGCAUUUCCUCACUAUGAUGCCUUCUAGUGGAAAACUGAUAAGAACUGAUGUCUUGAGAUGUAUUUUAACUUAGAAAUGUAUUUUCCUUUUACACAACAACUAUUGGAGCAAUCGAUUUCACUGAAUGAAGAAAUCCGUGUUUUGGUGGUGGCAACUGUGAUGGCAGGUCCUUGUCCUCGCUAGAUUUGCUUUUUGACUCUUUGGGACAACUUUUGGACGUGCUAGCCUCCACUGCAUUGAUCACAACCAAGAUCCUAGGUUAUAUACAAACUGAAAAGGGUUGAGACAAAAGUGAGGCAUAUAUAGCUUUUAGUGUGAAUAUUCUUUAUUUUAUUCUGGUCUAAGCUGAUGUCUUAAGAAAAAAAAUUAUAAUAAUAAAAACAUAAAUAGAAAUAAAAAAUAUAUUAUGAUUUAAUAUUUGAGCUUUUAUCCUCAUUGAAAUGCCACAUCCACUUGCAUGGUUUCCUAGCUUGCUAUAUCACUCCAAAGGUUCUAGGCAUUAUAAAAUGAUUAGAAAAUCAAUGCUAAAGUAAAGAUAAAUCUUUUGAUUAGGUAUAUCUCGAAAGUAAAUGAAUUGUUUGGCCAUGAGGUAUAAAAUCCUAAACUUCCCUUCUAACAUUAUAGGUAUUAAUAUAAACUUACUUCAAGAAUUAUUAGUAUUAAAAAUAUUAGUUAGGUUUUUAAUAAUUGACAGCAAAAAGAAAUAUAAGUUUAAGCAAGAAAAAUAUAAAAGAAAUGUUACUUACAAUGCUUACAGAAAUAUGGCAACGAAUAUGUGAUUUCGCAUGGAAGCAUUAUAUAUUUACACAUGUGCGAAUUUAUUUUUUUGUUUUGAGUUACAUGCAAAAAUAUUAUGCAUACAAUCACUUUUCAAUUGGUAUAUAAGCAAUCAAAGUGCCAUUGUGUUGUCAUUGAGAUAUGUUAUAUAUGCAUGGGGCAUAACAAUUCAUAUUACUAUAUACACAUCAUGCCAUAUCAUUUUAGACAAUAUAAUAUCACUGCAAUUUAGCAAGGGUUUUUUUUCUCGUUCUUGUGAGUGCAAAUUUAUAAUGAGUUAAUUGUGAUCAUUUCUCUCCUCUCAUUUCUCUUAGUUAUAAUUCAUUUUUCAUGGUUAUCACUCAUUUCUCACAACUAUAGCUUAUUUUUUGCAAUUGUGGCUCAUUUCUCACAACUUAAAAGUGUUAUGCACCUUAAUUUAUUUAUUGCACCUCUCAUUUUUUGUAAUCUAUUUGCAGUAUAACACUUUAACUUAGUGCCAUAAUAAGUGUGAUCAAUUGGAGUGUAGUGUGCAAUCAAUUGGAGUGCAAUGGUGAGUGCAAUCUAUUAGAGUGCGUUGGCGAGCUUAAUCAAUUGGAGUGUGGUGGUAAGUGUAAUUAAUUGAAGCAUAAUGAUGAGCUCAAUCAAUUGGAAUAUAGAGGCAAAAUAAUUAUUUAGUUUUUUCACAAUUUUGUAACUUUCUUUAGCAUUCACUCACGUAAAAGUUCUUUCAUUUCUUCAUUUGUUGCAAAACUAUUAACUUAUAAAGUAUUUUUCAUUACCUUUAUCAAAGAGUGUUUAAAGAGCCCAUAAUAUUUUAAAAUCUAAUUUGCACAUUUGAAAAACAUCACCCAAAAACUUAACCCUAUUGACAUGUAAAAAUAAAAUCUAACAUGGGAUGCAAAAAAUUAUAUAUAUGGCAUUAUUUUAUGAGUCACACACAUGUGUUACAAUAAUUUAAACACACGUGUUUUAUUUUUAUAUAUUUUUAUUUUAUUUUUAUUUUUAUAUUUUUGCAAAUGUGAAAGAUAUUUUACUAGGUUAUCUAUCCUAAGUACAUCUCCCCUUUUGGGAGGUGUACCUCCCCCCAAAAUACUUCAAAAUUUAAUAGUGUAAAGAUAUUAAAUGAAAAUAUAUUAAAACUUAAAUAUGAUAAUUUUUAAAAAAUUAACUCAUCUCUUCUAAUAAAAAAUUAUGCUUUAAAUUUUUAUAAAAAUUUCUUUAACAUGCUCAGAUAAUAAUAAUUAUUUAAUUUUUAAUCAUAAUUUUCAAUGGCAAAUAGAUCAUUUUCAAGUUUUGGAUCAAAUUUUCAUCCACCCUAGAAGGGAGUGGCAUUGUAGAGAGGAAAUGCCAGGUUGAGGAUCUUCCUCAACUCCUCCUUGGAUAGCCUUGAGCAAUCCAGCGGAGCUCCCCUCCAUGAUUGAUCCAGGCAAGCCCAGCACGCUCCUACACAUGCGCUGGAGCUUGCUCCCCUGCAUCUUGAAGCUCAUCCCAAGCUCCUCGGACUCGGCUGCCGACCUCGUCUUUCUGAGCACCAGCGCCACCACUGGCUCGUGGCGCUGCUGCUGCCGCUCUAGCAGGGAAAUCUUUUAUUGACUGCUAUUGACUGGGCAUUGACUGGGCUGUUAGCUCGCCUGCUCUGUGUGAUCCUCUUCUUCCUGUGCUCCUUUUUGAGCGGCAAUAAGGAGAGCCUGGCUAUGGCGGGGAUAUGCGUGGAGGGGCAAUUCCUGUGCACCUUCACAAGCGACUAGGCGUGAUGGGAUUACUGUUAUAAGUGCCACUACAUCAAAGGCAACAGUGAGAUUUGCAGCACUGGAGUUUGCCAUCACCUCAAAUGCAAUUGUAUCGCCCCUGCAGCUGAAUCGCGUGGUAAAAUCCUGUUACUCAAUUGUUAAAAGUUUAUUAUAUAAGCACACUUACCAGAGAGAAGAAUAGUAAUUGGCACACAACAGUUACUUCAAUAGUUUGGUUGUUUUCACUUGCAAGGGCAUUCGAUGAGAAACAAAGAAAAGAAGAACAUUGAAAAGCGAUUCUCUUCAAUCACAAAGUUGAGAAGAGGAAGUAGAAAUUCGUUUUUUCCUCUCCUAACCUGUCCUCUACGUCUUCCAUAAUUCCUAACUGAUGUUCCACAUUUCAUAAUCUCUGUCCCAUAUCUUAGCAAUUGAGUAUGGAUGUUCUUGAUCAAGCCCCCCAAGGUCACUGGAGCACUUCUACACAUUUUCUUUGCACCAAUAAUACGGCAUAUCUUGGCAACUAACAACGCAGCAUCGUUUCCUUUGCUCGUAACAUAGCUCUAGCUAGGGCUAAAGGAAGACUCAAGAUGGAACGCCACUAAAGCUCAAACACUAGAACUGGAAAGAUCUCUUCAUUGCCAGGUAUAUGAAGUACAAACAACAAAGGUUUUUUGCUCCUAGUUUUAGUAAUGCUUGUGAUACAAGAUUGUUUUCGAUCAUCCCCCAAGGGGCUGAUUCGAUGAUCAGUGGCGAGCUCUCUUGCUCGGUGGCCCGGCUUGUUGUUGCUGAAGCGCCAGUUGCCUUGUGAAGUAGUUCACCUCCUUAGCCAGUCGCCUCCUGUUCGCUUCCUCCUCUUGCUGGAGCGCCAGGGCUACCAUCCGUGUGAUCCGGUCGGCAUGGGGAGGAUCCAACGCCACCUCGUCCUCCAUGUAAUGGCAGUCCGGCCUGAGCGCCCUGCUCCGCUCGUGAGAAGUUCUUCUGGACUCCUUUUUACAAUCACUAACCCUAUACAAAAACAAAUGGAUAUGCCACUUUUUUGCCAAAUAUUCUUUCAUUAUCUUUAAGACAAAAAAAAGGUUUUAACCGGCUUACUGAAAUAUUUUUAAAUUUGUUUUAUAUCUCCACAGAUUUGAAGAGCUAGGAGCGAGGAACUAGAAAUUCGUGGAUUCAACCAGAGUUUCGAAGACUUGUUUUGUCCCUGAAUUUUUUCCAUCUUUCACUGAGCUCAUUGAUGGCAUCAACUCUCUGCUUUCAGGAUUUAAUCUCCUCGUCAUCCAUCCAAGCAUCAAUCCCGUCCUCAGCUGAUCCAAGUCGUCCAGCAACAGUUUCUGCCACCAGCUGGGACGCUCUGCAUGUAUAGCCCCUGGUAAUUAAUCCGCUGGAGAAAGCUCCCACGAAAAUUCGCCUUGCAUGUGCGCGGCUGCGGGGUUAAAAGGAGACUGCAUAAACAUGCACACACUUGUCAACUACAAAAUCAUGCAAGGAGAGUAGGGGAGAAAAACAAGAACAGUACACACACACCGAAACAAGAAACGCCAGGGGAAAAAAAAGUGGCAGCCAUACCUCCAAUGAUGUCCUCUAGAUCCGUAAUUGUACAUGGCACCGUCUAUCUCGUGCAGGGCGCUUCAUCCAAACGCAAUUAAAGCACAUAUGUAGCAGUAUGGCAUGCACUCGCGCAAGCUUUUGCAUGCGGUCCAGAACUUCCCUCUCCUCUCUUUCAAAUGCUUCCCUGAAGCCCUUGCGUGAGUCGUCGUCCAUGGGAGGCAGGACAAUGGUCAUCUGGGGAAUAGGCAGAUCAAGCCUUUUCCACGAAUGCCUGCCAGUCUUCGUAACCUUUGGCUGACCGUCUUCAAUCACGUAGUCCCUCAAACCCAUGAAACUCCCCGCUUGCUUGAUGCUUAACUCCUGGAUUAUAAUUUAUCAUGUUCACAAGCUCCCCAUUCCCCAGCACAUCCCUGUAUCGCCUCUUGAACGCUUUCAACAGCUCCGAAGGCUUUUAGGCAUCCAUAUGGAAAGUCACAAACCGGGCCUCAUCCAUUGUCGUCUCAGCGGCAUCAGCACCAUUCCGGGAUGGACUUGCAACGAGGACUGUCCUUCCUCGUGUGGCUCUAUAUCCUUGAAAGCUAUUGUCCACAAGGAGCCAAGUCCCUGCUAAGUUUAACAGGUCUGUCGGAAUUUUAUACAAGCACCAGACCUCUCCACCCGGCGAGUUGAUGAUGAAGACCCUGGCAUCCACAAACAGUUGCACUAAAACGUAUGCUCCAGCUAGUUCCGCAUCGCUGAGGAGCUCGCGAACGAAGUACCAGAUGCAGCACGACUUUCCUAUCCCCGGAGAUGUGCGCGAAGAUGCUGUGGCCGUGUCUCAGCUGACGAUAGAUCUUCUCGUAAGACUUGCGAACGAGGAUGUCGGCAGGGUUGGCUGUGAGCUCGGCUAUGACGGCAGGGAGCCUCAGAAAUCCUUCCGCAUCCCAACCCCUGCACAGGUGCGAGCGGGUGUCCGGGGGGAAAAUCUUGUCCUUGUGCUUGUUUAUAAAGUCCCUUUUGCCAAAGUUACAGAUCAUGGAAGGACAGAGGGAACAUACACACAACGAAAACAAAAAGACUGUACCUUGAAUGAUAUGCUCUGACACCAUCGUCCACGGCUUCUUGUAAAAGAAGCUUAGGGCGCCAGCCGUAAGAACCUCUCCGACCCACACUUUGCCAUUCUUUAGACAGAACUUGAGCUUGUCAUCCCUCCAUGCGAAAGUACACGAUGCCACUCCUUCCUCAUCCUCUUUCUCAUCGUCCUCGUUCGCUUGCCACAGCCUCACUGAACCAUAGUUUUUGUGAGAGCUACCUAUAGAAAAUGAGACGAAACAAAAUCCAUGGCUGCUGCUCUCUUGAAAAGAAAACAAUGAGAUUUGUAAAAAGAUUGCUUUCAGCAAUAUUCUCUCCUUUCACUGCACAGCCCAGCAGCAGCACUAAUAGAGAAGCAAGCAUCUCUCCAUCCCAAAAUGAAACAGAUAAAUGCUUUUUGUGGGUUCCAGCUGAAGAAGAAUCCAUCGAUUUUGUUACGAUCAUGUGAGAGAGCACUUACCUUGCAAGUCCUGCUUGCGGAGUAAAAUUCCUAGAGCGUAGAAACAACUUUUACGACUUUGUAAAGUUUAAAAAUUUGAACUAAGAACGGAGAGAGAAAAGCUUACUUACGACCAGAAAAGUCUCGAGAGUGAAAAUAAAGACGAAAAGGGAUGCCACUCACAAGUUUGAAAUUCCUGAGAUACAUCUUCACUCCAGGAGCUAGGACAAAGUGCAAUAAAUAAUGACUCCAGAAGCUUAUGGAUAAAUAAACCACCAUAAACCAUUUCCUUUCGAAAAAUAAAGGUGAAAAAAAAGUAUCCCAAAUCCAAAAGCUAUCCAGCUCCGACCGAAGAAAUUCUUCCUUCUUGCGGAGUGCUCGAUCUCGUCAACUUCUCCCCGAUUUUGCGGAAUGCAAGGCAAAUUUUUGUGGGAGCUUUAUCCAGCAGAUUGAUUACCAGGUCCCAGGAGCGAAAGCUGGUGGAAGAAACUCAUGCUGGUCGACUUGGAGUGGUGGGGAGAGAACGAGAUUGGACGCAUGAUGCUCCGACGGAUGGCACGUAGAAGCAGAGAGUUGACGCCAUCAACGAGCUCAGUGAAAGCUGCGAAAAAUCCAGGGACAGAAGCGAGUGAAAUUCCGCUUCUAAUCGCUUAGAAACUCUGGUUGAAUGCACGAAUUUCUGGCUCCUCGCUCCUGAGCUCUUCAAAUCGGUCGAGAGCAUAAAACAGAUUUAAAAAUAUUUCAGUAAACCGGUUAAGUUGCUGAAAAUCUUUAUCUUAAAGAUGGUUUGGCGAAAAACGUAGUAUAUUCGUUUGUUUCGUAUAAGGUUUGUGAUUGUAAAAGGGAGACGAGAAGAACUUCUCACGAGCAGAGCAGAUCGGAGAUGGUGGCGGUGGACGUUGAGCGGUAUGUUGAGCUCAAGCGCAUGAUCGACGACUUGGCGAUCGAGGCUGGUAACAAUAGGAGCAUCUGGGUGAAACAAUACGAUAGCUUCGACUUUGCGGACUAUGAUCACUGGGCCGAGACCAACAACAAGAGGGCGCUCAGGCCGGACUGCCAUUACAUGGACGACGAAGUGGCGUUGGAUCCUCCCCAUGCCGACCGGAUCACGCGGAUGGUGGCCGUGGCACUCCAGCAAGAGGAGGAAGACAACAGGAGGCAACUGCCUAAGGAGGUGAACCACUUCACAAGGCAACUGGCGCUUCAGCAACAACAAGCCGGGCCACCGAGCAAGAGAGCUCGCCACUGAUCGUCGAAUCAUCCCCUGGAGGGAUGAUCGAAAACGAUCUUGUAUCACAAGCUCUAACAAACUUGUGAACAAAGCAAGCUCCUGCCAAGGAUCAAAAACUUUUGUUGUUUGUACUUCAUAUACCUGGCAAUGAAGAGAUCUUUCCAGUUCUAUGAGCUUUAGUGGCGUUCCAUCUCGCGGAAUAUGGCUGUGAGUCAUUUGGGUCUUCCUUUAGCUAAGAAGCCCUAGCUAGAGCUACAUUACGAGCGAAGGAAACGUAUUGGUGCAAAGAAAAUGUGUACAAGUGCUCCAGUGGUGCCUGAUCAAGAACAUCAAUGCUCAAAGUCUAUACUGAUGAAUUCAACCUUUAAGGAAAAAACAUUUGUUUUGUUUUUUGGAAAAAAAACAAUGCGCCUACUCCCUCUUCUCAACUUUGUGAUUGAGGAUAAUGGCUUUUCAAUGGUUCUUCUUUUCUUCUUUUCCUUGUUUCUCAUCGAAUGCUUGUGUUCUUGCUCCCGCUUCACCACUGCCCUUGCAAGUGAAAAACAACCAAACUACUGAAGUAACUGCUCUGUGCAUCAUGUUUUCUUCGAAUCUAAGUACUAUUCUUACGCUCUCUCUGGUUCCACUUUCGAGAACAAACAUGAAUUUAGAGACGAGUCAUUUAAAAUGAGAUCUUUGCUUAUAAACUUUUAAUAACAGAUUAAGGAAAUGGAGACUUUUGAGCAACAGGAUUUUACCAUGCGAUUCAGCUGCAGGGUUUACUCGAGGUGAUGGCAAACUCCAGUGUUGCAAAUCUCACACUUGCUGCCUUUGGCACUUCUGGCAGUAGUCCCGGCACACCUGGUCGCUUGGAGGUGCACAGGAAGUGCCCCUCCACACAUACCCCCGCCAUAGCCAGGCUCUCCUUGUUGACCACUCCAGGUAAACGAGCAAGUCCAUGAGGUGAGCUUGGCCAUUUUGGAGAAUAUAUAUUCCAUUUCCCACUAAGGCUGUGGGUGGUAAUGUUUUUCACAGGGUUAGUAGCCUCACAAACUGUUGUUGAUUUCUUCGAACAUGGCAUGGUUUAGAUGCUCUAAGACAAAAUGGAGACAUCGCUUUUUUUCGUCCAAGAGGAGAAACAAAGAACAAACAACAUGGUACGUACCUGAGGAAAAUGUCUGAGAAAAGAAUGAUAAAGAACAAGAAGACGAGGUCGGCAGCCGAGUCCGAGGAGCUCGGGGUGACCGUAAAGAUGCACGGGAGCAAGCUCGAGCACAUGACUAGGAGCCUGCUGGGCUCGCCCGGAGCGAUCGUGCAGGGCAGCUUCGAUGGAUCGCUCAAGGCUAAAGCAUCUGAAGAAGAGCUAAGGAAGAUCCUCCGCCUAGCAUUUCACUAUAAUGCCUUCUAGUGGAAAACUGAUAAGAACUGAUGUCUUGAGAUGUAUUGUAUUUUCCUUUUACACAACAACUAUUGGAGCAAUCAAUUUCACUGAACGAAGAAAUGUUGGUUUUGGAGGUGGCAACUGUGAUGGCGGGUCCUUGUCCUCGUUAGAUUUGCUUUUUGACUCUUUGGGACAACUUUUGGACGUGCUAGCCUCCACUGCAUUGAUCACAAACAAGCAUUGCACUACUUGUCGAUGGAUCAGGUUAUAUACAAACUGUUGAGACAAAAGGGAGGCAUAUAUAGCUCUUAGUACGAAUAUUCUUUAUUUUAUUCUGGUCUAAGCUGUUUUGCGUUACUUAUAAUUUACGGUCAUACCUUGUAUGUCUUAAGAAAAUAAUAAUAAUAAUAAAAACAUAAAGAGAAAUGAAAAAUAUAUUAUGAUUUAAUAUUUGAGCUUUUAUCCUCAUUGAAAUGCCACAUCCACUCCUAGCUUGCUAUAUCACUCCAAAGGUUCUAGGCAUUAUAAAAUGAUAAAAAAAUCAAUGCUAAAGUAAGGAUAAAUCUUUUGAUUAGGUAUAUCUUGAAAGUAAAUGAAUUGUUUGGCCAUGAGGUAUAAAAUCCUAAACUUCCCUUCUAACAUUAUAGGUAUUAAUAUAAACUUACUUCAAGGAUUAUUAGUAUUAAAAAUAUUAGUUAGGUUUUUAAUAAUUGACAGCAAAAAGAAAUAUAAGUUUAAACAAGAAAAAUAUAAAAGAAAUGUUACUUACAAUGCUUACAGAAAUAUGGCAAUGAAUAUGUGAUUUUGCAUGGGAGCAUUAUAUAUUUACACAUGUGCAAAUUUAUUUUUUUGUUUUGAGUUGCAUGCAAAAAUAUUAUGCAUCCAAUCACUUUUCAAUUGCUAUAUAAGCAAUUAAAAUGCCAUUGUGUUGUCAUGAGAUAUAUUAUAUAUGCAUGGGGCAUAACAACUCAUAUUACCAUAUACACAUUAUGCCAUGUGAUUUUAGACAAUAUGAUAUCACUGCAAUUUAAUAAGGGUUUUUUUUUCUCAUUUUUGUAAGUGCAAAUUUAUGAUGAGAUAAUUGUUAUCAUUUCUCUCUUCUCAUUUCUCUUAGUUAUAAUUCAUUUUUCAUGGUUAUGGCUCAUUUUUCACAACUAUAGCUUAUUUCUUGCAGUUGUGGCUUAUUUCUCAGAACUUGGAGGUGUUAUGCACCUUAAUUUAUUUAUUGCACCUUUCAUUUUUUGUAAUCUGUUUGCAAUAUGACACUUUAACUUAGUGCCAUAAUAAGUGUGAUUGAUUGGAGUGUAGUGGCAAGUACAAUCACUUAGAGUGCAAUAAUGAGUGCAAUCGAUUUGAGUGCAGUGGCAAGCUUGAUCAAUUGGAGUGUAGUGGUAAAUGCAAUUAAUUGAAGCAUAAUGAUGAGCUCAAUCAAUUGGAAUAUAGAGGCAAAACAAUUUUUUUGUUUUUUCUCUAUUUUGUAAUUUUCUUUAACAUUCACUCAUGUAAAAAUUUCUUCAUUUCUUCAUUUGUUGCAAAACCAUUAACUUACAAAGUAUUUUUCAUUACCUUUAUUAAAGAAAGUGAUUAAAGAGCCUAUAAUAUUUUAAAAUUUAGCUUGCACAUUUGAAAAACAUCACAUAAAAACGUAACCCUAUUGACAUGUAAAAACAAAAUCUAAUAUGAGAUGAAAAAAUUGUAUAUAUAGCAUUAUUUUAUGAGUCACACAUAUAUGUUACAAUAAUUUAAACACAUAUGUGUUUUAUUUUCAUAUAUUUUGCAAAUGUGAAAGAUUUUUUACCGGGUUAUCUACCUUAGGUACAUCUUCCUUCUUGGGAGGUAUACCUCCCCCCAAAAUACUUCAGAAUUUAAUAGUGUAAAUACAUUAAAUGAAAAUAUAUUAAAACUUAAACAUGAUAAUUUAAAAAAAAUAACUAAAACUUUAGAAAUAAUAUAGUAAAUUGUUAUUAAAUCAUUCAUUUCAUCUUCUCUUCUAAUAAAAAAGUAUGCUUUAAAUAACAAUUAAAGCUCAGAUAAUAAUUAUUAUUUAACUUUUAUUCAAAUUCUUGAAGUGGCACAUAAAUCAUUCUCAAGUUUUGGAUCAAAUUUCAUCCAUUCUAGAAGGGAGUGGCAUCGUAGAGAGGAAAUGCCAGGUUGAGGAUCUUCCUCAGCUCUUCCUUGGACACUUUAGCCUUGAGCGAUCCAGUGGAGCUCCCCUCCACGAUUGAUCCAGGCGAGCCCAGCACACUCCUACACAUGCGCUGGAGCUUGCUCCCCUGCAUCUUGAAGCUCAUCCCAAGCUCCUCGGACUCGGCUGCCGACCUCGUCUUUUUGAGCACCAGCGCCACCACUGGCUCGUGGCGCUGCUGCCGCCGCUCCUCCGCCGCCUCUUCUCCGCCUCCCAUCCCUUCUGCCACUCCCUCCUCCUCCUCGCCCGCCACCUCCUGGUUGCACGAGUGUGAGUUCUCCACCCAUUCUCUCCUCAGGAGCCCCCUCGUCCUCUUGGGAUUGCGCUCGAAGACGUCGUAGUCAUGGACGUCUCCUCCGGUGGCUACUCCGCCGAGUUCUUCGAUCUCGAUCUCCAGCCCGUCUGGUUCUUUCUUUGGCGGGAGCAACACUAUGUUGGCGGCGUUGGCGCGAUCACUGGCGCUUGAAUAUCUCGACGCGGAACGUGAUCAUCUCGGAGGAGGAGUUCUCCUUUUGGAAGACGAGGACGUCUCCCUUGACGAGUUCGUGAUGGACGCAGAAGGCUUUCCACCCGGCACCGAUCACUGGCUGCAUCGUCCAGUUCCAUCUCAUCCUCCAUUGGUGACCACUCCGGUCGCGGACGAUCACCUCGGCUCUCCCGUGCGGCAUCAUCUUCUUGCAGUAGUUCGAAGGAAGAGUCUGCAGAAAAAAAAUAAAGAAGAAAAGAAAAACGAUUAGCAAGUUCUUUGUGAAGAUAUCGAAGGGAAAAAAGACAAGGAUAGCGAAACAUAAACCUCGAGCUUGUUCUUCGCUUACCAUAACGUAUGUGCCGCUCACACAGCACUGGUUCAAGACUUUAAUGGUGCUGCGACUCUUCUUUGCAAGAUGUUGCUGGUACUCCUGCGCGGCUUGCAGCGCUUCGUGCGAACCUGGCAGCUCCUCGCGAUUCCGCCGCUGCCGCUGCUGAUUGGAGGGGAUGUAACUCGACAGAGGACUGUCUUCCUCGUAAGAACCUGCGAAGAUACGCUCGGACAAAUAUAAGAAACGAAGUGAUGAGAGAAAAAAAGCGAGAAGGAAAGCUCUGACCAGAUGGAUAAGCUUCGCCGCCGCUCGACUCCAUAGCUGCGCUCUCGCUCUUCUUCUUGCUUGCUGAAGGAAAAACCUCGCUGAGAGAGCGUCCGGUCUACUAGUACGUCCCAAUGAUGAAUGAUCGUGCGCCGUCGGAUUGGCUCCAUCCGACGGCCACCAUUCACGUACGAGGAAAGAAAAUGCUCGUAUCUUUCCAGUAGCCGUCGCUUUCCAUUUCGUGAUCUUUGCUCCAUUCUAGAGGCAACCUUGGAGACUUGCUUGGAUGGCUUUGCAUUAAUAAAAAAUCCACAGUACCAAUCAAAACUUCAGCUCUAAAGAGGCGAGAUUAUCACCUUCCAGGUAUCGAGUGUGUUCUUCGUUUCUAUAGAUGAUAUUACGCGGAUCCAAUAACUCGGAGCCAUUCGUCACUCAAAACACCUUCCACAGUGUUAUACGAUUUGCCUAACAGUCCCUUUAUGAGAGCUUGAAGGGCCUGACUGGUUAGAAGACGAGGAUAAUGCUUAUGCAUCAACGACCCAGCAUUUUCCAUCCCUACUGUGCACACGCCUUCUAGAUCAACUUUCUUCGCUCGUAGUCAUACAAGCAUUAGCUGGUCGAAUGUCGCGAUGCACCAAGCCUGCACAGCCACAUGAAACUACAAGCUCCCAAAGAUAGACGAGCCUCAACAGCACCAUGUAAGGCCUUUAAAGCCUUGCGAAUGCCAAGCACCAUCUGUCGCAGCUCGUCUUCCGAAACAGGCUCUCGCACGGCAAGAAGAGGAACAGUCAUAACCAUGCAUGCUCGAGGAGCCUGAUCGUUCUUCGUUUCUUGGAGGAGGAAUCACGGUCAGCAGUCGAUGACACCGGAUUCAACAGUUGCUCACAUUCACUCCUGGUCCUGAAUUUGGGCCCUUCGACACUGCCAACGAGGUGUUUCCCACAUUUGGGAGCCAGCGUGUAGGCCUGGAAGACAUCUUCGCAGUUGACGCCCCACUCGUUGCAGUAAUCGUUCCAGUUCCAUAUCACCUUGAGCACACCGUCAUGGGUCAGCAUCAGAGAGCUCAUAUCUCGAUCAAUCAGUGCAUUCAGCUUGUACCUGAUAGCAAUACAACUGUCGGCCAAACUUCACACUUCCCCGGCUCCGAUGGCAGCAAGCAUUCCAUGGAGCUUGAUACAAGUUGAGGACUGGAGUCAGCUGAGUCAGAAUGGCUGCUCCUGCUUAAUAAAAAGAGAGCAAAGUGAUGGUCGACAAAACGAAACCGAUCUUAUGAGCUACUUGAGGAUUGAUUUGUACAGUGAAAAACUGGAGAUGAGGUCCCGGCACGGCAUAGCAAGAAACUGCCACUGGUAGAGUUGAGACUUUGUCCGUCAACAAGGAUUUCACUACCUCAAACUCAGCGUCCUCCCUCACUUCCCCGUACAUGACAAUCUCAUGCCACUCCAGUUGUCAAUGCAGAUCAAAGUCAAAAUGAGCUUGAGCUUCUUGUUCUCCCCUUACUUCUUGAAGUGUGCGAUUGGGCUGGUGUUCAUUGCAUCUAAAACGUGCCAGGUGCUGUGAUUUCCGGGCUUCUGAUCCGGGGAGAAGAGAUCACAUCGCUCCAGGAGGUCCAGAUUGCCUGCUCCACUGCUUCGGUAGUAUUCCCCUAUCUCGCUGGGCAAUUCAAGCCAGGGAACUUUGCCCGUGAGGUAUGUGGCCACUUCACAACCGGCAAAGAGCUCCGGCGCCUCACUCACGGUAGCGUUGGCGAUGCCAAUGUGGAGGAAUUCGGUCGCCGAUAGAGGAGAACGAAUCUUCCCCGUCAUCCCCGUCACAAGCCGCUCUAGCAGGGAAACCUUUUAUUGACUGCUAUUGACUGGGCAUUGACUGGGCCGUUAGCUCGCCUGCUCUGUGUGAUCCUCUUCUUCCGAUCAAUAAAGUGGAGGCUAGCACGUCCAAAAGUUGUCCCAAAGAGUCUAGCGAGGACAAGGACCCGCCAUCACAGUUGCCACCACCAAAACCAAGAUUUCUUCGUUCAGUGAAAUCGAUUGCUCCAAUAGUUGUUGUGUAAAAGGAAAAUACAUUUCUAAGUUAAAAUACAUCUCAAGACAUCAGUUCUUAUCAGUUUUCCACUAGAAGGCAUCAUAGUGAGGAAAUGCCAGGCGGAGGAUCGUCCUCAGCUCUUCUUCGGAUGCUUUAGCCUUGAGCGAUCCAUCGAAGCUGCCCUGCACGAUGCGCUCGACCUUGCUCCUGUGCAUCUUUACGAGCUCCUCAGACGCUGGGCUGCCAACCUCGUCUUCUUGUUCUUUAUCAUUCUUUUCUCAGACAUUUUCCUCAGGUACGUACCAUGUUGUUUGUUCUUCGUUUCUCAUCUUGGACGAAAAGAAGCGAUGUUUCCAUUUCGUCUUAGAGCAUCUAAACCAUGCCAUGUUCAAAGAAAUGAACGACAGUUUAUGAGGCUACUUACCACCCACAGCCUUAGUGGGAAAUGGAAUUUAUAUUGCCAAGCUCACCUCAUGGACUUGGUCGUCGCCCUGGAGUGGUCAACAAGGAGAGCCUGGCUAUGGCGGGGAUAUGUGUGGAGGGGCACUUCCUGUGCACCUCCAAGCGACCAGGUGUGCCGGGACUACUGCCAGAAGUGCCAAAGGCAGCAAGUGUGAGAUUUGCAACACUGGAGUUUGCCAUCACCUCGAGUAAACCCUGCAGCUGAAUCGCAUGGUAAAAUCCUGUUACUCCAAAGUCUCCAUUUUCUUAAUCUGUUAUUAAAAGUACUUCCAAAGAACUCAUUUUAAACGACUCGUCUCUAAAUUCAUGUUUGUUCUCGCAAGUAGAACCAGAGAGAGCGUAAGAAUAGUACUUUGAUUCGAAGAAAACAUGAUGCACACAACAGUUCCUUCAGUAGUUUGGUUGUUUUUCACUUGCAAGGGCAGUGGUGAAGCGGGAGCAAGAACACAAGCAUUCGAUGAGAAACAAGGAAAAGAAGAAAAGAAGAACCAUUGAAAAGCCAUUAUCCUCAAUCACAAAGUUGAGAAGAGGGAGUAGGCGCAUUGUUUUUAUCAAAAAAACAAAACAAACGUUUUUUCCUUUCAUCAGUAUAGACUUUGAGCAUUGAUGUUCUUGAUCAGGCACCGCUGGAGCACUUGUACACAUUUUCUUUGCACCAAUAAUACGGCAUACCCUGGCAGCUAACAACGCAGCAACGUUUCCUUCGUUCAUCAUGUAGCUCUAGCUAGGGCUUAUUAGCUAAAGGAAGACCCAAAUGACUCACGGCCAUAUUCCGCGAGAUGGAACGCCACUACGGCUCAUAGAACUGGAAAGAUCUCUUCAUUGCCAGGUAUAUGAAGUACAAACAACAAAAGUUUGUGCUCCUUGGCAGGAGCUUGCUUUGUUCACACGUUUGUUGGAGCUUGUGAUACAAGAAGUUUCGAUCAUCACGUACCAUGUUGUUUGUUCUUCGUUUCUCCUCUUGGACGAAAAGAAGCGAUGUUUCCAUUUCGUCUUAGAGCAUCUAAACCAUGCCAUGUUCAAAGAAAUGAACGACAGUUUGUGAGGCUACUAACCCUGUGAAAAACAUUACCACCCACAGCCUUAGUGGGAAAUGGAAUAUAUAUUCUCCAAAAUGCCCAAGCUCACCUCAUGGACUUGGUCGUCACCCUGGAGUGGUCAACAAGGAGAGCCUGGCUAUGGCGGGGAUAUGUGUGGAGGGGCACUUCCUGUGCACCUCCAAGCGACCAGGUGUGCCGGGACUACUGCCAGAAGUGCCAAAGGCAGCAAGUGUGAGAUUUGCAACACUGGAGUUUGCCAUCACCUCGAGUAAACCCUGCAGCUGAAUCGCAUGGUAAAAUCCUGUUACUCCAAAGUCUCCAUUUUCUUAACCUGUUAUUAAAAGUACUUCCAAAGAACUCGUUUUAAACGACUCGUCUCUAAAUUCAUGUUUAAUCUCGCAAGUAGAACCAGAGAGAGUGUAAGAAUAGUAUUUUGAUUCGAAGAAAACAUGAUGCACACAACAGUUCCUUCAGUAGUUUGGUUGUUCUUCACUUGCAAGGGCAGUGGUGAAGCGGGAGCAAGAACACAAGCAUUCAAUGAGAAACAAGGAAAAGAAGAAAAGAAGAACCAUUGAAAAGCCAUUAUCCUCAAUCACAAAGUUGAGAAGAGGGUUGUUUUUUUCAAAAAAACAAAACAAACGUUUUUUCCUUUCAUCAGUAUAGACUUUGAGUAUUGAUGUUCUUGAUCAGGCACCACUGGAGCACUUGUACACAUUUUCUUUGCACCAAUAAUACGGCAUACCCUGGCAGCUAACAACGCAGCAACGUUUCCUUCGCUCAUAAUGUAACUCUAGCUAGGGCUUAUUAGCUAAAGGAAGACCCAAAUGACUCACGGCCAUAUUCCGCGAGACACGGCUCAUAGAACUGGAAGGAUCUCUUCAUUGCCAGAUAUAUGAAGUACAAACAACAAAAGUUUGUGCUCCUUGGCAGGAGCUUGCUUUGUUCACACGUUUGUUGGAGCUUGUGAUACAAGAUUGUUUUCGAUCAUCACUCCAGGGGAUGAUUCGACGAUCAGUGGCGAGCUCUCUUGCUCGGUGGCCCGGCUUGUUCUUGCUGAAGCGCCAGUUGCCUUGUGAAGUGGUUCACCUCCUUAGCCAGUUGCCUCCUGUUGUCUUCCUCCUCUUGCUGGAGCGCCACGGCCACCAUCCGCGUGAUCCGGUCGGCAUGGGGAGGAUCCAACGCCACCUCGUCCUCCAUGUAAUGGCAGUCCGGCCUGAGCGCCCUCUUGUUGUUGGUCUCGGCCCAGUGAUCAUAGUCCGCGAAGUCGAAGCUAUCGUAUUGUUUCACCCGGAUGCUCCUAUUGUUACCAGCCUCGAUCGCCAAGUCGUCGAUCAUGCGCUUGAGCUCAACAUACCGCUCAACGUCCACCGCCACCAUGCUCUGCUCGUGAGAAGUUCUUCUCGUCUCCCUUUUACAAUCACAAACCCUAUACGAAACAAACGAAUAUACUACGUUUUUCGCCAAAUAUUGUUUCACCAUCUUUAAGAUAAAGGUUUUCAGCAACUUAACCAGUUUACUGAAAUAUUUUAAAAUCUGUUUUAUGCUCUCGACCGAUUUGAAGAGCUUAGGAGCGAGGAGCCAGAAAUUCGUGGAUUCAACCAGAGUUUCGAAGCGAUUAGAAGCGGAAUUUCACUCGCUUCUGUCCCUGGAUUUUUCCCAGCUUUCACUGAGCUCGUUGAUGGCGUCAACUCUCUGCUUCCAGGACUUAAUCUCCUCGCCAUCCGUCGAGCAUCAUGCGUCCAAUCUGGUUCUCUCCCCACCAGUCCAAGUCGUCCAGCAAGGGUUUCUUCCACCAGCUUUCGCUCAUGGGACCUGGUAAUCAAUUCGCUGGAUAAAGCUCCCACGAAAAUUUGCCUUGCAUUCCGCAAAAUCGGGGAGAAGUUGACGAGAUCGAGCACUUCACAAGAAGGAAGAAUUUCUUGGGUCUGAGCUGGAUAGCUUUUGGAUUUGGGAAGGGAUACUUUUUUUUUUCACCUUUAUAUUUCGAAAGGAAAUGGUUUAUGGUGGUUUAUUUAUCCAUAAGCUUCUGGAGUCAUUGUUUAUUCUAUCUGUGGAAAGCUCUUUGUUAGCCUCAUCGAUGCUAUUGUUCUUGUAGAAGGCAUCCCUCCUCAAGCUUCACAAUCAGUAACACCUGCCCGACUUGCAAAGAAGUGUAACGUGUUUGGAGCACAAUUUUCUAUCCUUUCUCAGGCACUUGAAAGUGCCAUCCUUGCUUGUUCGGGAAAAAGAAAGAGAGAGAAGCAUCAUCUACAUAACGCAUUAGGUUGAGCUUUGAUGGUCUUGCGAAAUUGAGAACCGCCUGGUGCCGCAAACAUUCGUUUCCUCCCAAAUGUACUCCAAAGUCUCAAUUGUUAAAAGUUUAUUAUAUAAGCACACUUACCAGAGAGAAGAAUAGUAAUUGGCACACAACAGUUACUUCAAUAGUUUGGUUGUUUUUCACUUGCAAGGGCAUUCGAUGAGAAACAAAGAAAAGAAGAACAUUGAAAAGCGAUUCUCCUCAAUCACAAAGUUGAGAAGAGGAAGUAGAAAUUCGUUUUUUCCUCUCUUAACCUGUCCUCCACGUCUUCCAUAAUUCCUAACUGAUGUUCCACAUUUCAUAAUCUCUGUCCCAUAUCUUAGUAAUUGAGUAUUGAUGUUCUUGAUCAAGCCCCCCAAGGUCACUGGAGCACUUCUACACAUUUUCUUUGCACCAAUAAUACGGCAUAUCUUGGCAACUAACAACGCAGCAUCGUUUCCUUCGCUCGUAACAUAGCUCUAGCUAGGGCUAAAGGAAGACUCACGGCCAUACUGAGAUGGAACGCCACUAAAGCUCAAACACUAGAACUGGAAAGAUCUCUUCAUUGCCAGUAUAUGAAGUACAAACAACAAAGGUUUUCUGCUCCUAGUUUUAGUAAUGCUUGUGAUACAAGAUUGUUUUCGAUCAUCCCCCAAGGGGCUGAUUCGACGAUCAGUGGCGAGCUCUCUUGCUCGGUGGCCCAGCUUGUUGUUGCUGAAGCGCCAGUUGCCUUGUGAAGUAGUUCACCUCCUUAGCCAGUCGCCUCCUGUUCGCUUCCUCCUCUUGCUGGGCUACCAUCCGUGUGAUUCGGUCGGCAUGGGGAGGAUCCAACGUCACCUGUCGUCCAUGUAAUGGCUGUCCGGCCUGAGCGCCCUCUUGUUGUUGGUCUCGGCCCAGUGAUCAUAGUCCGCGAAGUCGAAGCUAUCGUAUUGUUUCACCCGGAUGCUCCUAUUGUUACCAGCCUCGAUCGCCAAGUCGUCAAUCAUGCGCUUGAGCUCAACAUACCGCUCAACGUCCACCGCCACCAUCUUCGAUCUGCUCCGCUCGUGAGAAGUUCUUCUGGACUCCUUUUUACAAUCACUAACCCCAUACAAAACAAAUGGAUAUGCCACUUUUUUGCCAAAUAUUCUUUCAUUAUCUUUAAGACAAAAAAAAGGUUUUAACCGGCUUACUGAAAUAUUUUUAAAUUUGUUUUAUGGAGCAGCGAUCUCCACAGAUUUGAAGAGCUAGGAGUGAGGAACUAGAAAUUCGUGGAUUCAACCAAAGUUUCGAAGACUUGUUUUGUCCCUGAAUUUUUUCCAUCUUUCACUGAGCUCAUUGAUGGCAUCAACUCUCUGCUUUCAGGAUUUAAUCUGUCCAAGCAUCAAUCCCGUCCUCAGUCCAAGUCGUCCAGCAACAGUUUCUGCCACCAGCUGGGACGCUCUGCAUGUAUAGCCCCUGGUAAUUAAUCCGCUGGAGAAAGCUCCCACGAAAAUUCGCCUUGCAUGUGCGCGGCUGCGGGGUUAAAAGGAGACUGGAUAAACAUGCACACACUUGUCAAUUACAAAAUCAUGCAAGGAGAGUAGGGGAGAAAAACAAGAACAGUACACACACACCGAAACAAGAAACACCAGGGGAAAAAAAAAAAGUGGCAGCCAUGCCUCCAAUGAUGCCCUCUAGAUCCGUAAUUGUACAUGGCACCUCGAUCUCGUGCAGGGCGCUUCAUCCAAACGCAAUUAAAGCACAUAUGUAGCAGUAUGGCAUGCACUCGCACAAGCUUUUGCAUGCGGUUCAGAACUUCCCUCUCCUCUUUCAAAUGCUUCCCUGAAGCCCUUGCAUGAGUCGUCGUCCAUGGGAGGCAGGACAAUGGUCAUCUGGGGAAUAGGCAGAUCAAGCCUUUUCCACGAAUGCCUGCCAGUCUUCGUAACCUUUGGCUGACCGUCUUCAAUCACGUAGUCACUCAAACCCAUGAAACUCCCCGCUUGCUUGGUGCUUAACUCCUGGAUUUAUCAUGUUCACAAGCUCCCCAUUCCCCAGCACAUCCCUGUAUCGCCUCUUGAACGCUUUCAACAGCUCCGAAGGCUUUUAGGCAUCCAUAUGGAAAGUCACAAACCGGGCCUCAUCCAUUGUCGUCUCAGCGGCAUCAGCACCAUUCCGGGAUGGACUUGCGAAGAGGACCGUCCUUCCUCGUGUGGCUCUAUAUCCUUGAAAGCUAUCGUCCAUAAGGAGCCAAGUCCCUGCUAAGCUCAACAGGUCUGUCGGAACUUUAUACAAGCACCAGAUCUCUCCGCCCAGCGAGAUGAUGAUGAAGACCCUGGCAUCCACAAACAGUUGCACUAAAAUGUAUGCUCCAGCUAGUUCCGCAUCGCUGAGGAGCUCGUGAACGAAGUACCAGAUGCAGCACGACUUCCUAUCCCCGGAUUACCGGAGAUGUGCGCGAAGAUGCUGUGGCCGUGUCUCAGCUGACGAUAGAUCUUCUCGUAAGACUUGCGAACGAGGAUGUCGGCAUGGUUGGCUGUGAGCUCGGCUAUGACGGCAGGGAGCCUCAGAAAUCCUUCCGCACCCCAACCCCUGCACAGGUGCGAGCGGGUGUCCGGGGGGAAAGUCUUGUCCUUGGCAAAAGGGACUGCAUAAACAAGCACACACUUGUCAAAGUUACAAAUCAUGGAAGAGCAGAGGGAACAUACACACAACGAAAACAAAAAGACUGUACCUCGAAUGAUAUGCUCUGCCCCGGCGUCGAACUUGACACGGUUUAAGCCAUCGUCCACGCUCAUCCGGCUUCUUGUAAAAGAAACUUAGGGCGCCAGCCGUAACCCGCACUUUGCCAUUCUUUAGACAGAACCUGAGCUUGUCAUCCCUCCAUGCGAAAGUACACGAUGCCAAUCGUCCCACAGCCUUAUAGAAAAUGAGACGAAACAAAAUCCAUGGCUGCUGCUCUGCUGCUGCUCUCUGAAAAGAAAACAAUGAGAUUUGUCAAAAGAUUGCUUUCAGCAAUAUUCUCUCCUUUCACUGCACAGGCCAGCAGCAGCACUAAUAGAGAAGCAAGCAUCUCUCCAUCCCAAAAUGAAACAGAUAAAUGCUUUUUGUGGGUUCCAGCUGAAGAAGAAUCCAUCGAUUUUGUUACGAUCAUGUGAGAGAGCACUUACCUUGCAAGUUCUUCUUGCGGAGUAAAAUUCCUAGAGCGUAGAAACAACAUCUACGACUUUGUAAAGUUUAAAAUUUUGAACUAAGAAUGGAGAGAGAAAAGCUUACUUACGACCAGAAAAGUCUCGAGAGUGAAAAUAAAGAAGAAAAGGGAUACCACUCACAAGUUUGAUUUUCCUGCAAUAAAUAAAUACUCCAGAAGCUUAUGGAUAAAUAAACCACCAUAAACCAUUUCCUUUCGAAAAAUAAAGGUGAAAAAAAAGUAUCCCAAAUCCAAAAGCUAUCCAGCUCCGACCGAAGAAAUUCUUCUUUCUUGCGGAGUGCUCGAUCUCGUCAACUUCUCCCCGAUUUUGCGGAAUGCAAGGCAAAUUUUUGUGGGAGCUUUAUCCAGCAGAUUGAUUACCAGGUCCCAGGAGCGAAAGCUGGUGGAAGAAACUCUUGCUGGUCGACUUGGAGUGGUGGGGAGAGAACGAGAUUGGACGCAUGAUGCUCCGAUGGAUGGCAAGGAGAUUAAAUCCUAGAAGCAGAGAGUUGACGCCAUCAACUAGCUCAGUGAAAGCUAGGGACAGAAGUGAGUGAAAAUCCGCUUCCAAUCGUUUCGAAACUCUGGUUUUAUACGCCAUCAAGAAUAUCUGGCUCCUCACUCCUGAGCUCUUCAAAUCGGUGGAGAGCAUAAAACAAAUUUAAAAUAUUUCAGUAAACCGGUUAAGUUGCUGAAAACCUUUAUCUUAAAGAUGGUGAAACAAUAUUUGGCGAAAAACGUAGUAUAUUCGUUUGUUUCGUAUAGGGUUUGUGAUUGUAAAAGGGAGACGAUCACGAGCAGAGCAGAUCGGAGAUGGUGGCGGUGGACGUUGAGCGGUAUGUUGAGCUCAAGCGCAUGAUCAACGACUUGGCGAUCGAGGCUGGUAACAAAGCAUCCGGGUGAAACAAUACGAUAGCUUUGCCUUCGCGGACUAUGAUCACUGGGCCGAGACCAACAACAAGAGGGCGCUCAGGCCGGACUGCCAUUACAUGGAGGACGAGGUGGCGUUGGAUCCUCCCCAUGCCGACCGGAUCACGCGGAUGGUGGCCGUGGCGCUCCAGCAAGAGGAGGAAGACAACAGGAGGCAACUGGCUAAGGAGGUGAACCACUUCACAAGGCAACUGGCGCUUCAGCAACAACAAGCCGGGCCACUGAGCAAGAGAGCUCGCCACUGAUCGUCAAAUCAUCCCCUGGAGUGAUGAUCGAAAACAAUCUUGUAUCACAAGCUCCAACAAACGUGUGAACAAAGCAAGCUCCUGCCAAGGAGCACAAACUUUUGUUGUUUGUACUUCAUAUAUCUGGCAAUGAAGAGAUCUUUCCAGUUCUAUGAGCCGUGUCUCGCGGAAUAUGGCCGUGAGUCAUUUGGGUCUUCCUUUAGCUAAUAAGCCCUAGCUAGAGCUACAUUAUGAGCGAAGGAAACGUUGCUGCGUUGUUAGCUGCCAGGGUAUGCCGUAUUAUUGGUGCAAAGAAAAUGUGUACAAGUGCUCCAGUGGUGCCUGAUCAAGAACAUCAAUACUCAAAGUCUAUACUGAUGAAAGGAAAAAACGUUUGUUUUGUUUUUUUGAAAAAAACAAUGCGCCUACUCCCUCUUCUCAACUUUGUGAUUGAGGAUAAUGGCUUUUCAAUGGUUCUUCUUUUCCUUGUUUCUCAUCGAAUGCUUGUGUUCUUGCUCCCGCUUCACCACUACCCUUGCAAGUGAAAAACAACCAAACUACUGAAGGAACUGUUGUGUGCAUCAUGUUUUCUUCGAAUCAAAGUACUAUUCUUACGCUCUCUCUGGUUCUACUUGCGAGAACAAACAUGAAUUUAGAGACGAGUCGUUUAAAAUGAGUUCUUUGGAAGUACUUUUAAUAACAGAUUAAGAAAAUGGAGACUUUGGAGUAACAGGAUUUUACCAUGCGAUUCAGCUGCAGGGUUUACUCGAGGUGAUGGCAAACUCCAGUGUUGCAAUCUCACACUUGCUGCCUUUGGCACUUCUGGCAGUUGUCCCGGCACACCUGGUCGCUUGGAGGUGCACAGGAAGUGCCCCUCCACACAUAUCCCCGCCAUAGCCAGGCUCUCCUUGUUGACCACUCCAGGGUGACGACCAAGUCCAUGAGGUGAGCUUGGCCAUUUUGGAGAAUAUAUAUUCCAUUUCCCACUAAGGCUGUGGGUCGUAAUGUUUUUCACAGGGUUAGUAGCCUCAGAAACUGUCGUUGAUUUCUUCGAACAUGGCAUGGUUUAGAUGCUCUAAGACGAAAUGGAAACAUCGCUUCUUUUCGUCCAAGAUGAGAAACGAAGAACAAACAACAUGGUACGUACCUGAGGAAAAUGUCUGAGAAAAGAAUGAUAAAGAACAAGAAGACGAGGUUGGCAUCCGAGGAGCUCGGGGUGACUGUAAAGAUGCACAGGAGCAAGCUCGAGCGCAUUGUGCAGGGCAGCUUCAAUGGAUCGCUCAAGGCUAAAGCAUCCGAAGAAGAGCUGAGGAAGAUCCUCCACCUGGCAUUUCCUCACUAUGAUGCCUUCUAGUGGAAAACUGAUAAGAACUGAUGUCUUGAGAUGUAUUUUAACUUAGAAAUGUAUUUUCCUUUUACACAACAACUAUUGGAGCAAUCGAUUUCACUGAACGAAGAAAUCUUGGUUUUGGUGGUGGCAACUGUGAUGGCAGGUCCUUGUCUUCGCUAGACUCUCUGGGACAACUUUUGGACGUGCUAGCCUCCACUGCAUUGAUCACAAACAAACUCCCCAUUGCACUACUUGUCGAUGGAUCCUAGGUUAUAUACAAACUGAAAAGGGUUGAGACAAAAGGGAGGCAUAUAUAGCUUUUAGUGCGAAUAUUCUUUAUUUUAUUCUGGUCUAAGCUGUUUUGCAUUCAUGUCUUAAGAAAAAAAAUUAUAAUAAUAAAAACAUAAAGAGAAAUAAAAUAUAUAUAUGAUUUAAUAUUUGAGCUUUUACCCUCAUUGAAAUGCCACAUCCACUUGCAUGGUUUCCUAGCUUGCUAUAUCACUCCAAAGGUUCUAGGCAUUAUAAAAUGAUUAGAAAAUCAAUGCUAAAGUAAAGAUAAAUCUUUUGAUUAGGUAUAUCUUGAAAGUAAAUGAUUUGUUUGGCCAUGAGGUAUAAAAUCCUAAACUUCCCUUCUAACAUUACAGGUAUUAAUAUAAACUUACUUCAAGGAUUAUUAGUAUUAAAAAUAUUAGUUAGGAUUUUAAUAAUUGACAGUGUGAGUGAUUGGAAUAUGGAAAGGGAAUAUAGAAAAUGUGCAUAUCAAUUAGCCCAAAAACCCUAGCUUAUAUACAUGAGCGAGUGGUUAGAAUUAAAACCAAUCCGACGGCUACCAAAAUCCCACUAUGCUAAUAUUAGUAUAUAGCAUGUAGCCAUACAUUUGGCCCUCACAUCAUCCCCUCCUCUCGGAAUAAUGGAAGACCAUCAGGGUUCUCUUGUAGACGGGCGGAGGAGGCCUUGGCAGAUCUGUAGGUGGUAUUAAUUGCUCCUGAUCCCUUUGUAUGAAGCGUUUCAACCGCUGCACAUGCACAAUCUCUGGAGGAUCAACCUGCUGGACAUCAUGCCGAACUUCAUAAAUUUGUUGUCCAACAUGCUACAACACGUGAUAUGGUCCUUUCCACUGCACAAGGAGCCCCUUAGAUAAACCAUAUACCGUAAAAUGGGGAAAACAGACUAAUACCAAAUCAUCCAUUUUGUACUCCGCAUGUGGACGAUGAUGGGAGUUAUAACGCUGUUGUUGUCCCACUUGUACAUGGCCUAAGUGUUCGGCAGACUCUGCUUGGACAAGUGGAAGAAUGCUCGUCAAAUACUGAUCCCACGACCUAGCAUCGGCAGCUCGUGGCAAUCGCAAAGGUAAACCCAGCUCUGUUGGUAAUAUUGGAUCAUAACUAUAGAGGAGUUUAUAUGGUGAAGCACCAACAGAACUCUACACCCCUGUAACAUACACAUACCGAAGAGACGGCAAAUAACCAUCCUAAUCCAAAUGCUAAAAUCUCAUCUCUUUGAAUGUCCAAAUGAAUCGUUCCACCAGACCGUUUGAUUGUGGAUGAUAAACAUUUGUGAAAGUGUGGCAUAUCCCUAACCAAGACGUCAAAAGAUGAAAUGCCUCAGCCAUAAAUGCAAGACCAUUAUCCGAAAGAAUCCACUCUGGAUAAGAAUAUUGGAACACCACUCAAUUGAGGAGGAAGUAUCCAACAGCAGUUGUAGAGGCGCUAGCAAGAGCACCAACUUCCACCCAAUGAGUUAAGUAGUUAGAAACAAUAAUAACAUACUCAUUGCCAGCAGUCGACCAUGGAAAAGGUCCCAUAAGAUCAAACGCCACCAACUCAAAUAAAGGGGAAACUGUAAUUGACUCUAACCAUCCUUCCACAACCCGAGGGGGAGUAUUACGAGCUUAGCACCAAACACAGCUACGCACAUACCGGAUAGUAUCACGUCGCAUCUCUGGCCAAUAGAAAGACCUGCGUAGCUUCUCAGUUACAUGACGAUAUCCCAUAUGCCCACCUAGAAUAGGAGAAUCAUGGUAGGCAUAGAGAAACCGCAGGAUAAAGACAGAAGGCACCACCAGCUGUAAAUGAUUAUUAAAAUUUAUCCCCAUAAAAUAAAGAAAGUCAUCUUCAAGACGAUAUUAAGAAUGUAAAUGCCGGAAAGGCAAGUCAUCAGCAAGUGAUGUAGGAUUCUCAAACGCAUUUCGAAGCCUUCGAAUCCACAACUCAAUCUUUUGAGCCUCACGAACUUCAUCAACAGAAGGUAGAUCUUGCUCUGCACCUUGUGGACACUAAACGUCAGGUAUAACAACCGCCAACGGCAUACAAUCCUCAUCUAGAAAAUCCAUAGAGGCUGGAACAACAGGCUUGUCAAAAACAUGAGAAGAGAUUGGAGAAGGAAGAGGAGCUCGAGAAAGGGCAUUAGCAUUAACUAUAGAGUUCCCUGGGCGAUGAACAAUAUCAAAAUCAUAUAUUUGAAGCUUCAAAUCCCAUUAAGCAGGAUGACAAAAUAGGUUCUUCCGCUUCAAUAAUGAAGUAACAACGGCAUGAUCACCUUCAAGUAACAUCCAAGAACCAUGUAGAUAUGCAUGAAGUUUCUUGAAACCUCAAACUGUUGCUAACACUCAUUCUCUGUCAUGGAGUAGUUCAUCUCCGCUAGUUGUAAUGUACGGCUUAUAUAUGCAAUGGGAUGACACUGACCAAGCACGCUCAAGCUCUCUUGCCUCAACACAACUCCAAGACUAAUGUCAGAAGCAUCCACGCAAAAUAAAAGGUCAAGUGUAGUUAGGAUAUGCCAAAACUGGAGGAGUCGUUAAUAGCUUUUUGAGAUCCAUGAAUGCCCACUCACAAUCUGGAAACCAGAUGAAAGAUGAUGUUGAUGACUUCAGCAACGCUCUCAACGGUGCAGUGUGAUCAAAAAGAUGAUUCACAAAACAACUGAGAUACUACAUUUUGCCCAAGAAGCGCUGCACAUUAUUCACACACUUUGGAGUAGAGAACUUUAGAACCGCCACAAGUUUGUUAGGAUUAACUUGCAAACCCUCACGAGAAAUACGGUACCCAAGAUAAGUUGUGUCCUUAGACCCAAACACGCACUUUGACCGCUUCAACUUUAAACUAACGUCGUGUAACCGAUCCAACACUUUACAAACAUCACGAAUGUGCUCCUCCCACAUCCCCUUCGAGUGGAUCAAAACAUCAUCAAUGAAGUCAACAGUCACCUCUGGCAUAUCGCAAAGAACCUUAUCUAUCAUCCGUUGGAAAGUUGCUAGAGCAUUGUUUAAACCAAACGGCAUCACCAAGAACUUGUACAAACCAAACGGUGUAUGAAAACUAGUCUUAAGAAUAUCUUCUUCGGCCAUUGGUACUUGCCAGUACCCAGAAGCAAGAUCUAGCUCGGUGAACUAACGACUUCACCUCAAACGAUCCAAGAGAUUAGCAAUGUGAGGAAGAGGAGCUGAAAGACGGGCAGCGAGAAGUGGAAGAGGCGACGUCUCAUAACGUUGUGCCAAGUGAAGAACAUCAUCAAGGGUGGAGGGAGCAAGUGCAUACACAAGUUCGACAAAAUCUUGACGAAGUGCUGGCCACAACAUUUUUAGCUUGAUCCGCUCCCACAUAUUUGGCUCCGCACAAAACAAAAGACUUCAGAAACGAAUGCCAAAUUGCAUCACUGAUUCAGAUGGCCCUUGGCAAAGACAAUGCAAUUGUUGGAAAGCAUCAUCACAGUCAUCAGCAUGUCUGAAGGCCCGUUUGAAGACGUCCAGGAGAACACUCCAAUCCCCAUGAGUGGCUAUGCUCAGACCAUUGUACCAUUGCAACACUGUCCCUUGGAGACAUAUGGGAAACUCAUGCAAACGUCGAGCAUCAUCCCAAGAAUGAUAUGUGGCAAUCAUCGUGAAGUGAUCGAACCACUGGUACACAUCAUCCCUAAGAUUCCCACGAAAGAACUUUGGCCAAACGCGAGGAUUAAGGGCAGGGUUCCAUGCUCCACCCUAGGGGGAAAAUUUCCAGAGGGGGGAAAUAAAACCCUGGGUUCCAUGCCCCCCCUAGUGACAUGGCACUAAAAAUGGGGGGGAAGUGGGGAACCCGGUGUCCCCUCCGUAAAUUUCUCCCGGAGCCUGGAACUCGGUAAAAUACACAAAUAAAAUAAUGCCAUGUGGCAAAAUUGCCACAUCAUCUAAAAAUUUGACCCGCCCUAAUUUUGCCGCUGUGUGAGCAUGCGAGUUCUUGGAGGGUUUUGGGGGGGAUUUUUGCAGUGAUUUGAGAAGGAAGUUUGUAAGAAAUGGAGAAUCGCUCACCCUCACCUUAUCCAUAGUUGCAAUUUGCCUAUUAUUUUAAUUCAUCAAUAGCUCAAACUCAUGUAAGUAUGAAAUUUUGUAAUUCUGAAAUUUUGCUUGUUUUUCUUAAUGUCCAGGGAGGAGAGGGUUCUUCUUUUAGUGCUAGCAUGGGAUUUAUGCCAAAUGUAACUAUGAUCCAAAUACUUUUCAUUUUCUCUUUGGUUUUUUUCUUUUGUUUAGUAAAAUUUUGCAAUGGUUUUUAGCCUAUCAUUUCUACAUUCAACCCAAUGAUUGGAUUUGUUCCAAGUAUCCCUACAAUGCAAGCUAACUUCAAUUCAUCGAGCUAAGUAUUUUUUCCAAUUGUUUUCCUACUUUGUGCGCUCAAUUUAGGGUAAACAAAAUUGGCACCCUAAUCCUUUAUGACGUGGGAAAAAAAAUGCUAAUGUGUAAACUUACGUGGCAUAUAAAGAAGGGUAGCCAUUAAAAAAAAGGGGAGGGGAUUUUUUUUUGGAGGGGGAGAGAAAUUUCUAGGUGGGUGGAGCAUAGAACCUCGCCCUAACACCAAGAGUAGGAGGAGUUGUACCAUGUGUCGUGAAUGCCGCAUCAAUUGUGUUUGAUUGGUCAAUUGCAAGCACAUAGCAUCAAGCAAUUGUACCAACUGUUGCUCCAAAGUCAAAGGAGGAGAUUGCUGAUCUGCCAUGAAGACGGACAAAGAAAGAGCAAAAGAAGAGAAACAACAAAAAGCGAGAAGGAAAUGGGAGAUCUAGACAAUACAAAAAGCUAGAUCUAAACCAAAAUCCCAAAUUCAAACAUUAUUCAAGGACAAUCAAAAGUGCCCCUCACCUUCACCAAUGUGAGUGCUUGGAAUAUGGAAAAGAAAUACAGAAAAUAUGCAUAUCAAUUAGCCCAAAAACCCUAGCUUAUAUAUAGGAGUGAGUGGUUCGGAUUGAAACCAAUCCGACGGCUAUCAAAAUCCCACUAUGCUAAUAUUAGUAUACAACAUCAUAGCCGUACACUUAGCCCUCACAACAGCAAAAAGAAAUAUAAGUUUAAACAAGAAAAAUAUAAAAGAAAUGCUACUUAUAAUACUUACAGAAAUAUGGCAAUGAAUAUGUGAUUUCGCAUGGAAGCAUUAUAUUUUUAUACAUAUGCAAAUUUAUUUUUUUGUUUUGAGUUACAUGUAAAAAUAUUAUGCAUACAAUCACUUUUCAAUUGGUAUAUAAGCAAUUAAAAUGCCAUUGUGUUGUCAUGAGAUAUGUUAUAUAUGAAUGGGGUAUAGCAACUCAUAUUACCAUAUACACAUCAUGCCAUGUCAUUUUAGACAAUAUGAUAUCAUUGCAAUUUAGUAAGGGGUUUUUUUCUCAUUCUUGUGAGUGCGAAUUUAUAAUGAGUUAAUUGUGAUCAUUUCUCUCCUCUCAUUUCUGUUAGUUAUAAUCCAUUUUUCAUGGUUAUUGCUCAUUUCUCAUAACUAUAGCUUAUUUCUUGCAAUUGUGGUUCAUUUCUUAUAACUUAAAAGUGUUAUGCACCUUAAUCUAUUUAUUGCACCUCUCAUUUUUUGUAAUCUGUUUGCAAUAUGACACUUUAACUUAGUGCCACAAUAAGUGUGAUUAAUUGGAGUGUAGUGGCAAAUGCAAUUAAUUGGAGUGUAAUGGUGAGUGCAAUUGAUUGGAGUGUGGUGGCAAGUUUGAUCAAUUGCAAUGUGGUGGUAAGUGCAAUAAAUUGAAGCACAUUAAUGAGUUCAAUCAAUUGGAAUAUAAAGGCAAAACACUUCUUUAGUUUUUUCUCAAUUUUGUAACUCUCUAGCAUUCACUUACGUAAAAGUUCCUUCAUUUCUUCAUUUGUUGUAAAACCAUUAACUUACAAAAUGCUUUAUUUCGUUAAAGUGGAGCUUUUCAUUAUCCCACUUAUGGUGUGUGGCCACAUGCCAUUUUUAUAACAACAAUAAAAAAUUGAAGUUUUAGCUUUAUAAUUUAUAAAUUAAAAACUUUUCAUAUGAUUUUGUGUUAUAAUAUUGUGAAAUAUAAAAAAUAAAUUAAAAAACUGAUAGAAAUAUUAAUAAAUAUUAAUUAAGUACUAGGAAAUGGCAUGUGGACACAUGCUAAUUAAUGUCCCACUUUACUGAAUAAGUUCCACUUUAACGAAAUAAAGCAUCAAAGUAUUUUUCAUUACCUUUAUCAAAGAGAGUGUCUAAAGAGCCUAUAAUAUUUUAAAAUUUAACUUGCACAUUUGAAAAACAUCACCUAAAAACUUAACCCUAUUGACAUGUAAAACCAAAAUCUAAGAUGGGAUGCAAAAAAUUAUAUAUAUAGCAUUAUUUUAUGAGUCACACACAAGUGUUACAAUAAUUUAAACACACAUGUGUUUUAUUUUUAUAUAUUUUGCAAAUGUGAAAGAUAAUUUACUAGAUUAUCUAUCCUAGGUACAUCUCCUCUCUUUGGAGGUGUACCUCCCCCCAAAAUACUUCAGAAUUUAAUAGUGUAAAAAUAAUAAAUGAAAAUAUAUUAAAACUUAAACAUUAUAAUUUAAAAAAAAUUAACUAAAACUUUAGAAAUAAUAUAGUAAAUUGUUAUUAAAUCAUCUCUUCUAAUAAAAAAGUAUGCUUUUGUGAGGGCAAAGUGUACAACUACGAUGCCAUAUACUAAUAUUAGUGUAGUGGGAUUUUGGUAGCCGUCGGAUUGGUUUCAAUCCGGACCACUCGCUCUUGUAUAUAAGAUAGGGUUUUUGGGCUAAUUGAUAUGUACAUUUCUGUAUUCCCUUUUUAUAUUCCAUGCACUCACAUUGGUGGAGGUGAAGGGCACUUUUGAUUGUCCUUGGGGAGUGCUUGGAUUUGGGAUUUCAGUUUAGAUUUAACUUUUGCAUCGUCUAGAUCUAACUUUUUCCAUUUCCUUUCUUUUGUUCUUUCCUUUCAGGAUUUUGGUUUAAAUCUAGCUUUUUGCAUUGUCUAGAUCUACCAUUUCUUUCCAGCUUUUUGUCAUUUCUCUUCUUUUGCUCUUUCUUUUUUGUUCAUCUUCAUGGCCGAUCAACAAUCUCCUCCUUUGACUCUAGAGCAGCAGUUGGUUCAAUUGCUUAAUGUUAUGCGCUAGCAAUUGAAUAACCAAACUCAAUUGAUGGCGGCAUUCACGGCACAUGGUCUAACUCCUCCUGCUCUUGAUGCCAAUCCUUGUGUUUGGCUGGAGUUCUUUCGUGAGAAUCCUAGGGAUGAUGUGUACCAUUGGUUCAAUCACUUCACAGUGAUUGCCACAUAUCAUUCUUGGGAUGAUGCUCGAUGUUUGUGUGAGUUUCCCACGUGUCUCCAAGGGACGGCAUUGCAGUGGCACAAUGGAUUGAGUAGAUGCAAAAGCUAGAUCUAAACCGAAAUCCCAAAUCCAAGCACUCCCCAAGGACAAUCAAAGGUGCACGUGGUCCAACUCCUCCUGCUCUUGAUGCCAAUCCUCGCGUUCGGCCGGAGUUCUUUCGUGGGAAUCUUGGGGAUGAUAUGUACCAUUGGUUCGAUCACUUCACAGUGAUUGCCAUGCCUUCAGACAUGCCGACGAUUGUGACGAUGCUUUCCAACAAUUGCAUCGUCUUCGCUAAGGGCCAUCUUGAGUCGGUGAUGCAAUUUGGCGUUCGUUUCCGAAGUCUUUGCUUCGUGUGGAGCCCAAUAUGUCGGAGCGGAUCAAGCUAGGAAUGUUGUGGCUAGCACUUCGUCAAGAUCUUGUCGGCCUUGUGCAUGCACUUGCUCCUGCCACCCUUGACGAUGCUCUUCGCUUAGCACAACGUUAUGAAACAUCGCCUCUUCCACUCCUUGUUGCAUGUCCUUCAACUCCACUUCCUAUAAGUGAUGGUCCUGUUCCAAUGGAGGUUGAUGCUGUUGCUACUUGAGUCCACGGACAAGGGCGAAGACGUGGUUGUGGCCGUGAUGUUUGUUGUUAGGCAUCUAAUGAAGUUGGUCAUACUUAUCGGCGUUGUUGACGCUUUUCGAAUUGGCGACCUCCAUUUCCUGGAUGGAGACCUUGGCGUCAGCACCGUCCCGUUGGUGCUGCUGCGGUGGAAGGUUUGGACACCGAGGUGCAUCCGGGAAAUGAGGAGUCGCGCGAGUAACAGAGGGACCUUGCGCGAAUAAGUCAGUGACCCCUCCAUCUUUCUUUCGAGAGUAUCAUCAAGGGGUUCACUUGGCACCAGUUCAUCCAGUGUUUACUUUCCAAGCUCGUUUUUAUAACAAGAGGUCUUCUAUUCUUCUCUCCGUGUUGGUUGAUACAGGUUCGAGUUUAUCUUCUAUUGCUCGACCUAUUGCCACACGUUGUUGCCUACACUUGCAUCGUGUGGCGGAUCUAGUUUUCAUUCUUUAUAGCAACGGCCGUACACAUGCAUGUGCACGAGAUGAGGCGAACCUGGUUGUGCAUGUGGGUGAUCUCGAGCUUGAGUUGUAGUCAUUAUGGGUGGUGCCGAGUCAAGCUUUUAACCUCAUUCUUGGUAUGGAUUGGUUGCAGUGUAAUCAUGCCAAGUGUGAUUUUGAGGCUUUUCCCCCUUGUCUCAUACUUCUUUAUGUUUCAUCCAUAUGAGGAAAUGCCAGGUUAAGGAUUUUCCUCAGCUCCUCCUUAGACACUUUAACCUUGAGCGAUCCAGCCGAUUGAUUCGGGCAAGCAUAGCACGCUCCUACACAUGCGCUGGAGCUUGCUCCCCUGCAUCUUGAAGCUCAUCCCAAGCUCCUUGGACUCGGCUGCCAACCUCGUCUUUUUGAGCACCAGCACCACCACUGGCUCGUGGCGCUGCUGCUGCCGCUCUAGCAGGGAAAUCCUUUAUUGACUGCUAUUGACUGGGCAUUGACUGGGCCGUUAGCUCGCCUGCUCUGUGUGAUCCUCUUCUUCCUGUGCUUCUUUUUGAGCAGCAAUAAGGAAUGCCUGGCUAUGGCGGGGAUAUGCGUGGAGGGGCAAUUCCUGUGCACCUUCACAAGCGACUAGGCGUGAUGGGACUAUUGUUGUAAGUGCCACUACAUCAAAGGCAACAGUGAGAUUUGCAAGUAGAAAUUCGUUUUUUCCUCUCUUAACCUGUCCUCCACGUCUUCCAUAAUUCCUAACUGAUGUUCCACAUUUCAUAAUCUCUGUCCCAUAUCUUAGCAAUUGAGUAUUGAUGUUCUUGAUCAAGCCCCCCAAGGUCACUGGAGCCACAUUUUCUUUGCACCAAUAAUACGGCAUAUCUUGGCAACUAACAACGCAGCAUCGUUUCCUUCGCUCGUAACAUAGCUCUAGCUAGGGCUAAAGGAAGACUCACGGCCAUACUGAGAUGGAACGCCACUAAAGCUCAAACACUAGAACUGGAAAGAUCUCUUCAUUGCCAGGUAUAUGAAGUACAAACAACAAAGGUUUCCUGCUCCUAGUUUUAGUAAUGCUUGUGAUACAAGAUUGUUUUCGAUCAUCCCCCAAGGGGCUGAUUCGACGAUCAGUGGUGAGCUCUCUUGCUCGGUGGCCCGGCUUGUUGUUGCUGAAACGCCAGUUGCCUUGUGAAGUAGUUCAUCUCCUUAGCCAGUUGCCUCCUGUUCGCUUCCUCCUCUUGCUGGAGCGCCAGGGCUACCAUCCGUGUGAUUCGGUCGGCAUGGGGAGGAUCCAACGCCACCUCGUCGUCCAUGUAAUGGCAGUCCGGCCUGAGCGCCCUCUUGUUGUUGGUCUCGGCCCAGUGAUCAUAGUCCGCGAAGUCGAAGCUAUCGUAUUGUUUCACCCGGAUGCUCCUAUUGUUACCAGCCUCGAUCGCCAAGUCGUCAAUCAUGUGCUUGAGCUCAACAUACCGCUCAACGUCCACCGCCACCAUCUCCGAUCUGCUUCGCUCGUGAGAAGUUCUUCUGGACUCACUAACCCUAUACAAAACAAAUGGAUAUGCCACUUUUUUGCCAAAUAUUCUUUCAUUAUCUUUAAGACAAAAAAAAGGUUUUAACCGGCUUAUUGAAAUAUUUUUAAAUUUGUUUUAUGGAGCAGCGAUCUCCACAGAUUUGAAGAGCUAGGAGCGAGGAACUAGAAAUUCGUGGAUUCAACCAGAGUUUCAAAGACUUGUUUUGUCCCUGAAUUUUUUCCAUCUUUCACUGAGCUCAUCGAUGGCAUCAACUCUCUGCUUUCAGGAUUUAAUCUCCUCGUCAUCCGUCCAAGCAUCAAUCCCGUCCUCAGUCCAAGUCGUCCAGCAAGAGUUUCUGCCACCAGCUGGGACGCUCUGCAUGUAUAGCCCCUGGUAAUUAAUCCGCUGGAGAAAGCUCCCACGAAAAUUCGCCUUGCAUGUGCGCGGCUGCGGGGUUAAAAGGAGACUGCAUAAACAUGCACACACUUGUCAAUUACAAAAUCAUGCAAGGAGAGUAGGGGAGAAAAACAAGAACAGUACACACACACCGAAACAAGAAACACCAGGGGAGAAAAAAAAAGUGGCAGCCAUGCCUCCAAUGAUGUCCUCUAGAUCUGUAAUUGUACAUGGCACCUCGAUCUCGUGCAGGGCGCUUCAUCCAAACGCAAUUAAAGCAAGCUUUUGCAUGCGGUUCAGAACUUCCCUCUCCUCUCUUUCAAAUGCUUCCCUGAAGCCCUUGCGUGAGUCGUCGUCCAUGGGAGGCAGGACAAUGGUCAUCUGGGGAAUAGGCAGAUCAAGCCUUUUCCACGAAUGCCUGCCAGUCUUCGUAACCUUUGGCUGACCGUCUUCAAUCACGUAGUCCCUCAAACCCAUGAAACUCCCCGCUUGCUUGAUGCUUAACUCCUGGAUUAUAAUUUAUCAUGUUCACAAGCUCCCCAUUCCCCAGCACAUCCCUGUAUCGCCUCUUGAACGCUUUUAACAGCUCCGAAGGCUUUUAGGCAUCCAUAUGGAAAGUCACAAACUGGGCCUCAUCCAUUGUCCUCUCAGCGGCAUCAGCACCAUUCCGGGAUGGACUUGCGAAGAGGACCCUCCUUCCUCGUGUGGCUCUAUAUCCUUGAAAGCUAUCGUCCACAAGGAGCCAAGUCCCUGCUAAGCUCAACAGGUCUGUCGGAACUUUAGAUCUCUCCGCCCAGCGAGAUGAUGAUGAAGACCCUGGCAUCCACAAACAGUUGCACUAAAAUGUAUCUCCAGCUAGUUCCGCAUCGCUGAGGAGCUCGCGAACGAAGUACCAGAUGCAGCACGACUUCCUAUCCCCGGAUUACCGGAGAUGUGCGCGAAGAUGCUGUGGCCGUGUCUCAGCUGACGAUAGAUCUUCUCGUAAGACUUGCGAACGAGGAUGUCGGCAUGGUUGGCUGUGAGCUCGGCUAUGACGGCAGGGAGCCUCAGAAAUCCUUCCGCAUCCCAACCCCUGCACAGGUGCGAGCGGGUGUCCGGGGGGAAAGUCUUGUCCUUGGCAAAAGGGACUGCAUAAACAAGCACACACUUGUCAAAGUUACAAAUCAUGGAAGAGCAGAGGAAACAUACACACAACGAAAACAAAAAGACUGUACCUCGAAUGAUAUGCUCUGCCCCGGCGUCGAACUUGACACGGUUUAAGCCAUCGUCCACGCUCAUCCGGCUUCUUGUAAAAGAAGCUUAGGGCGCCAGCCGUAAGAACCUCUCCGACCCGCACUUUGCCAUUCUUUAGACAGAACUUGAGCUUGUAACUUGGCUCCUCACUCCUGAGCUCUUCAAAUCGGUGGAGAGCAUAAAACAAAUUUAGUAAACCGGUUAAGUUGCUGAAAACCUUUAUCUUAAAGAUGGUGAAACAAUAUUUGGCGAAAAACGUAGUAUAUCCGUUUGUUUCGUAUAGGGUUUGUGCUUGUAAAAGGGAAACUAGAAGAACUUCUCACGAGCAGAGCAGAUCGGAGAUGGUGGCGGUGGACGUUGAGCGGUAUGUUGAGCUCAAGCGCAUGAUCGACGACUUGGCGAUUGAGGCUGGUAACAAUAGGAGCAUCCGGGUGAAACAAUACAAUAGCUUCGACUUCGCGGGCUAUGAUCACUGGGCCGAGACCAACAACAAGAGGGCGCUCAGGCCGGACUGCCAUUACAUGGAGGACGAGGUGGCGUUGGAUCCUCCCCAUGCCGACCGGAUCACGCGGAUGGUGGCCGUGGCGCUCCAGCAAGAGGAGGAAGACAACAGGAGGCAACUGGCUAAGGAGGUGAACCACUUCACAAGGCAACUGGCGUUUCAGCAACAACAAGCCGGGCCACCGAGCAAGAGAGCUCGCCACUGAUCGUUGAAUCAUCCCCUGGAGGGAUGAUCGAAAACAAUCUUGUAUCACAAGCUCCAACAAACGUGUGAGCAAAGCAAGCUCCUACCAAGGAGGACAAACUUUUGUUGUUUGUACUUCAUAUAUCUGGCAAUGAAGAGAUCUUUCCAGUUCUAUGAGCUUUAGUGGCGUUCCAUCUCCAGAAUAUGGCUGUGAGUCCCUUCCUUUAGCUAAUAAGCCCUAGCUAGAGCUACAUUACGAGCGAAGGAGUUAUUAGCUGCCAGGGUAUGCCGUAUUAUUGGUGCAAAGAUAAUGUGUACAAGUGCUCCAGUAACAUUAAUACUCAAUUCACAACUACACAAAAGCAUUAGAAUGACGUGUUUUUCCAACCAAAAUUUUGUGUUUGCUGGAAAUUUAAGUUGUAAUUUUAACCUACUUGCUAUCAACUUAAAUGUUAGUAGCAAAUUGGCUUUAGUUACAAAUUUUAAAUUGCAAUGUCUGAUAGCAUUCAUAGUUACUCAGAUUUAAGUUGGAAAUUAUAGUUGUUCUUUACAACUAAAAUAGAAAUCAUAACUUUUACAUAUUCUUUAAAAUUAGAUAAGCUCAUAUAUGUUGCUAAUUAGAGUUGCAAUUUACAAUUUUUAACAUGCAACUAAAAUGUAAGUUCUUAAGGUUUGUAGUUGCAAAAUUUUUAGUCACAAAUUUCAAUAAUAUUUAGUUUAUGCUUUUUGUUUAGAAUUUAGGAAUGAAAGUUGCAUGUUGGUAUUUAAGAUGUAGAGGAAAUCAAAUUUGCCUCAUACAAAUUAUCAUAGAUUAUAUUCAUCUUUAUGGUAGACAUCCUUCAGCACGCAUGAUUUCUAAUAAAAGAUAUUCAAGGGAUUAGAUUAUGCAGAUCUACUACUUCAGCAAAAUAAAAUUUUUAAAAUUGGUGAAAUUUUUGUUAAUAGAGGUGGCAAUGACAAUAUUAAGGAUGAGAUUAUUUUUCAGAAUGGUUACAUGGAUAUGAAGAUAAUUUAUUACCUAUUUAUGAAGGGGCUAGUGCUUCUAUUUUGUCAGCUUGUUUAAGUUAUUCCUAAAAUAUCAAACCAAGCAACAGAUUAUUUUGUAACCUAAUUAAUUUUUAUUUAUUAUUUAGUAUUAAAUUUUUCAUUAUUUGGAUGAAGGCUCUUCAAACAAAUAUUACCUACAAAUAUAGUUUAUAUAUGAAGUAGUUCAAGUAUGUAUGAACCAUGUAGAUAUGCAUAAAAUUUCUCGAAACCCCAAACUGCUGCUAAAUAAUCUUUCUCCGUCGUGGAGUAGUUCACCUUUGCUGGUUGUAAUGUACAGCUUAUAGAUGCAAUGGGAUGAUGUUGACCAGGCACACUCGGGCUUUCUUGCAUCAACACACCUCCAAGACCAAUAUCAUAAGCAUCUACGCACAAAAUAAAAGGUCAAGUGUAGUCAGGAUAUGCCAAAACCGGAGGAGUCAUCAACAAUUCUUUGAGAUCCACAAACGCCCGCUCACAAUCUGAAGACCAAAUGAAAAAUGACGUUGAUGACUUCAGCAACGCUUGCAACGGUGCAAUGCGAUCAGAAAGAUGAUUCACAAAACAAUCGAAAUACUGCACCUUGCCCAAGAAGCGCUGCACAUCAUUCACACACUUCGGAGUAGAGAACUUUAGAACAGCCACAAGUUUGUCAGGAUCAACUUGCAAACCCUCAUGAGAAAUACGAUACCCAAGAUAAAUCGUGUUCUUGGACCUAAACACGCAUUUCAACCGCUUCAACUUUAAACUAACAUUCCGUAGUUAAUCCAACACUUUACACACAUCACGAAUGUGCUCCUCCUACGUCCCCUCCGAGUGAAUCAAGACAUCAUCAAUGAAGUCAACAAUCACCUCUAGCAUAUCACAAAGAAUUUCAUCCAUCAUCCGCUGGAAAGUUGUUGAAGCAUUGUUCAAAGCAAACGGCAUCACUAAGAACUCAUACAAACCAAAUGGUGUACGAAAACCAGUCUUAGGAAUAUCUUCUUCGGCCAUCGGUACUUGCCAGUACCCAGAAGCAAGAUCUAGCUUGGUGAGCUAACGACUUCACCCCAGACGAUCCAAGAGAUCAGCAGUGUGAGGAAGAGGGUACACAUCUGGGAUCGUCACUUCAUUUCAUGGACGAUAGUGGAUGCAGAAACGAAUACUCCCAUCAGGCUUCGUCACAAGAUGAGGUUCAUAUGCCCAAAGACUCCGCGACUUCUAAAUAACACCCUUCUCCAACAUCUCCUUGACGUUUACACGUCCUUGGGUGACCGACGACAAACAGGAACCUUAAUUGGAUGAGCAUCCCCGGUUGAAAUCGGAUGACGUGUGGCAAUCUUGGCCCCAGACGAUAGGUCAAAUUCAAAGAGAUCAGAAUACUCCUUCAUAAGUCAGUCAACCACUGCAACACAAAGACUGUCGGAGGGAUUGAAAAAGGGAAGAGUAGAACAAGAUAAAAACAUAGGAGAAAAGAAUGGAGGAAUAAAAGUAAUGAAAGCAAAAGUAUAAGUAAAGGGACAAAAAGGUACAGAAGUGAGAGGAAUGGAUAAAACAUAAAGAAGUAUGAGAUAAGGGGGAGAAGCCUCAAAGUCAGACUUGGCAUGAUUGCAUUGCAACCAAUCUAUACCAAGAAUGAGGUCAAAAACUUGACUUGGCACCACUCGUAAUGACUACAACUCAAGCUCGAGACACACACAACCAGGUUUGCCUCAUCCCAUGCACAUGCAUGUGUAUGGCCGUUGCCAUAAAGAAUGAAAACUAGUUUCGCUGCACGACGCAAGUGUAGACGGCAACGUGUGGUAACAGGUCGAGCAAUAGAAGAUAAACUCGAACCUAUAUCAACUAAUACGGAGAGAAUAAUAGAAGACCUCUUGUUAUAAAAACAAGUUUGGAAAGUAAACACUGGAUGAACUGGUGCCGAGCAAACCCCUUAAUGAUACUCCCGAAAGAAAGAUGAAGGGGUCAUUAACUUAUUCGCGCAAAGUCCCUCAAUUACUCACGCGACUCCUUAUUUCCCGAAUGCAUCUCAGUGUUCAAACCUUCAACUGCAGCAGCACUAACAGGAUGUUGCUGACGCCAAGGUCUCCACCUAGGAAAUGGAGGUCGCCAAUCCAGAAAAUGCUGACAGCGCUAAUAAGUAUGACCAACUUCAUCACACACCUAGUAGUGAAUAUCACGGCCAUGACCACGUCCUCGCCCUUGUCCUUAGACUCGAGCAAUAACAGCAUCAACCUCCAUUAAAACAGGACCAUCAUCCAUAGGAAGGGGAGUUGAAGGACGGGUAGCGAGAAGUGGAAGAGGUGACAUGGCAGAAAGAAAAGGAGCUUAAGUUCCUUUGGUUGGAGCUGGAUAGCUUUGGGAAGGAAGAUUUACUUCCUCUUCUAGAAGGGAACAAGCACACAGUCAUGCACGACGAAGUUUUCAAAAUGAGGCAUGCACGAAACUUCACCUGGAACAUUACACUACUGCAAAUCCCCUCUCGAACUUGUUUUCCUGGUGCCACUUAAGGAGCUCUUGGAACAAAUCCGAGAAUGGCCCCAUUGCGUUCCUAUCUCCGGAAUAUCCUCCUUCAGGCAUAUGCCCAGAGGGGGUCUUCGACAGGAUGCCGUCCAAGGACGUGGUCGCGUGGACGGCUAUGGUGAAUGCCUAUGCCGAGAACGGCGUUGUGGACCUCGUGCAAUGUAUGUUCGAGAAUAGGCCCGUGAGGAACGUGGUGUCGUGGAACUCCAUGCGUUUUGCAUAUGCCCAAAGCGGGUAUUGCAGUCAAGACAUGGAGCUCCUUCAUAUCAUGCCUGCUCACAACGAGUACACGUGGAAUGUUAUGAUUCCUUGCUACGCUCUUAGUGGAAAAACGGGCAAGGCUAUGGUUGUGUUCCCGUCGGCGCAAGAAUGCUAUGGUGAAAGAUCCCUUUGACGCAAUGCCUGCUCGCAAUAUUGUGUCGUGGAAGAAGCUCGAUUUAAGCUCAAUCACCUGGAGCGUGAUGCUUCAAGCAUUUGCAGGGUUUGGGCAUGUACAAGAUGGCGAGAGUUUGUUUCAGAUCAUGCGAGAAACCUCACUCGGCGAUCCCAGUUGCUUGUCAGCGUGGACCAACAUGAUUGUUUUAUAAGAUUGACAAAGCUCGAGCAGUGUUUGAUGCUUUGGCGUGCCUGGACAAGGUCUCCUGGAACACCAUGCUCGCUCACCUGACGUCCACCACUGCAAAUAUUUCUUUGAGCAAAUGCCCGGCCACAACCUGGUGUCUUACAACACUGUCUUGUCCUCGGUGGUCAGCUGCAGAUUAUCCGAGAAAGCAGUGAAAAUCUUCGUCGAAAUGCUAGAGAUAACAUACAGUGUGAUGAUGCAAGCUUAUGCACAGGAAGGCCAGCUUGCGAGUGCCAGGGACAUCUAGGAGACAAUGCCGGAUCGCAACUCAGUGGCUCUCAUCACCGUGAUCUUGGCACUCGCACAGCCCAAUCCCCAAGAACAGCCUGGAGCUCGAUCAUCCCGGCCUAUGUGCAGAACGGACGCGUGACUGGAUCGCUUUCGAGAGAUGAUCUUGCUGUCUUUCAAGCCAGACGAGACCAUCUUCACGAGAAAUCUAGCAGCGGCAGCGAGCCAGCUCGAGCAGUGUUGCCGAGAUUUUUUGUCCAUGAUCGCAAACUUUGGGAUCUCUCCCAGGAUCGAGCAUUAUGAUUGACACAAUAGGGCAACCUGGUCAGCUGGAGCAAUCCAUGCCAUUUGUUCCACAGCCGGGCUUGUGGAUGAUUCUUCUGGGCUCGAAAUGCAAAGGUUGUGGAAAUGUCGGCUGGAAAAUCGGGAUAAUGCCAGGUUGACAACCAACAAUCCUAGUCAUCCCGGAGAUGCGGGUGUUGUGCCAUGUAAGCUGAAAACCUAUCCCACCAGCCAAGGCGCAAUAGAGGAACACUGGUAUAAAAGAAAUGGAGUGGGAGGUAUGGUUAAUCCGGGAGAGCCUGAAAGGGCGCUUGCAUCCCUCGGGUUGCUUAGUAAAUGGGGUCGCUGACCCUUGACCACUUGGCCCCCCUCGUCGGUGACCCAGUAGUGCUAAGUCGGUAUGGUCAACUCCACCGUGACCUACCGGAUAGCGCUUGGUACCCAGGGCGCCCAAGGAGGCCCGAUAUCUUUUGCAAACAUUUCUUUGAUCUUCCUUUGUGGAAUUUCUUGGUGCGCCAGGCCUUGAAGUAAAUUUUUUCACUCAUUUGAGAGAAACGAAUGUUUGCGGCAUCAGGCGGUUCUCAAUUUCGCAAGACCAUCAAAGCUCAACCUAAUGCGUUAUGUAGAUGAUGCUUCUCUCUCUUUCUUUUUCCCGAACAAGCAAGGAUGGCACUUUCAAGUGCCUGAGAAAGGAUAGAGAAUUGUGCUCCAAACACGUUACACUUGUUCUAACAAACUUGUGAACAAAGCAAGCUCCUGCGAAGGAUCAAAAACUUUUGUUGUUUGUACUUCAUAUACCUGGCAAUGAAGAGAUCUUUCCAGUUCUAUGAGCUUUAGUGGCGUUCCAUCUCGCGGAAUAUGGUCGUGAGUCAUUUGGGUCUUCCUUUAGCUAAUAAGCCCUAGCUAGAGCUACAUUACGAGUGAAGGAAACGUAUUGGUGCAAAGAAAAUGUGUACAAGUGCUCCAGUGGUGCCUGAUCAAGAACAUCAAUACUCAAAGUCUAUAUUGAUCAAUUCAACCUCUAAGGAAAAAACGUUUGUUUUGUUUUUUGGAAAAAAACAAUGCGCCUACUCCCUCUUCUCAACUUUGUGAUUGAGGACAAUGGCUUUUCAAUGGUUCUUCUUUUCUCCUUUUCCUUGUUUCUCAUCGAAUGCUUGUGUUCUUGCUCCCGCUUCACCACUGCCCUUGCAAGUGAAAAACAACCAAACUACUGAAGUAACUGCUCUGUGCAUCAUGUUUUCUUCGAAUCUAAGUACUAUUCUUACGGUCUCUCUGGUUCCACUUCCGAGAACAAACAUGAAUUUAGAGACGAGUCAUUUAAAAUGAGAUGGAAGUACUUUUAAUAACAGAUUAAGGAAAUGGAGACUUUUGAGCAACAGGAUUUUACCAUGUGAUUCAGCUGCAGGGUUUGCUCGAGGUGAUGGCAAACUCCAGUGUUGCAAAUCUCACACUUGCUGCCUUUGGCACUUGUGGCAGUAGUCCUGGCACACCUGGUCGCUUGGAGGUGCACAGGAAGUGCCCCUCCACACAUAUCCCCGCCAUAGCCAGGCUCUCCUUGUUGACCACUCCAGGGUGACGACCAAGUCCAUGAGGUGAGUUUGGCCAUUUUGGAGAGUAUAUAUUCCAUUUCCCACUAAGGCUGUGGGUGGUAAUGUUUUUCACAGGGUUAGUAGCCUCACAAACUGUCGUUGAUUUCUUCGAACAUGGCAUGGUUUAGACGAAAUGGAGACAUCGCUUUUUUUCGUCCAAGAGGAGAAACGAAGAACAAACAACAUGGUACGUACCUGAGGAAAAUGUCUGAGAAGACGAGGUCGGCAGCCGAGUCCGAGGAGCUCACGGGAGCAAGCUCGAGCGCAUGACUAGGAGCCUGCUGGGCUCGCCCGGAGCGAUCGUGCAGGGCAGCUUCGAUGGAUCGCUCAAGGCUAAAGCAUCUGAAGAAGAGCUGAAGAAGAUCCUCCGCCUGGCAUUUCACUAUGAUGCCUUCUAGUGGAAAACUGAUAAGAACUGAUGUCUUGAGAUGUAUUUUAACUUAGAAAUGUAUUUUCCUUUUACACAACAACUAUUGGAGCAAUCAAUUUCACUGAACGAAGAAAUCUUGGUUUUGGUGGUGGCAACUGUGAUGGCGAGUCCUUGUCCUCGCUAGAUUUUCUUUUUGACUCUUUGGGACAACUUUUGGACGUGCUAGCCUCCACUGGAUUGAUCACAAACAAGCUCCCCAUUGCACUACUUGUCGAUGGUAUACAAACUGAAAAGGGUUGAGACAAAAGGGAGGCAUAUAUAGCUUUUAGUACGAAUAUUCUUUAUUUUAUUCUGGUCUAAGCUGUUUUGCGUUACUUAUAAUUUACGGUCAUACCUUGUAUGUCUUAAGAAAAAAAUUUAUAAUAAUAAAAAAAUAAAGAGAAAUGAAAAAUAUAUUAUGAUUUAAUAUUUGAGCUUUUAUCCUCAUUGAAAUGCCACAUCCACUUGCAUGGUUUCCUAGCUUUUUAUAAUGCCUAGAACCUUUGGAGUGAUAUAGCAAGCUAAAGUAAAGAUAAAUCUUUUGAUUAGGAAUAUCUUGAAUUGUUUGGCCAUGAGGUAUAAAAUCCUAACUUCCCUUCUAACAUUAUAGGUAUUAAUAUAAACUUACUUCAAGGAUUAUUAGUAUUAAAAAUAUUAGUUAGGAUUUUAAUAAUUGACAGAAAAAACAAAUAUAAGUUUAAACAAGAAAAAUAUAAGAGAAAUGUUACUUACAAUGCUUACAGAAAUAUGGCAAUGAAUAUGUGAUUUCACAUGGGAGCAUUAUAUAUUUACACAUGUGCAAAUUUAUUUUUUUGUUUUGAGUUGCAUGCAAAAAUAUUAUGCAUUCAAUCACUUUUCAAUUGCUAUAUAACCAAUUAAAAUGCCAUUGUGUUGUCAUGAGAUAUGUUAUAUAUGCAUGGGGCAUAACAACUCAUAUUACCAUAUUGUUGCGAAUUUGAUUUUGAGUAUCGAAAGAUAUUUGUCGACCAGUCCUUACGGGCACUUUUUCCUUACUGCCCGACAGUGGUAUUGAUGAUCCCUUUUAUAGUUUCCACUCAAGCUAAUUGAGAAACUGGUCAUCGUGUGUGCACUUGAUUAGAUAAGCAUAAGGACAGAAUUCCUACAUACUAUUUGUCAAGCAUAUUUAAUCUGGUUAGAGAAACUCAUUCGUUGAUUUGCACUUGCUAGUGUUGGGAACCCCCAUGAUAUUGAGACUAGUCCCUCAAUAUCACUAGAUGAUAGCUUACUGUGUUUGCCAAACACCCUCGCUAUCAUGCCCUUUGUGUUAGUCUCAUUUCGGUCCCAAAUGCUAAUUAUGAAAAAUAUCUAGAUUUGCUCAUUUGGCAUAUUUACGGAAUGUAAAGAUUGGUCUGAACACAAUGGUGUUUGUCCCGUGUCCAAAUUCACAAUUUAACGCCAUUCCAUAUUUAGUAAGUUUCAAACUUGUCCCAAAGACUAAUUCUUGGUACUAAGGGAGGCUUGGGGUGAAAGCCCAAAGCGUGUGUCCUUCAAGGGGGGGGGGGGGUUCCAAAUGUAUAGUAGGGAUAAUGGGUAGGUCAGACAUGCCUGACUAACCUAAGGCAUAAUUUAGCUCCUGCAUGCAUGUCUGUCUUUGUUCUGCGUCUGGCUUGGGUCUAAGCUCAAGUUUCAUUCUAUGCUAGCUGAUGGAGUACCCAUGUCCUCACGUUAGACCACCGGUAUGCCAAAAUAGCACCAAACUCCGUUUAACUAUGUUUUGCAUGCUGGUUUUGGCAUUGGGAUGCUGGUUGCUCUAGGACUAUACCAAGUCGCUCCGGGCUCCUGUCCCUUUGCUUCUUGGGCUAUAUGUUCGGGAAUUGCUCUGUGGUUCGGUUCCAUUGCUCCUAGGCUCCAUGCUUGGGAGUUUGGCACCGUUCCUUCGUUCAGUGGCCCACCAUUGAACCUCGGGUUCCGCACCACUGUCCUUUGGACACGUGGCAUGUGUCACAUGGUAUAAAGAGGGUUUAAGUUCCAUUUCGUGGUGUUAUCCUAUGGUAAAUCACUAUAGGAUAAAGGGUCAAAACCACGUGCGCUACACCAUAUACACAUCAUGCCAUGUCAUUUUAGACUAUGAUAUCACUGUAAUUUAGCAAAGGUUUUUUUUCUCAUUCUUGUGAGUGCAAAUUUAGGAUGAGUUAAUUGUGAUCAUUUCUCUCUUCUCAUUUUUCUUAGUUAUAAUUCAUUUUUCAUGGUUAUGGCUUAUUUCUCACAACUAUAACUUAUUUCUUGUAGUUGUGGCUUAUUUCUUAGAAUUUAGAGGUGUUAUGCACCUUAAUCUAUUUAUUGCACCUAUUUAUUGGUGUAGUGGCAAGUUUGAUCAAUUGAAGUGUGGUGGUAACUGUAAUUAAUUGAAGCACAAUGAUGAGCUCAAUUAAUUGGAAUAUCGAGGCAAAACAAUUCUUUAGUUUUUUUUCUCAAUUUGUAGUUUUAUUUAGCAUUCACUCACGUAAAAAUUUCUUCAUUUCUUCAUUUGUUACAAAACCAUUAACUUACAAAGUAUUUUUUAUUACCUUUAUUAAAAAGAGUGCUUAAAGAGCCUAUAAUAUUUUAAAAUUUGGCUUGCACAUUUGAAAAACAUCACCUAAAAACCUAACCCUGUUGACAUGUAAAAACAAAAUCUAAUGUGGGAUGCAAAAAAUUAUAUAUAUGGCAUUAUUUUAUGAGUCACACAUAUGUGUUACAAUAAUUUAAACACACAUGUGUUUUAUUUUCAUAUAUUGCAAAUGUGAAAGAUUUUUUACCAGGUUAUCUACCCUAGGUACAUCAGAAUUUAAUAGCGUAAAUACAUUAAAUGAAAAUAUAUUAAAACUUAAACAUGAUAAUUUAAAAACAAUUAACUAAAACUUUAGAAAUAAUAUAGUAAAUUGUUAUUAAAUCAUUCAUUUCAUCUUCUCUUCUAAUAAAAAAGUAUGCUUUAAAUUUUUAUAAAACAUUCUUUAACAUGCUCAGAUAAUAAUAAUUAUUUAACUUUUAUUCAAAUUCUUGAAGCGGCAAAUAGAUCAUUUUCAAGUUUUGGAUCAAAUUUCAUCCACUCUAGAAGGGAGUGGCAUCGUAGAGAGGAAAUGCCAGGUUGAGGAUCUUCCUCAGCUCCUCCUUGGACACUUUAGCCUUGAGCGAUCCAGUGGAGCUCCCCUCCACGAUUGAUCCAGGUGAGCCCAGCACACUCCUACACAUGCGCUGGAGCUUGCUCCCCUGCAUCUUGAAGCUCAUCCCAAGCUCCUCGGACUCGGUUGCCGACCUCGUCUUUUUGAGCACCAGCGCCACCACUGGCUCGUGGCGCUGCUGCUGCCGCUCCUCCGCCGCCUCUUCUCCGCCUCCCAUCCCUUCUGCCACUCCCUCCUCCUCCUCGCCCGCCACCUCCUGGUUGCACGACUGUGAGUUCUCCACCCAUUCUCUCCUCAGGAGCCCCCUCGUCCUCUUGGGAUUGCGCUCGAAGACGUCGUAGUCGUGGACGUCUCCUCCGGUGGCUACUCCGCCGAGUUCUUCGAUCUCGAUCUCCAGCUCGUCUGGUUCUUUCUUUGGCGGGAGCAACACUAUGUUGGCGGCGUUGGCGCGAUCACUGGAUUUGACCAGCUUGCGGCGCUUGAAUAUCUCGACGCGGAACGUGAUCAUCUCGGAGGAGGAGUUCUCCUUUUGGAAGACGAGGACGUCUCCCUUGACGAGUUCGUGAUGGACGCAGAAGGCUUUCCACCCGGCACCAAUCACUGGCUGCAUCGUCCAGUUCCAUCUCAUCCUCCAUUGGUGACCACUCCGGUCGCGGACGAUCACCUCGGCUCUCCCGUGCGGCAUCAUCUUCUUGCAGUAGUUCGAAGGAAGAGUCUGCAGAAAAAAAAUAAAGAAGAAAAGAAAAACGAUUAGCAAGUUCUUUGUGAAGAUAUCGAAGGGAAAAAAGACAAGGAUAGCGAAACAUAAACCUCGAGCUUGUUCUUCGCUUACCAUAACGUAUGUGCCGCUCACACAGCACUGGUUCAAGACUUUAAUGGUGCUGCGACUCUUCUUUGCAAGAUGUUGCUGGUACUCCUGCGCGGCUUGGAGCGCUUCGUGCGAACCUGGCAGCUCCUCGCGAUUCCGCCGCUGCCGCUGCUGAUUGGAGGGGAUGUAACUCGACAGAGGACUGUCUUCCUCGUAAGAACCUGCGAAGAUACGCUCGAACAAAUAUAAGAAACGAAGUGAUGAGAGAAAAAAAAGCGAGAAGGAAAGCUCUGACCAGAUGGAUAAGCUUCGCCGCCGCUCGACUCCAUAGCUGGGCUCUCGCUCUUCUUCUUGCUUGCUGAAGGAAAAACCUCGCUGAGAGAGCGUCCGGUCUACUAGUACGUCCCAAUGAUGAAUGAUCCUGAGCCGUCGGAUUGGCUCCAUCCGGCGGCCAGCAUUCACGUACGAGGAAAGAAAAUGCUCGUAUCUUUCUAGUAGCCGUCGCUUUCCAUUUCGUGAUCUUUGCUCCAUUCUAGAGGCAACCUUGGAGACUUGCUUGGAUGGCUUUGCACAUGGAAAUAUACAAAAAAAAAUCCACAGUAUCAAUCAAAACUUCAGCUCUAAAGAGGCGAGAUUAUCACCUUCCAGGUAUCGAGUGUGUUCUUCGUUUCUAUAGAUGAGAUUACGCGGAUCCAAUAACUCCGAGCCAUUCGUCAUUCAAAACACCUUCCACAGUGUUAUACGAUUUGCCUAACAGUCCCUUUACGAGAGCUUGAAGGGCCUGACUGGUUAGAAGACGAGGAUAAUGCUUAUGCAUCAAGAGUCCCACCGGGUAGAGGUCCGACCUCGUCGUGUACCCGUACCAAGGAAUUCCCCAUUGCUCGUCCCAGCAUUUUCUAUCCCUGCUGUGCACACGCCUUCCAGAUCAACUUUCUUCACUCGUAGUCAUACAAGACAUUAGCUGGUCGAAUGUCGCGAUGCACCAAGCCUGCACAGCCACAUGAAACUAUAAGCUCCCAAAGAUAGACGAGCCUCGCCAGCACCAUGUAAGGCCUUUAAAGCCUUGCGAAUGCCAAGCACCAUCUGUCGCAGCUCGUCUUCCGAAACAGGCUCUCGCACGGCAAGAAGACGAACAGUCAUAACCAUGUAUGCUCCAGGAGCGUCGCUCCUGAUCGUUCUUCGUUUCUUGGCGGAGGAAUCACGGUCAGCAGUCGAUGACACCGGAUUCAACAGUUGCUCACUUUCACUCCUGGUCCUGAAUUUAGGCCCUUCAACACUGCCAAGAAGGUGUUUCCCACAUUUGGGAGGCCUGGAAGACAUCUUCGCAGUUGACGCCCCACUCGUUGCAGUAAUUGUUCCAGUCCCAUAUCACCUUGAGCUCAUAGCUCGAUCAAUCCGUGCAUUCAGCUCGCAUCUGAUAGCAAUACAACCGUCAGCCAAACUUCACACUUUCUCAUUACACUCACAUCGGUCUGGCUCCGAUGGCAGCAAGCAUUCCCUGGAGCUUGAUACAAGUUGAGGACUGGAGUCAGCUGAGUCAGAAACGGCUGCUCCUGCUGAAAAAAAAAGAGAGCAAAUUGAUGGUCGACAAAACGAAACCGAUCUUAUGAGCUACCUGAGGAUUGAUUUGUACAGUGAAAAACUGGAGAUGAGGUUCAAGCACGGCAUAGCAUACUAGAAACUGCCACUGGUAGAGUUGAGACUUUGUCCGUCAACAAGGAUUUCACUACCUCAAACUCAACGUCCUCCCUCUCUUCCCCGUACAUGACAAUCUCAUGACAAUCCAGUUGUCAAUGCAGAUCAAAGUCAAAAUGAGCUUGAGCUUCUUGUUCUCCCCUUAGUUCUUGAAGCAUGCGAUUGGGCUGGUGUUCAUUGCAACUAAAACGUGCCAGGUACUGUGAUUUCCGGGCUUCUGAUCCGGGAGAAGAGAUCACAUCGCUCCAGGAGGUCCAGAUUGCCUGCUCCACCGCUUCGGUAGUAUUCCCCUAGCUCGCUGGGCAAUUCAAGGCAGGGAACCUGUGGCCACUUCACAACCGGCAAUAUGCCAAGAGCUCCGGCGCCUCACUCACGGUAGCGUUGGCGAUGCCAAUGUGGAGGAAUUCGGUCGCCGAUAGAGGAGAACGAAUCUUCCCCGUCAUCCCCGUCACAAGCGAGAAAUCUUUUAUUGACUGGGCAUUGACUGGGCCGUUAGCUCGCCUGCUCUGUGUGAUCCUCUUUUUCCUGUGCUCCUUUUUGAGCAGCAACAAGGAGAGCCUGGCUAUGGCGGGGAUAUGCGUGGAGGGCAAUUCCUGUGCACGACUAGGCAUGAUGGGAUUACUAUUAUAAGUGCCACUACAUCAAAGGCAAUUGUGGGAUUUGCAGCACAGGAGUUUGCCAUCACCUCAAAUGCAAUUGCCUGCAAACCAUGCAGCUGAAUCGCGUGGUAAAAUCCUGUUACUCCAAAGUCUCAAUUGUUAAAAGUUUAUUAUAUAAGCACACUUACCAGAGAGAAGAAUAGUAAUUGGCACACAACAGUUACUUCAAUAGUUUGGUUGUUUUUCACUUGCAAGGGCAUUCGAUGAGAAACAAAGAAAAGAAGAACAUUGAAAAGAGAUUCUCCUCAAUCACAAAGUUGAGAAGAGGAAGUAGAAAUUCGUUUUUUCCUCUCUUAACCUGUCCUCCACGUCUUCCAUAAUUCCUAACUGAUGUUCCACAUUUCAUAAUCUCUGUCCCAUAUCUUAGCAAUUGAGUAUUGAUGUUCUUGAUCAAGCCCCCCAAGGUCACUGGAGCACUUCUACACAUUUUCUUUGCACCAAUAAUACGGCAUAUCUUGGCAACUAACAACGCAGCACCGUUUCCUUCGCUCGUAACAUAGCUCUAGCUAGGGCUUAUUAGCUAAAGGAAGACUCACGGCCAUACUGAGAUGGAACGCCACUAAAGCUCAAACACUAGAACUGGAAAGAUCUCUUCAUUGCCAGGUAUAUGAAGUACAAACAACAAAUGUUUUUUGCUCCUAGUUUUAGUAAUGCUUGUGAUACAAGAUUGUUUUCGAUCAUCCCCCAAGGAGAUGAUUCGACGAUCAGUGGCGAGCUCUCUUGCUGGGCGGCCCGGCUUGUUGUUGCUGAAGCGCCAGUUGCCUUGUGAAGUAGUUCACCUCCUUAGCCAGUCGCCUCCUGUUCGCUUCCUCCUCUUGCUGGAGCGCCACGGCCACCAUCCGCGUGAUCCGGUCGGCACGGGGAGGAUCCAACGCCACCUCGUCCUCCAUGUAAUGGCAGUCCGGACUGAGCGCCCUCUUGUUGUUGGUCUCGGCCCAGUGAUCAUAGUCCUCAAAGUCGAAGCUAUCGUAUUGUUUCACCCGGAUGCUCCUAUUGUUACCAGCCUCGAUCACCAAGUCGUCAAUCAUGCGCUUGAGCUCAACAUACCGCUCAACGUCCACCGCCACCAUCUUCGAUCUGCUCCGCUCGUGAGAAGUUCUUCUGGACUCCUUUUUACAAUCAUUUUUUCGCCAAAUUAUUCUUUCAUCAUCUUUAAGAUAAAAAAAAAGGUUUUAACCAGCCUACUGAAAUAUUUUAAAUUUGUUUUAUGGAGCUCCGCCGAUUUGAAGAGCUAGGAGCGAGGAGCCAGAAAUUCGUGGAUUCAACCAGAGUUUCGAAGACUUGUUUGGCCCCUGAAUUUUCCCAUCUUUCACUGAGCAUCAACUGUCUGAUUCCAGGAUUUAACCUCGUCAUCAUCAACGCGUCCAAUCCCGUCCUCUCAGUCCAGCAAGAGUUUCUUCCACCAGCUGGGACGCUUUGCAUGUAUAGCCCCUGGUAAUUAAUCCGCUGGAGAAAGCUCCCACGAAAAUUCGCCUUGCAUGUGCGCGAAGAUGCUGCUGCGGGGUUAAAAGGAGACUGCAUAAACAUGCACACACUUGUCAAUUACAAAAUCAUGCAAGGAGAGUAGGGGAGAAAAACAAGAACAGUACACACACACCGAAACAAGAAACACCAGGGAAAAAAAAAGGUGGCAGCCACACCUCCAAUGAUGUCCUCUAGAUAUGUAAUUGUACAUGGCACCCUCGAUCUCGUGCAGGGCGCUUCAUCCGCAUGGGAGGCAGGACAAUGGUCAUCAGAUCAAGCCUUUUCCACGAAUGCCUGCCAGUCUUCGUAACCUUUGGCUGACCGUCUUCAAUCACGUAGUCCCUCAGCAGCUGUAGUUGCGACAGCGUUGUGUGGGCAGACAUGAACGAAGACUGGUGUGGUACAGGGUGCGCCAUCUAUAACCACGGCGUUGGGGCUUUCAGGCAUGGCCUCCUGGCGUACAACAAAAAGCUUUCAACAAAAUCUUUGUGCCCAUAUGAAACAUUUCAAGGAAAGAUGUGUAAUUCAAUAGUGAGAAGGAAAAGAAAAGACAAGUCCUAAGCAAGAGAAAAAUUGCUCAAACACAGCAGCCACGGGCAUUGCAGCAGAAGGCCCAGCUCUGGAAUGUAGGAGUCCACAAUGUCAAGCCUCCGCCUCACGAGCCUCAAGUUGGGCCUGAAGGUGACGAAGGACAUAUGGUUGUUCACAACAGUGAAUGUCCGAUCACUUGUUGAGAGGAGGCGUAGUCCUCAAAGAGCUCCCCACGCGCAGAAGAAAAGUCAAUCUGGGCGAGAUUGGCCAGGGAAGCAUCCAUCUUCCCGGAUGCGAAGACCUUGCUUGUAAACAUAGUGCGGAUGUACCUGGAAGCAAAAGCUAUCGUCGGAGCGAGAAUUUUGGACGGCUGUAGAAAACUUUGUCCGCCAACUCCUCACGCCCCGUCACCAGGAAGCUCGACACUGCUCUUUGCUGUCUAUCCGUCACAGUGCCCAAAUCCUGGAAAAAAUGCGGAGCUAUGCCAACACAGACGUAAAGCCGUGCCAGGAAAUGUGCUGCUGAGAAAUCUCCGGCCGUAAGUGCUCCUGAAAUUCCCCGCCUGGUGCUUCCUCUUGAACGCUUUCAACAGCUCCGAAGGCUUCCAGGCAUCCAUAUGGAAAGUCACAAACCGGCCUCGUCCAUUGUCGCCUCAGCGGCAUCAGCACCAUUCAUCCGGGAUGGACUUGUAAAGAGGACCGUCCUUCCUCGCGUGCCUCUAUAUCCUUGAAAGCUAUCGUCCACAAGGAGCCACGUCCCUGCUAAGCUCAACAGGUCUGUCGGAACUUUAUACGAGAACCGGACCUCUCCGCCCGGCGAGAUGAUGAUGAAGGCCCUGGCGUCCGCAAACAGUUGCACUAAAACGUAUGCUCCAGCUAGUUCCGCGUCGCUGAGGAGCUCGCGAACGAAGUACCAGAUGCAGCACGACUUUCCUAUCCCCGGAUUACCGGAGAUGUGCGCGAAGGUGCUGCGGGCGUGUCUCAGCUGACGAUAGAUCUUCUCGUAAGACUUGCGAACGAGGAUGUCGGCAGGGUUGGCUGUGAGCUCGGCUAUGACGGCAGGGAGCCUCAGAAAUCCUUCCGCAUCCCGACCCCUGCACAGGUGCGAGCUGGUGUCCGGCGGGAAAAUCUUGUCCUUGGCAAAAGGGACUGCGUAAACACGCACACACUUGUCAAAAUUACAAAUCAUGGAAGAGCAGAGGGAACAUACACACAACGAAAACAAAAAGACUGUAUUGAAAUUCCUGAGAUACAUCUCCACUCCAGGAGCUAGGACAAAGUCAGGGCAGCACUGGCGCUUCAGCCACUUGCGGAUGGCAAUCUCAUGCGGCACAUUAAUUAACAACCGUGAGCAUGAACUUCUCACGAGCAGAGCAGAUUGAAGAUGAUGGCGGUGGACGUUGGGCGGUAUGUUUCGACGACUUGGCGACGAUAGUUUCGACUUUGCGGACUAUGAUCACUGGGCCGAGACCAACAACCAGAAGGCGCAGGCAAUCCCAUCCUCUCACUUGCACUCGAUUGAGUAUGAUCAGCAGCAUCACCACCACCAAAUCAGACCACUGUUUUGAUUCUCUGCUUUCACUUCCUCGACCAAUUCUACCCUGGAAAACAGUUUGAGCGAUGGAAAAAAAAGCGAGGCCUAGAAAACACUUCCGCUUCGUCGUGAAGAUGCUGGUUAGUAUCUCAUCGGAAAGGGAGGAGCGAUUCCAAUCUUGACCUCGAACAUCAAACGCUUCUCUUUGUCCUCCAGUGGAGGAACCAUUCUUUUGGUCACGUGAGAAUCCGUGACGUCGAUGCCUUGGCCAGGAAUGGUACGAGCUCGACAUAUCUACACAGGACUAAAAGCAAAGCUGUGAGUGACAAAACCAUCACCUCGAACAUAACACUGGAAAACUAAAUUUGAAGGAAGAAAACCAGCUUACUGUCGAUCUUGCUGCAGACCUUGCAAAUUCCCUCUUCCUGGUGCCACUUAAGAAACUCUUGGAACAAAUCCGAGAGUGGCCUCAUUGCGUUACUAGCCUUCCCAGAGCUAUCCAGCUCCAACCCAAGAAAUUUUUCUUUCUUGCGGAGUGCUGGACCUCGUCAACUUCUCCCUGAUUUCGAGGAAUGCGAGGCAAAUUUUCUUAGGAGCUUUCUCCAGCGGAUUGAUUACGAGGGGCUAUGCAUGCAAAGCGUCCCAGGAGAGAAAGCUGAUGGAAGAAACUCUUGCUGGACGACUUGGACUGGUGGGGAGAGAACGAGAUUGGACACAUGAUGCUCGACGGACGGCGAGAAGAUUAAAUCCUGGAAGCAGAGAGUGAAAGCUGGGAAAAAUCAAGGGACAGAAGCCAGUGAAAUUCCGCUUCCAAUUGCUUCGAAACUCUGGUUGAAUCCGAGAAUUUCUGGCUCCUCGCUCCUCAAAUCAGUGGAGAGCAUAGAACAAAUUUUAUAAUAUUGAAAUUGUUUUGUAUAGGGUUUGUGAUUGUAAAAGAACUUCUCGAGCAGAGCGAGAUGGUGGCGGUGGACGUUGAGCGGUAUGUUGAGCUCAAGCGCAUGAUCGACGACUUGGCGAUCGAGGCUGGUAACAAUAGGAGCAUCCGGGUGAAACAAUACGAUAGCUUCGACUUCGCGGACUAUGAUCACUGGGCCGAGACCAACAACAAGAGGGCGCUCAGGCCGGACUGCCAUUACAUGGAGGACGAGGUGGCGUUGGAUCCUCCCCAUGCCGACCGGAUCACGCGGAUGGACUUCACAAGGCAACUGGCGCUUCAGCAACAACAAGCUGGGCCACCGAGCAAGAGAGCUCGCCACUGAUCGUCGAAUCAUCCCCUGGAGUGAUGAUCGAAAACAAUCUUGUAUCACAAGCUCCAACAAACGUGUGAACAAAUCAAGCUCCUGCCAAGGAGCACAAACUUUUGUUGUUUGUACUUCAUAUACCUGGCAAUGAAGAGAUCUUUCCAGUUCUAUGAGCCGUAGUGGCGUUCCAUCUCGUGGAAUAUGGCCGUGAGUCAUUUGGGUCUUCCUUUAGCUAAUAAGCCCUAGCUAGAGCUACAUUAUGAGCGAAGGAAACGUUGCUGCGUUGUUAGCUGCCAGGGUAUGCCGUAUUAUUGGUGCAAAGAAAAUGUGUACAAGUGCUCCAGUGGUGCCUGAUCAAGAACAUCAAUACUCAAAAUCUAUACUGAUGAGUUCAACCUCUAAGGAAAAAACGUUUGUUUUGUUUUUUUGAAAAAAACAAUGCGCCUACUCCCUCUUCUCAACUUUGUGAUUGAGGAUAAUGGCUUUUCAAUGGUUCUUCUUUUCUUCUUUUCCUUGUUUCUCAUCGAAUGCUUGUGUUCUUGCUCCCGCUUCACCACUGCCCUUGCAAGUGAAAAACAACCAAACUACUGAAGGAACUGUUGUGUGCAUCAUGUUUUCUUCGAAUCAAAGUACUAUUCUUACGCUCUCUCUGGUUCUACUUGCGAGAACAAACAUGAAUUUAGAGACGAGUCGUUUAAAAUGAGUUCUUUGGAAGUACUUCUAAUAACAGAUUAAGAAAAUGGAGACUUUGGAGUAACAGGAUUUUACCAUGCGAUUCAGCUGCAGGGUUUACUCGAGGUGAUGGCAAACUCCAGUGCUGCAAAUCUCACACUUGCUGCCUUUGGCACUUCUGGCAGUAGUCCCGGCACACCUGGUCGCUUGGAGGUGCACAGGAAGUGCCCCUCCACACAUAUCCCCGCCAUAGCCAGGCUCUCCUUGUUGACCACUCCAGGGUGACGACCAAGUCCAUGAGGUGAGCUUGGCCAUUUUGGAGAAUAUAUAUUCCAUUUCCCACUAAGGCUGUGGGUGGUAAUGUUUUUCACAGGGUUAGUAGCCUCACAAACUGUCGUUGAUUUCUUCGAACAUGGCAUGGUUUAGAUGCUCUAAGACGAAAUGGAGACAUUGCUUUUUUUCGUCCAAUAGGAGAAACGAAGAACAAACAACAUGGUACGUACCUGAGGACAAUGUCUGAGAAAAGAAUGAUAAAGAACAAGAAGACGAGGUCGGCAGCCAGUCCGAGGAGCUCGGGGUGACCGUAAAGAUGCACGUCAAGCGCAUGACUAGGAGCCUGAUGGGCUCGCCCGGAGCGAUCGUGCAGGGCAGCUUCGAUGGAUCGCUCAAGGCUAAAGCAUCUGAAGAAGAGCUGAGGAAGAUCCUCCGCCUGGCAUUUCACUAUGAUGCCUUCUAGUGGAAAACUGAUAAGAACUGAUGUCUUGAGAUGUAUUUUAACUUAGAAAUGUAUUUUCCUUUUACACAACAACUAUUGGAGCAAUCGAUUUCACUGAACGAAGAAAUCUUGGUUUUGGUGGUGACAACUGUGAUGGCGGGUCCUUGUCCUCGCUAGACUCUUUGGGACAACUUUUGGACGUGCUAGCCUCCACUGCAUUGAUCACAAACAAGCUCCCCAUUGCACUACUUGUUGAUGGAUCCUAGGUUAUAUACAAACUGAAAAGGGUUGAGACAAAAGGGAGGCAUAUAUAGCUUUUAGUACGAAUAUUCUUUAUUUUAUUCUGGUCUAAGCUGUUUUGCGUUCAUGUCUUAAGAAAAAAAAUUAUAAUAAUAAAAACAUAAAGAGAAAUAAAAAAUAUAUUAUGAUUUAAUAUUUGAGCUUUUAUCCUCAUUGAAAUGCCACAUCCACUUGCAUGGUUUCCUAGCUUGCUACUCCAAAGGUUCUAGGCAUUAUAAAAUGAUUAGAAAAUCAAUGCUAAAGUAAAGAUAAAUCUUUUUAGGUAUAUCUUGAAAGUAAAAUUGAAUUGUUUGGCUAUGAGGUAUAAAAUCCUAAACUUCCCUUCUAACAUUAUAGGUAUUAAUAUAAACUUACUUCAAGGAUUAUUAGUAUUAAAAAUAUUAGUUAGGAUUUUAAUAAUUGACAGCAAAAAGCAAUAUAAGUUUAAACAAGAAAAAUAUAAAAGAAAUGUUACUUACAAUGCUUACAGAAAUAUGGCAACGAAUAUGUGAUUUCGCAUGGAAGCAUUAUAUAUUUACACAUGUGUGAAUUUAUUUUUUUGUUUUGAGUUACAUGCAAAAAUAUUAUGCAUACAAUCACUUUUCAAUUGGUAUAUAAGCAAUCAAAAUGCCAUUGUGUUGUCAUGAGAUAUGUUAUAUAUGCAUGGGGCAUAACAACUCAUAUUACUAUAUACACAUCAUGCCAUAUCAUUUUAGACAAUAUAACAUCACUGCAAUUUAGCAAGGGUUUUUUUUCUCGUUCUUGUGAGUGCAAAUUUAUGAUGAGUUAAUUGUGAUCAUUUCUCUCCUCUCAUUUCUCUUAGUUAUAAUCCAUUUUUCAUGGUUAUUACUCAUUUCUCACAACUAUAGCUUAUUUUUUGCAAUUUUGGCUCAUUUCUCACAACUUAAAAGUGUUAUGCACCUUAAUAUAUUUAUUGCACCUCUCAUUUUUUGUAAUCUAUUUGCAGUAUAACACUUUAACUUAGUGCUAUAAUAAAUGUGAUCGAUUGGAGUGUAAUGUGCAAUCAAUUGGAGUGCAAUGGUGAGUGCAAUCUAUUGGAGUGUGGUGGUAAGUGUAAUUAAUUGAAGCAUAAUGAUGAGCUCAAUCAAUUGGAAUAUAAAGGCAAAAUAAUUAUUUAGUUUUUUCUCAAUUUUGUAACUUUCUCUAGCAUUCACUCACAUAAAAGUUCCUUCAUUUCUUCAUUUGUUGCAAAACUAUUAACUUACAAAGUAUUUUUCAUUACCUUUAUCAAAGAGUGUUUAAAGAGCCUAUAAUAUUUUAAAAUCUAACUUGCACAUUUAAAAAAUAUCACCCAAAAACUUAACCCUAUUGACAUGUAAAAAUAAAAUCUAACAUAGGAUGCAAAAAAUUAUAUAUAUAGCAUUAUUUUAUGAGUCACACACGUGUUACAAUAAUUUAAAUACACAUGUGUUUUAUUUUCAUAUAUUUUACAAAUGUGAAAGAUAUUUUACUAAGUUAUCUAUCCUAGGUACAUCUCCUAUCUUGGGAGGUGUACCUCCCCUCAAAAUACUUCAAAAUUUAAUAGUGUAAAGAUAUUAAAUGAAAAUAUAUUAAAAUGUAAACAUGAUAAUUUUAAAACAAUUAACUAAAACUUUAGAAAUAAUAUAGUAAAUUGUUAUUAAAUCAUCUCUUCUAAUAAAAAAGUAUGCUUUAAAUUUUUAUAAAAAAUUCUUUAACAUGCUCAGAUAAUAAUAAUUAUUUAAAUUUUAAUCAUAAUUUUCAGUGGCAANNNNNNNNNNNNNNNNNNNNNNNNNNNNNNNNNNNNNNNNNNNNNNNNNNNNNNNNNNNNNNNNNNNNNNNNNNNNNNNNNNNNNNNNNNNNNNNNNNNNNNNNNNNNNNNNNNNNNNNNNNNNNNNNNNNNNNNNNNNNNNNNNNNNNNNNNNNNNNNNNNNNNNNNNNNNNNNNNNNNNNNNNNNNNNNNNNNNNNNNNNNNNNNNNNNNNNNNNNNNNNNNNNNNNNNNNNNNNNNNNNNNNNNNNNNNNNNNNNNNNNNNNNNNNNNNNNNNNNNNNNNNNNNNNNNNNNNNNNNNNNNNNNNNNNNNNNNNNNNNNNNNNNNNNNNNNNNNNNNNNNNNNNNNNNNNNNNNNNNNNNNNNNNNNNNNNNNNNNNNNNNNNNNNNNNNNNNNNNNNNNNNGGCUAUGGCAGGGAUAUGCAUGGAGGGGCAAUUCCUGUGCACCUUCACAAGCAACUAGGCGUGAUGGGACUACUGUUAUAAGUGCCACUACAUCAAAGGCAACAGUGAGAUUUGCAGCACUGGAGUUUGCCAUCACCUCAAAUGCAAUUGUAUCGCCCCUGCAGCUGAAUCACGUGGUAAAAUCCUGUUACUCCAAAGUCUCAAUUGUUAAAAGUUUAUUAUAUAAGCACACUUACCAGAGAGAAGAAUAGUAAUUGGCACACAACAGUUACUUCAAUAGUUUGGUUGUUUUUCACUUGCAAGGGCAUUCGAUGAGAAACAAAGAAAAGAAGAACAUUGAAAAGCGAUUCUCCUCAAUCACAAAGUUGAGAAGAGGAAGUAGAAAUUCGUUUUUUCCUCUCUUAACCUGUCCUCCACGUCUUCCAUAAUUCCUAACUGAUGUUCCACAUUUCAUAAUCUCUGUCCCAUAUCUUAGCAAUUGAGUAUUGAUGUUCUUGAUCAAGCCCCCCAAGGUCACUGGAGCACUUGUACACAUUUUCUUUGCACCAAUAAUACGGCAUAUCUUGGCAACUAACAGCGCAGCAUCGUUUCCUUCGCUCGUAACAUAGCUCUAGCUAGGGCUAAAGGAAGACUCACGGCCAUACUGAGAUGGAACGCCACUAAAGCUCAAACACUAGAACUGGAAAGAUCUCUUCAUUGCCAGGUAUAUGAAGUACAAACAACAAAGGUUUUGUGCUCCUAGUUUUAGUAAUGCUUGUGAUACAAGAUUGUGUUCGAUCAUCCCCCAAGAGGAUGAUUCGACGAUCAGUGGCGAGCUCUCUUGCUCGGCAGCCCGGCUUGUUGUUGCUGAAGCGCCAGUUGCCUUGUGAAGUAGUUCACCUCCUUAGCCAGUCGCCUCCUGUUCGCUUCCUCCUCUUGCUGGAGCGCCACGGCCACCAUCCGCGUGAUCCGGUCGGCACGGGGAGGAUCCAACGCCACCUCGUCCUCCAUGUAAUGGCAGUCCGGACUGAGCGCCCUCUUGUUGUUGGUCUCGGCCCAGUGAUCAUAGUCCUCAAAGUCGAAGCUAUCGUAUUGUUUCACCCGGAUGCUCCUAUUGUUACCAGCCUCGAUCACCAAGUCGUCAAUCAUGCGCUUGAGCUCAACAUACCGCUCAACGUCCACCGCCACCAUCUUCGAUCUGCUCCGCUCGUGAGAAGUUCUUCUGGACUCCUUUUUACAAUCACUAACCCUAUACAAAACAAAUGGAUAUGCCACUUUUUUGCCAAAUAUUCUUUCAUUAUCUUUAAGACAAAAAAAAAGGUUUUAACCGGCUUAUUGAAAUAUUUUUAAAUUUGUUUUAUGGAGCAGCGAUCUCCACAGAUUUGAAGAGCUAGGAGCGAGGAACUAGAAAUUCGUGGAUUCAACCAGAGUUUCAAAGACUUGUUUUGUCCCUGAAUUUUUUCCAUCUUUCACUGAGCUCAUCGAUGGCAUCAACUCUCUGCUUUCAGGAUUUAAUCUCCUCGUCAUCCGUCCAAGCAUCAAUCCCGUCCUCAGUCCAAGUCGUCCAGCAAGAGUUUCUGCCACCAGCUGGGACGCUCUGCAUGUAUAGCCCCUGGUAAUUAAUCCGCUGGAGAAAGCUCCCACGAAAAUUCGCCUUGCAUGUGCGCGGCUGCGGGGUUAAAAGGAGACUGCAUAAACAUGCACACACUUGUCAAUUACAAAAUCAUGCAAGGAGAGUAGGGGAGAAAAACAAGAACAGUACACACACACCGAAACAAGAAACACCAGGGGAGAAAAAAAAAGUGGCAGCCAUGCCUCCAAUGAUGUCCUCUAGAUCCGUAAUUGUACAUGGCACCUCGAUCUCGUGCAGGGCGCUUCAUCCAAACGCAAUUAAAGCAAGCUUUUGCAUGCGGUUCAGAACUUCCCUCUCCUCUCUUUCAAAUGCUUCCCUGAAGCCCUUGCGUGAGUCGUCGUCCAUGGGAGGCAGGACAAUGGUCAUCUGGGGAAUAGGCAGAUCAAGCCUUUUCCACGAAUGCCUGCCAGUCUUCGUAACCUUUGGCUGACCGUCUUCAAUCACGUAGUCCCUCAAACCCAUGAAACUCCCCGCUUGCUUGAUGCUUAACUCCUGGAUUAUAAUUUAUCAUGUUCACAAGCUCCCCAUUCCCCAGCACAUCCCUGUAUCGCCUCUUGAACGCUUUCAACAGCUCCGAAGGCUUUUAGGCAUCCAUAUGGAAAGUCACAAACUGGGCCUCAUCCAUUGUCGUCUCAGCGGCAUCAGCACCAUUCCGGGAUGGACUUGCGAAGAGGACCCUCCUUCCUCGUGUGGCUCUAUAUCCUUGAAAGCUAUCGUCCACAAGGAGCCAAGUCCCUGCUAAGCUCAACAGGUCUGUCGGAACUUUAGAUCUCUCCGCCCAGCGAGAUGAUGAUGAAGACCCUGGCAUCCACAAACAGUUGCACUAAAAUGUAUCUCCAGCUAGUUCCGCAUCGCUGAGGAGCUCGCGAACGAAGUACCAGAUGCAGCACGACUUCCUAUCCCCGGAUUACCGGAGAUGUGCGCGAAGAUGCUGUGGCCGUGUCUCAGCUGACGAUAGAUCUUCUCGUAAGACUUGCGAACGAGGAUGUCGGCAGGGUUGGCUGUGAGCUCGGCUAUGACGGCAGGGAGCCUCAGAAAUCCUUCCGCAUCCCAACCCCUGCACAGGUGCGAGCGGGUGUCCGGGGGAAAAUCUUGUCCUCGGCAAAAGGGACUGCAUAAACAAGCACACACUUGUCAAAGUUACAAAUCAUGGAAGAGCAGAGGAAACAUACACACAACGAAAACAAAAAGACUGUACCUCGAAUGAUAUGCUCUGCCCCGGCGUCGAACUUGACACGGUUUAAGCCAUCGUCCACGCUCAUCCGGCUUCUUGUAAAAGAAGCUUAGGGCGCCAGCCGUAAGAACCUCUCCGACCCGCACUUUGCCAUUCUUUAGACAGAACUUGAGCUUGUCAUCCAUCCAUGCGAAAGUACACGAUGCCACUCCUUCCUCAUCCUCUUACUCAUCGCCCUCGUUCGCUUCCCACAGCCUCACUGAACCAUAGUUUUUGUGAGAGCUACCUAUAGAAAAUGAGACGAAACAAAACCCAUGGCUGCUGCUCUGCUGCUGCUCUCCAUUGUCUGAAAAGAAAGCAAUGAGAUUUGUCAAAAGAUUGCUUUCAGCAAUAUUCUCUCCUUUCACUGCACAGGCCAGCAGCAGCACUAAUAGAGAAGCAAGCAUCUCUCCAUCCCAAAAUGAAACAGAUAAAUGCUUUUUGUGGGUUCCAGCUGAAGAAGAAUCCAUCGAUUUUGUUACGAUCAUGUGAGAGAGCACUUACCUUGCAAGUCCUUCUUGCGGAGUAAAAUUCCUAGAGCGUAGAAACAACAUCUACGACUUUGUAAAGUUUAAAAUUUUGAACUAAGAAUGGAGAGAGAAAAGCUUACUUACGACCAGAAAAGUCUCGAGAGUGAAAAUAAAGAAGAAAAGGGAUACCACUCACAAGUUUGAGAUUCCUGAGAUACAUCUCCACUCCAGGAGCUAGGACAAAGUGCAAUAAAUAAUGACUCCAGAAGCUUAUGGAUAAAUAAACCACCAUAAACCAUUUCCUUUCGAAAAAUGAAGGUGAAAAAAAAGUAUCCCAAAUCCAAAAGCUAUCCAGCUCCGACCGAAGAAAUUCUUCUUUCUUGCGGAGUGCUCGAUCUCGUCAACUUCUCCCCGAUUUUGCAGAAUGCAAGGCAAAUUUUUGUGGGAGCUUUAUCCAGCAGAUUGAUUACCAGGUCCCAGGAGCGAAAGCUGGCGGAAGAAACUCUUGCUGGUCGACUUGGAGUGGUGGGGAGAGAACAAGAUUGGACGCAUGAUGCUCCGACGGAUGGCAAGGAGAUUAAAUCCUAGAAGCAGACAGUACGAGCUCAGUGAAAGCUAGGGACAGAAGCGAGUGAAAAUCCGCUUCCAAUCGUUUCGAAACUCUGGUUUUAUACGCCAUCACGAAUAUCUGGCUCCUCACUCCUGAGCUCUUCAAAUCGGUGGAGAGCAUAAAACAAAUUUAGUAAACCGGUUAAGUUGCUGAAAACCUUUAUCUUAAAGAUGGUGAAACAAUAUUUGGCGAAAAACGUAGUAUAUCCGUUUGUUUCGUAUAGGGUUUGUGCUUGUAAAAGGGAAACUAGAAGAACUUCUCACGAGCAGAGCAGAUCGGAGAUGGUGGCGGUGGACGUUGAGCGGUAUGUUGAGCUCAAGCGCAUGAUCGACGACUUGGCGAUUGAGGCUGGUAACAAUAGGAGCAUCCGGGUGAAACAAUACGAUAGCUUCGACUUCGCGGGCUAUGAUCACUGGGCCGAGACCAACAACAAGAGGGCGCUCAGGCCGGACUGCCAUUACAUGGAGGACGAGGUGGCGUUGGAUCCUCCCCAUGCCGACCGGAUCACGCGGAUGGUGGCCGUGGCACUCCAGCAAGAGGAGGAAGACAACAAGAGGCAACUGGCUAAGGAGGUGAACCACUUCACAAGGCAACUGGCGUUUCAGCAACAACAAGCCGGGCCACCGAGCAAGAGAGCUCGCCACUGAUCGUUGAAUCAUCCCCUGGAGGGAUGAUCGAAAACAAUCUUGUAUCACAAGCUCCAACAAACGUGUGAACAAAGCAAGCUCCUACCAAGGAGGACAAAUUUUUGUUGUUUGUACUUCAUAUACCUGGCAAUGAAGAGAUCUUUCCAGUUCUAUGAGCUUUAGUGGUGUUCCAUCUCGCGGAAUAUGGCCGUGAGUUAUUUGGGCCUUCCUUUAGCUAAUAAGCCCUGGCUAGAGCUACAUUACAAGCGAAGGAAACGAUGCUGCGUUAUUAGCUGCCAGGGUAUGCUGUAUUAUUGGUGCAAAGAAAAUGUGUACAAGUGCUCCAGUGAUCAAGAACAUUAAUACUCAAUUCACAACUACACAAAAGCAUUAUAAUGACGUGAUUUUCCAACAAAAAUUUUGUGUUUGUUGGAAAUUUAAGUUGUAAUUUUCAACUACUUGCUAUCAACUUAAAUGUUAGUAGCAAAUUGGCUUUAGUUACAAAUUUUUUGCAAUGUCUGAUAGCAUUCAUAGUUACUCAGAUUUAAGUUGGAAAUUAUAGUUGUCCUUUACAACUAAAAUAGAAAUCAUAACUUUUACAUAUUCUUUAAAAUUAGAUAAGCUCAUAUAUGUUGCUAAUUAGAGUUGCAAUUUACAAUUUUUAACAUGCAACUAAAAUGUAAGUUCUUAAGGUUUGUAGUUUCAAAAUUUUUAGUCACAAAUUUCAAUAAUAUUUAGUUUAUGCUUUUUGUUUAGGAUUUAGGAAUGAAGGUUGCAUGUUGGUAUUUAAGAUGUAGAGGAAAUAAAAUUUGCCUCAUACAAAUUAUCAUAGAUUAUAUUCAUCUUUAUGGUAGACAUCCUUCAGCACCACAUGAUGCAUGAUUUCCAAUAAAAGAUAUUCAAGGGAUUAGAUUAUAUAGAUCUAUUACUUCAGUAAAAUAAUUUUUUAAAAUUGACGAAAAUUUUGUAAUUCCAGAUGAUUGUGGUAUUAAUUUGAGUGGUGGUAAUGGAGGUGGCAAUGACAAUAUUAAGGAUGAGAUUAUUUUUCAGAAUGGUUACAUGGAUAUGAAGAUAAUUUAUUACCUAUUUAUGAAGGGGCUAGUGCUUUUAAUUUGUCGGCUUAUUUAUGUAUUUUAUAUGUGCAAGUUAUUCCUAAAAUAUCAAACCAAGCAACAGAUUAUUUUUUAAGGUAAUUACUUUUAUUUAUUAUUUAGUAUUCAAUCUUUCAUUAUUUGGAUGAAGGCUCUUCAAACAAAUAUUACCUACAAAUAAUAUUUUUCCAAAUAAAUAUAAGGAAUUGGUAAAAGUCACUAAACACAAUGGACUUACCUAUAAAAAUAAUUGAUUCAUGUAUGUUAUUUUAUAAGGAGAAUAAAGACCUUCAAUUUUAUCAAAUUGAUAAUGCUAGUAGGUACAAAGAUUUUAAUAAUUUUAUACUUGAGAAAAUAAUGUUCUAUUUUCCUAUUAUACCUCGAUUUCAACAACAAUUUCAAUGUAGAGAAAUAACACAAUACAUGACUUAUCAUUUUGAUCAUUGAUCCAUUGAUGGAAUAAUAAAAAUUUCUGCUGAUGGUUCAUCUUAGAAAAAAUUCAAAAAUGAUUAUCCAAAUUUUGCAGCAAACCAUAGGUAGAAAACACCAAUGACCAAUAUAUAUGCAUUUAUGUAAGCUUCAUGACCAUAAUCCAAAAAAUUCUAUUCCACAAUCUGGGUAAAAGUAUUUCCCACUAGUUUGAAGUCUUGAACAAAAUCAUAAUCCAGGAAAAUCAUGAACAAACUAUUGCAUUAUUGCUCUAUGUUUGAAAAACUAUUAACCCUCUAGUUUAGAAUUAUCUUUGCAUAGCACUCUAUCCCAUAAUUGUUUUAACUCUUCCACAAAUAAUAACCAAUAAGUAUCAGAUAACUUGGACCUAGAAAAAUUAUUAAUAUACUUAUUUUAUUUUAUUUUUUUAACUAAUACCUGAUAUAAUCAUAAUAGGAAAUAUAAAUGAAGGCUUAAUUGCUAGAGUUGGUGGUAUAUUAUUAUUCAUUGCAACAAUUGCCUAAUAUGAACAUAGUUUUGCCAUUAAUUUUGUUAAAGAAAGACUAUCUGUAGUCACACUAAAAUAUAUAUUUCUUGGAUCCAUUUAGGUCUAGUAAUAAAAGGUAAAAUUUUAAUUAUUAUUUCUAAAACAUGAAAAAAUGAAGCACCGAAAAUUUCUUUUCCACCCUUCACGAAAUUAAUCUAUAAUUUUAAUUUAUUUAUUUAAUGGUCAUAAUUGUAUUCAACCAAUACUAAAAUAGAUGACUCCUGGGCAACACAUUAUUAUUUGGUUAAACAAAAAGAUUAAAUAUCAUUACUUAAUGGUAUGAAAUGAUUUUAUCAAUAUUGCUAAAUAUGGAAGAGAGAUUAGGAAAUUCUGGACCAUUAAUUAGGAAUCUGGAAGAGAGGACAAAUAUGGAAAACAAGCCUAAACACAUUUUACACUAGAAGUAUGGCAAAGUCUAUACCGAUGAAAUCAACCUCUAAAAAAGGUAAGGAAAAAACGUUUGUUUUGUUUUUUUGACAAAAAACAAUGCGCCUACUCCCUCUUCUCAACUUUGUGAUUGAGGAGAAUGGCUUUUCAAUGUUCUUCUUUUCUCCUUUUCCUUGUUUCUCAUCGAAUGCUUGUGUUCUUGCUCCCGCUUCACCACUGCCCUUGCAAGUGAAAAACAACCAAACUACUGAAGUAACUGCUCUGUGCAUCAUGUUUUCUUCGAAUCUAAGUACUAUUUUUACGCUCUCUCUGGUUCCACUUGCGAGAACAAACAUGAAUUUAGAGACGAUUGGACGUGUGCUUAUAAACGUUUAAGAACAGAUUAAGGAAAUGGAGACUUUGGAGUAACAGGAUUUUACCAUGCGAUUCAGCUGCAGGGUGAUGGCAAACUCCAGUGUUGCAAAUCUCACACUUGCUGCCUUUGGCACUUGUGGCAGUAGUCCCGGCACACCUGGUCGCUUGGAGGUGCACAGGAAGUGCCCCUCCACACAUAUCCCCGCCAUAGCCAGGCUCUCCUUGUUGUCCACUCCAGGUUGACGAGCACGAGUCCAUGAGGUGAGCUUGGCCAUUUUGGAGAAUAUAUAUAUUCCAUUUCCCACUAAGGCUGUGGGUGGUAAUGUUUUUCACAGGGUUAGUAGCCUCACGAACUGUCGUUGAUUUCUUCGAACAUGGCAGAAAGAAGAGGAGCUUAAGUUCCUUCGGUCGGAGCUGGAUAGCUUUGGGAAGGAAGAUUUACUUCCUCUUCUAGAAGGGAACGAGCACGCAGUCAUGGACGACGAAGUUUUCAAAAUGAGGCAUGCACGAAACAUCACCUGGAACAUUAUACUACUGUCGAUCUUGCCACGGAACUUGCAAAUCCCCUCUCGAACUUGUUUUCCUGGUGCCACUUAAGGAGCUCUUGGAACAAAUCCGAGAAUGGCCCCGUUGCGUUCCUAUCUCCGGAAUAUCCUCCUUCAGGCAUAUGCCCAGAGGGGGUCUUCGACAGGAUGCCGUCCAAGGACGUGGUCGCGUGGACGGCUAUGGUGAAUGCCUACGCCGAGAACGGCGUUGUGGACCUCGUGCAAUGUAUGUUCGAGAAUAGGCCCGUGAGGAACGUGGUGUCGUGGAACUCCAUGCGUUUUGCAUAUGCCCAAAGCGGGUAUUGCAGUCAAGACAUGGAGCUCCUUCAUAUCAUGCCUGCUCACAACGAGUACACGUGGAAUGUUAUGAUUCCUUGCUACGCUCUUAGUGGAAAAACGGGCAAGGCUAUGGUUGUGUUCCCGUCGGCGCAAGAAUGCUAUGGUGAAAGAUCCCUUUGACGCAAUGCCUGCUCGCAAUAUUGUGUCGUGGAAGAAGCUCGAUUUAAGCUCAAUCACCUGGAGCGUGAUGCUUCAAGCAUUUGCAGGGUUUGGGCAUGUACAAGAUGGCGAGAGUUUGUUUCAGAUCAUGCGAGAAACCUCACUCGGCGAUCCCAGUUGCUUGUCAGCGUGGACCAACAUGAUUGUUUUAUAAGAUUGACAAAGCUCGAGCAGUGUUUGAUGCUUUGGCGUGCCUGGACAAGGUCUCCUGGAACACCAUGCUCGCUCACCUGACGUCCACCACUGCAAAUAUUUCUUCGAGCAAAUGCCCGGCCACAACCUGGUGUCUUACAACACUGUCUUGUCCUCGGUGGUCAGCUGCAGAUUAUCCGAGAAAGCAGUGAAAAUCUUCGUCGAAAUGCUAGAGAUAACAUACAGUGUGAUGAUGCAAGCUUAUGCACAGGAAGGCCAGCUUGCGAGUGCCAGGGACAUCUAGGAGACAAUGCCGGAUCGCAACUCAGUGGCUCUCAUCACCGUGAUCUUGGCACUCGCACAGCCCAAUCCCCAAGAACAGCCUGGAGCUCGAUCAUCCCGGCCUAUGUGCAGAACGGACGCGUGACUGGAUCGCUUUCGAGAGAUGAUCUUGCUGUCUUUCAAGCCAGACGAGACCAUCUUCACGAGAAAUCUAGCAGCGGCAGCGAGCCAGCUCGAGCAGUGUUGCCGAGAUUUUUUGUCCAUGAUCGCAGACUUUGGGAUCUCUCCCAGGAUCGAGCACGCAAUGGGGCGACCUGGGCAGCUGGAGCAAUCCAUGCCAUUUGUUCCACAGCCGGGCUUGUGGAUGAUUCUUCUGGGCUCGAAAUGCAAAGGUUGUGGAAAUGUCGGCUGGAAAAUCGGGAUAAUGCCAGGUUGACAACCAACAAUCCUAGUCAUCCCGGAGAUGCGGGUGUUGUGCCAUGUAAGCUGAAAACCUAUCCCACCAGCCAAGGCGCAAUAGAGGAACACUGGUAUAAAAGAAAUGGAGUGGGAGGUAUGGUUAAUCCGGGAGAGCCUGAAAGGGCGCUUGCAUCCCUCGGGUUGCUUAGUAAAUGGGGUCGCUGACCCUUGACCACUUGGCCCCCCUCGUCGGUGACCCAGUAGUGCUAAGUCGGUAUGGUCAACUCCACCGUGACCUACCGGAUAGCGCUUGGUACCCAGGGCGCCCAAGGAGGCCCGAUAUCUUUUGCAAACAUUUCUUUGAUCUUCCUUUGUGGAAUUUCUUGGUGCGCCAGGCCUUGAAGUAAAAUUUUUCACUCAUUUGAGAGAAACGAAUGUUUGCGGCAUCAGGCGGUUCUCAAUUUCGCAAGACCAUCAAAGCUCAACCUAAUGCGUUAUGUAGAUGAUGCUUCUCUCUCUUUCUUUUUCCCGAACAAGCAAGGAUGGCACUUUCAAGUGCCUGAGAAAGGAUAGAGAAUUGUGCUCCAAACACGUUACACUUGUUCUAACAAACUUGUGAACAAAGCAAGCUCCUGCGAAGGAUCAAAAACUUUUGUUGUUUGUACUUCAUAUACCUGGCAAUGAAGAGAUCUUUCCAGUUCUAUGAGCUUUAGUGGCGUUCCAUCUCGCGGAAUAUGGUCGUGAGUCAUUUGGGUCUUCCUUUAGCUAAUAAGCCCUAGCUAGAGCUACAUUACGAGUGAAGGAAACGUAUUGGUGCAAAGAAAAUGUGUACAAGUGCUCCAGUGGUGCCUGAUCAAGAACAUCAAUACUCAAAGUCUAUAUUGAUCAAUUCAACCUCUAAGGAAAAAACGUUUGUUUUGUUUUUUGGAAAAAAACAAUGCGCCUACUCCCUCUUCUCAACUUUGUGAUUGAGGACAAUGGCUUUUCAAUGGUUCUUCUUUUCUCCUUUUCCUUGUUUCUCAUCGAAUGCUUGUGUUCUUGCUCCCGCUUCACCACUGCCCUUGCAAGUGAAAAACAACCAAACUACUGAAGUAACUGCUCUGUGCAUCAUGUUUUCUUCGAAUCUAAGUACUAUUCUUACGGUCUCUCUGGUUCCACUUCCGAGAACAAACAUGAAUUUAGAGACGAGUCAUUUAAAAUGAGAUGGAAGUACUUUUAAUAACAGAUUAAGGAAAUGGAGACUUUUGAGCAACAGGAUUUUACCAUGUGAUUCAGCUGCAGGGUUUGCUCGAGGUGAUGGCAAACUCCAGUGUUGCAAAUCUCACACUUGCUGCCUUUGGCACUUGUGGCAGUAGUCCUGGCACACCUGGUCGCUUGGAGGUGCACAGGAAGUGCCCCUCCACACAUAUCCCCGCCAUAGCCAGGCUCUCCUUGUUGACCACUCCAGGGUGACGACCAAGUCCAUGAGGUGAGUUUGGCCAUUUUGGAGAGUAUAUAUUCCAUUUCCCACUAAGGCUGUGGGUGGUAAUGUUUUUCACAGGGUUAGUAGCCUCACAAACUGUCGUUGAUUUCUUCGAACAUGGCAUGGUUUAGACGAAAUGGAGACAUCGCUUUUUUUCGUCCAAGAGGAGAAACGAAGAACAAACAACAUGGUACGUACCUGAGGAAAAUGUCUGAGAAGACGAGGUCGGCAGCCGAGUCCGAGGAGCUCACGGGAGCAAGCUCGAGCGCAUGACUAGGAGCCUGCUGGGCUCGCCCGGAGCGAUCGUGCAGGGCAGCUUCGAUGGAUCGCUCAAGGCUAAAGCAUCUGAAGAAGAGCUGAAGAAGAUCCUCCGCCUGGCAUUUCACUAUGAUGCCUUCUAGUGGAAAACUGAUAAGAACUGAUGUCUUGAGAUGUAUUUUAACUUAGAAAUGUAUUUUCCUUUUACACAACAACUAUUGGAGCAAUCAAUUUCACUGAACGAAGAAAUCUUGGUUUUGGUGGUGGCAACUGUGAUGGCGAGUCCUUGUCCUCGCUAGAUUUUCUUUUUGACUCUUUGGGACAACUUUUGGACGUGCUAGCCUCCACUGGAUUGAUCACAAACAAGCUCCCCAUUGCACUACUUGUCGAUGGUAUACAAACUGAAAAGGGUUGAGACAAAAGGGAGGCAUAUAUAGCUUUUAGUACGAAUAUUCUUUAUUUUAUUCUGGUCUAAGCUGUUUUGCGUUACUUAUAAUUUACGGUCAUACCUUGUAUGUCUUAAGAAAAAAAUUUAUAAUAAUAAAAAAAUAAAGAGAAAUGAAAAAUAUAUUAUGAUUUAAUAUUUGAGCUUUUAUCCUCAUUGAAAUGCCACAUCCACUUGCAUGGUUUCCUAGCUUUUUAUAAUGCCUAGAACCUUUGGAGUGAUAUAGCAAGCUAAAGUAAAGAUAAAUCUUUUGAUUAGGAAUAUCUUGAAUUGUUUGGCCAUGAGGUAUAAAAUCCUAACUUCCCUUCUAACAUUAUAGGUAUUAAUAUAAACUUACUUCAAGGAUUAUUAGUAUUAAAAAUAUUAGUUAGGAUUUUAAUAAUUGACAGAAAAAACAAAUAUAAGUUUAAACAAGAAAAAUAUAAGAGAAAUGUUACUUACAAUGCUUACAGAAAUAUGGCAAUGAAUAUGUGAUUUCACAUGGGAGCAUUAUAUAUUUACACAUGUGCAAAUUUAUUUUUUUGUUUUGAGUUGCAUGCAAAAAUAUUAUGCAUUCAAUCACUUUUCAAUUGCUAUAUAACCAAUUAAAAUGCCAUUGUGUUGUCAUGAGAUAUGUUAUAUAUGCAUGGGGCAUAACAACUCAUAUUACCAUAUUGUUGCGAAUUUGAUUUUGAGUAUCGAAAGAUAUUUGUCGACCAGUCCUUACGGGCACUUUUUCCUUACUGCCCGACAGUGGUAUUGAUGAUCCCUUUUAUAGUUUCCACUCAAGCUAAUUGAGAAACUGGUCAUCGUGUGUGCACUUGAUUAGAUAAGCAUAAGGACAGAAUUCCUACAUACUAUUUGUCAAGCAUAUUUAAUCUGGUUAGAGAAACUCAUUCGUUGAUUUGCACUUGCUAGUGUUGGGAACCCCCAUGAUAUUGAGACUAGUCCCUCAAUAUCACUAGAUGAUAGCUUACUGUGUUUGCCAAACACCCUCGCUAUCAUGCCCUUUGUGUUAGUCUCAUUUCGGUCCCAAAUGCUAAUUAUGAAAAAUAUCUAGAUUUGCUCAUUUGGCAUAUAUACGGAAUGUAAAGAUUGGUCUGAACACAAUGGUGUUUGUCCCGUGUCCAAAUUCACAAUUUAACGCCAUUCCAUAUUUAGUAAGUUUCAAACUUGUCCCAAAGACUAAUUCUUGGUACUAAGGGAGGCUUGGGGUGAAAGCCCAAAGCGUGUUUCCUUCAAGGGGGGGGGGGGGUUCCAAAUGUAUAGUAGGGAUAAUGGGUAGGUCAGACAUGCCUGACUAACCUAAGGCAUAAUUUAGCUCCUGCAUGCAUGUCUGUCUUUGUUCUGCGUCUGGCUUGGGUCUAAGCUCAAGNNNNNNNNNNNNNNNNNNNNNNNNNNNNNNNNNNNNNNNNNNNNNNNNNNNNNNNNNNNNNNNNNNNNNNNNNNNNNNNNNNNNNNNNNNNNNNNNNNNNNNNNNNNNNNNNNNNNNNNNNNNNNNNNNNNNNNNNNNNNNNNNNNNNNNNNNNNNNNNNNNNNNNNNNNNNNNNNNNNNNNNNNNNNNNNNNNNNNNNNNNNNNNNNNNNNNNNNNNNNNNNNNNNNNNNNNNNNNNNNNNNNNNNNNNNNNNNNNNNNNNNNNNNNNNNNNNNNNNNNNNNNNNNNNNNNNNNNNNNNNNNNNNNNNNNNNNNNNNNNNNNNNNNNNNNNNNNNNNNNNNNNNNNNNNNNNNNNNNNNNNNNNNNNNNNNNNNNNNNNNNNNNNNNNNNNNNNNNNNNNNNNNNNNNNNNNNNNNNNNNNNNNNNNNNNNNNNNNNNNNNNNNNNNNNNNNNNNNNNNNNNNNNNNNNNNNNNNNNNNNNNNNNNNNNNNNNNNNNNNNNNNNNNNNNNNNNNNNNNNNNNNNNNNNNNNNNNNNNNNNNNNNNNNNNNNNNNNNNNNNNNNNNNNNNNNNNNNNNNNNNNNNNNNNNNNNNNNNNNNNNNNNNNNNNNNNNNNNNNNNNNNNNNNNNNNNNNNNNNNNNNNNNNNNNNNNNNNNNNNNNNNNNNNNNNNNNNNNNNNNNNNNNNNNNNNNNNNNNNNNNNNNNNNNNNNNNNNNNNNNNNNNNNNNNNNNNNNNNNNNNNNNNNNNNNNNNNNNNNNNNNNNNNNNNNNNNNNNNNNNNNNNNNNNNNNNNNNNNNNNNNNNNNNNNNNNNNNNNNNNNNNNNNNNNNNNNNNNNNNNNNNNNNNNNNNNNNNNNNNNNNNNNNNNNNNNNNNNNNNNNNNNNNNNNNNNNNNNNNNNNNNNNNNNNNNNNNNNNNNNNNNNNNNNNNNNNNNNNNNNNNNNNNNNNNNNNNNNNNNNNNNNNNNNNNNNNNNNNNNNNNNNNNNNNNNNNNNNNNNNNNNNNNNNNNNNNNNNNNNNNNNNNNNNNNNNNNNNNNNNNNNNNNNNNNNNNNNNNNNNNNNNNNNNNNNNNNNNNNNNNNNNNNNNNNNNNNNNNNNNNNNNNNNNNNNNNNNNNNNNNNNNNNNNNNNNNNNNNNNNNNNNNNNNNNNNNNNNNNNNNNNNNNNNNNNNNNNNNNNNNNNNNNNNNNNNNNNNNNNNNNNNNNNNNNNNNNNNNNNNNNNNNNNNNNNNNNNNNNNNNNNNNNNNNNNNNNNNNNNNNNNNNNNNNNNNNNNNNNNNNNNNNNNNNNNNNNNNNNNNNNNNNNNNNNNNNNNNNNNNNNNNNNNNNNNNNNNNNNNNNNNNNNNNNNNNNNNNNNNNNNNNNNNNNNNNNNNNNNNNNNNNNNNNNNNNNNNNNNNNNNNNNNNNNNNNNNNNNNNNNNNNNNNNNNNNNNNNNNNNNNNNNNNNNNNNNNNNNNNNNNNNNNNNNNNNNNNNNNNNNNNNNNNNNNNNNNNNNNNNNNNNNNNNNNNNNNNNNNNNNNNNNNNNNNNNNNNNNNNNNNNNNNNNNNNNNNNNNNNNNNNNNNNNNNNNNNNNNNNNNNNNNNNNNNNNNNNNNNNNNNNNNNNNNNNNNNNNNNNNNNNNNNNNNNNNNNNNNNNNNNNNNNNNNNNNNNNNNNNNNNNNNNNNNNNNNNNNNNNNNNNNNNNNNNNNNNNNNNNNNNNNNNNNNNNAUGCCUUGGCCAGGAAUGGUACGAGCUCGACAUAUCUACACAGGACUAAAAGCAAAGCUGUGAGUGACAAAACCAUCACCUCGAACAUAACAGCUGGAAACUAAAUUUGAAGGAAGAAACCAGCUUACUGUCGAUCUUGCUGCAGACCUUGCAAAUUCCCCUCUUCCCUGGUGCCACUUUAAGAAACUCUUUGGAACAAUCCCGAGAGUGGCCUCAUUGCGUUACUAGCCUUCCCAGAGCUAUCCAGCUCCAACCCAAGAAAUUUUUCUUUUCUUGCGGAGUGCUGGACCUCGUCAACUUCUCCCUGAUUUCGAGGAAUGCGAGGCAUAUUUUUCUUUAUGAGCUCUCUCCAGCGGAUUGAUUACGAGGGGCUAUGCAUGCAAAGCGUCCCAGGAGAGAAAGCUGAUGGAAGAAACUCUUGCUGGACGACUUGGACUGGUGGGGAGAGAACGAGAUUGGACACAUGAUGCUCGACGGACGGCGAGAAGAUUAAAUCCUGGAAGCAGAGAGUGAAAGCUGGGAAAAAUCAAGGGACAGAAGCCAGUGAAAUUCCGCUUCCAAUUGCUUCGAAACUCUGGUUGAAUCCGAGAAUUUCUGGCUCCUCGCUCCUCAAAUCAGUGGAGAGCAUAGAACAAAUUUUAUAAUAUUGAAAUUGUUUUGUAUAGGGUUUGUGAUUGUAAAAGAACUUCUCGAGCAGAGCGAGAUGGUGGCGGUGGACGUUGAGCGGUAUGUUGAGCUCAAGCGCAUGAUCGACGACUUGGCGAUCGAGGCUGGUAACAAUAGGAGCAUCCGGGUGAAACAAUACGAUAGCUUCGACUUCGCGGACUAUGAUCACUGGGCCGAGACCAACAACAAGAGGGCGCUCAGGCCGGACUGCCAUUACAUGGAGGACGAGGUGGCGUUGGAUCCUCCCCAUGCCGACCGGAUCACGCGGAUGGACUUCACAAGGCAACUGGCGCUUCAGCAACAACAAGCUGGGCCACCGAGCAAGAGAGCUCGCCACUGAUCGUCGAAUCAUCCCCUGGAGUGAUGAUCGAAAACAAUCUUGUAUCACAAGCUCCAACAAACGUGUGAACAAAUCAAGCUCCUGCCAAGGAGCACAAACUUUUGUUGUUUGUACUUCAUAUACCUGGCAAUGAAGAGAUCUUUCCAGUUCUAUGAGCCGUAGUGGCGUUCCAUCUCGUGGAAUAUGGCCGUGAGUCAUUUGGGUCUUCCUUUAGCUAAUAAGCCCUAGCUAGAGCUACAUUAUGAGCGAAGGAAACGUUGCUGCGUUGUUAGCUGCCAGGGUAUGCCGUAUUAUUGGUGCAAAGAAAAUGUGUACAAGUGCUCCAGUGGUGCCUGAUCAAGAACAUCAAUACUCAAAAUCUAUACUGAUGAGUUCAACCUCUAAGGAAAAAACGUUUGUUUUGUUUUUUUGAAAAAAACAAUGCGCCUACUCCCUCUUCUCAACUUUGUGAUUGAGGAUAAUGGCUUUUCAAUGGUUCUUCUUUUCUUCUUUUCCUUGUUUCUCAUCGAAUGCUUGUGUUCUUGCUCCCGCUUCACCACUGCCCUUGCAAGUGAAAAACAACCAAACUACUGAAGGAACUGUUGUGUGCAUCAUGUUUUCUUCGAAUCAAAGUACUAUUCUUACGCUCUCUCUGGUUCUACUUGCGAGAACAAACAUGAAUUUAGAGACGAGUCGUUUAAAAUGAGUUCUUUGGANNNNNNNNNNNNNNNNNNNNNNNNNNNNNNNNNNNNNNNNNNNNNNNNNNNNNNNNNNNNNNNNNNNNNNNNNNNNNNNNNNNNNNNNNNNNNNNNNNNNNNNNNNNNNNNNNNNNNNNNNNNNNNNNNNNNNNNNNNNNNNNNNNNNNNNNNNNNNNNNNNNNNNNNNNNNNNNNNNNNNNNNNNNNNNNNNNNNNNNNNNNNNNNNNNNNNNNNNNNNNNNNNNNNNNNNNNNNNNNNNNNNNNNNNNNNNNNNNNNNNNNNNNNNNNNNNNNNNNNNNNNNNNNNNNNNNNNNNNNNNNNNNNNNNNNNNNNNNNNNNNNNNNNNNNNNNNNNNNNNNNNNNNNNNNNNNNNNNNNNNNNNNNNNNNNNNNNNNNNNNNNNNNNNNNNNNNNNNNNNNNNNNNNNNNNNNNNNNNNNNNNNNNNNNNNNNNNNNNNNNNNNNNNNNNNNNNNNNNNNNNNNNNNNNNNNNNNNNNNNNNNNNNNNNNNNNNNNNNNNNNNNNNNNNNNNNNNNNNNNNNNNNNNNNNNNNNNNNNNNNNNNNNNNNNNNNNNNNNNNNNNNNNNNNNNNNNNNNNNNNNNNNNNNNNNNNNNNNNNNNNNNNNNNNNNNNNNNNNNNNNNNNNNNNNNNNNNNNNNNNNNNNNNNNNNNNNNNNNNNNNNNNNNNNNNNNNNNNNNNNNNNNNNNNNNNNNNNNNNNNNNNNNNNNNNNNNNNNNNNNNNNNNNNNNNNNNNNNNNNNNNNNNNNNNNNNNNNNNNNNNNNNNNNNNNNNNNNNNNNNNNNNNNNNNNNNNNNNNNNNNNNNNNNNNNNNNNNNNNNNNNNNNNNNNNNNNNNNNNNNNNNNNNNNNNNNNNNNNNNNNNNNNNNNNNNNNNNNNNNNNNNNNNNNNNNNNNNNNNNNNNNNNNNNNNNNNNNNNNNNNNNNNNNNNNNNNNNNNNNNNNNNNNNNNNNNNNNNNNNNNNNNNNNNNNNNNNNNNNNNNNNNNNNNNNNNNNNNNNNNNNNNNNNNNNNNNNNNNNNNNNNCUCGCUAGACUCUUUGGGACAACUUUUGGACGUGCUAGCCUCCACUGCAUUGAUCACAAACAAGCUCCCCAUUGCACUACUUGUUGAUGGAUCCUAGGUUAUAUACAAACUGAAAAGGGUUGAGACAAAAGGGAGGCAUAUAUAGCUUUUAGUACGAAUAUUCUUUAUUUUAUUCUGGUCUAAGCUGUUUUGCGUUCAUGUCUUAAGAAAAAAAAUUAUAAUAAUAAAAACAUAAAGAGAAAUAAAAAAUAUAUUAUGAUUUAAUAUUUGAGCUUUUAUCCUCAUUGAAAUGCCACAUCCACUUGCAUGGUUUCCUAGCUUGCUACUCCAAAGGUUCUAGGCAUUAUAAAAUGAUUAGAAAAUCAAUGCUAAAGUAAAGAUAAAUCUUUUUAGGUAUAUCUUGAAAGUAAAAUUGAAUUGUUUGGCUAUGAGGUAUAAAAUCCUAAACUUCCCUUCUAACAUUAUAGGUAUUAAUAUAAACUUACUUCAAGGAUUAUUAGUAUUAAAAAUAUUAGUUAGGAUUUUAAUAAUUGACAGCAAAAAGCAAUAUAAGUUUAAACAAGAAAAAUAUAAAAGAAAUGUUACUUACAAUGCUUACAGAAAUAUGGCAACGAAUAUGUGAUUUCGCAUGGAAGCAUUAUAUAUUUACACAUGUGUGAAUUUAUUUUUUUGUUUUGAGUUACAUGCAAAAAUAUUAUGCAUACAAUCACUUUUCAAUUGGUAUAUAAGCAAUCAAAAUGCCAUUGUGUUGUCAUGAGAUAUGUUAUAUAUGCAUGGGGCAUAACAACUCAUAUUACUAUAUACACAUCAUGCCAUAUCAUUUUAGACAAUAUAACAUCACUGCAAUUUAGCAAGGGUUUUUUUUCUCGUUCUUGUGAGUGCAAAUUUAUGAUGAGUUAAUUGUGAUCAUUUCUCUCCUCUCAUUUCUCUUAGUUAUAAUCCAUUUUUCAUGGUUAUUACUCAUUUCUCACAACUAUAGCUUAUUUUUUGCAAUUUUGGCUCAUUUCUCACAACUUAAAAGUGUUAUGCACCUUAAUAUAUUUAUUGCACCUCUCAUUUUUUGUAAUCUAUUUGCAGUAUAACACUUUAACUUAGUGCUAUAAUAAAUGUGAUCGAUUGGAGUGUAAUGUGCAAUCAAUUGGAGUGCAAUGGUGAGUGCAAUCUAUUGGAGUGUGGUGGUAAGUGUAAUUAAUUGAAGCAUAAUGAUGAGCUCAAUCAAUUGGAAUAUAAAGGCAAAAUAAUUAUUUAGUUUUUUCUCAAUUUUGUAACUUUCUCUAGCAUUCACUCACAUAAAAGUUCCUUCAUUUCUUCAUUUGUUGCAAAACUAUUAACUUACAAAGUAUUUUUCAUUACCUUUAUCAAAGAGUGUUUAAAGAGCCUAUAAUAUUUUAAAAUCUAACUUGCACAUUUAAAAAAUAUCACCCAAAAACUUAACCCUAUUGACAUGUAAAAAUAAAAUCUAACAUAGGAUGCAAAAAAUUAUAUAUAUAGCAUUAUUUUAUGAGUCACACACGUGUUACAAUAAUUUAAAUACACAUGUGUUUUAUUUUCAUAUAUUUUACAAAUGUGAAAGAUAUUUUACUAAGUUAUCUAUCCUAGGUACAUCUCCUAUCUUGGGAGGUGUACCUCCCCUCAAAAUACUUCAAAAUUUAAUAGUGUAAAGAUAUUAAAUGAAAAUAUAUUAAAAUGUAAACAUGAUAAUUUUAAAACAAUUAACUAAAACUUUAGAAAUAAUAUAGUAAAUUGUUAUUAAAUCAUCUCUUCUAAUAAAAAAGUAUGCUUUAAAUUUUUAUAAAAAAUUCUUUAACAUGCUCAGAUAAUAAUAAUUAUUUAAAUUUUAAUCAUAAUUUUCAGUGGCAAAUAGAUCAUUUUCAAGUUUUGGAUCAAAUUUUCAUCCACCCUAGAAGGGAGUGGCAUCGUAGAGAGGAAAUGCCAGGUUGAGGAUCUUCCUCAGCUCCUCCUUGGACACUUUAGCCUUGAGCGAUCCAGCGGAGCUCCCCUCCACGAUUGAUCCGGGCAAGCCCAGCACGCUCCUACACAUGCGCUGGAACUUGCUCCCCUGCAUCUUGAAGCUCAUCCCAAGCUCCUCGGACUUGGCUGCCGACCUCGUCUUUUUGAGCACCAGCACCACCACUGGCUCGUGGCGCUGCUGCUGCCGCUCUAUUGACUGCUAUUAACUGGGCAUUGACUGGGCCGUUAGCUCGCCUGCUCUGUGUGAUCCUCUUCUUCCUGUGCUCCUUUUUGAGCAGCAAUAAGGAGAGCCUGGCUAUGUCGGGGAUAUGCGUGGAGGGGCAAUUCCUGUGCACCUUCACAAGCGACUAGGCGUGAUGGGACUAUUGUUAUAAGUGGCACUACAUCAAAGGCAACAGUGAGAUUUGCAGCACUGGAGUUUGCCAUCACCUCAAAUGCAAUUGUAUCGCCCCUGCAGCUGAAUCGCGUAGUAAAAUCCUGUUACUCCAAAGUCUCAAUUGUUAAAAGUUUAUUAUAUAAGCACACUUACCAGAGAGAAGAAUAGUAAUUGGCACACAACAGUUACUUCAAUAGUUUGGUUGUUUUUCACUUGCAAGGGCAUUCGAUGAGAAACAAAGAAAAGAAGAACAUUGAAAAGAGAUUCUCCUCAAUCACAAAGUUGAGAAGAGGAAGUAGAAAUUCGUUUUUUCCUCUCUUAACCUGUCCUCCACGUCUUCCAUAAUUCCUAACUGAUGUUCCACAUUUCAUAAUCUCUGUCCCAUAUCUUAGCAAUUGAGUAUUGAUGUUCUUGAUCAAGCCCCCCAAGGUCACUGGAGCGCUUCUACACAUUUUCUUUGCACCAAUAAUACGGCAUAUCUUGGCAACUAACAACGCAGCAUCGUUUCCUUCGCUCGUAACAUAGCUCUAGCUAGGGCUAAAGGAAGACUCACGGCCAUACUGAGAUGGAACGCCACUAAAGCUCAAACACUAGAACUGGAAAGAUCUCUUCAUUGCCAGGUAUAUGAAGUACAAACAACAAAGGUUUUGUGCUCCUAGUUUUAGUAAUGCUUGUGAUACAAGAUUGUGUUCGAUCAUCCCCCAAGAGGAUGAUUCGACGAUCAGUGGCGAGCUCUCUUGCUCGGCAGCCCGGCUUGUUGUUGCUGAAGCGCCAGUUGCCUUGUGAAGUAGUUCACCUCCUUAGCCAGUCGCCUCCUGUUCGCUUCCUCCUCUUGCUGGAGCGCCACGGCCACCAUCCGCGUGAUCCGGUCGGCACGGGGAGGAUCCAACGCCACCUCGUCCUCCAUGUAAUGGCAGUCCGGACUGAGCGCCCUCUUGUUGUUGGUCUCGGCCCAGUGAUCAUAGUCCUCAAAGUCGAAGCUAUCGUAUUGUUUCACCCGGAUGCUCCUAUUGUUACCAGCCUCGAUCACCAAGUCGUCAAUCAUGCGCUUGAGCUCAACAUACCGCUCAACGUCCACCGCCACCAUCUUCGAUCUGCUCCGCUCGUGAGAAGUUCUUCUGGACUCCUUUUUACAAUCAUUUUUUCGCCAAAUUAUUCUUUCAUCAUCUUUAAGAUAAAAAAAAGGUUUUAACCAGCCUACUGAAAUAUUUUAAAUUUGUUUUAUGGAGCUCCGCCGAUUUGAAGAGCUAGGAGCGAGGAGCCAGAAAUUCGUGGAUUCAACCAGAGUUUCGAAGACUUGUUUGGCCCCUGAAUUUUCCCAUCUUUCACUGAGCAUCAACUGUCUGAUUCCAGGAUUUAACCUCGUCAUCAUCAACGCGUCCAAUCCCGUCCUCUCAGUCCAGCAAGAGUUUCUUCCACCAGCUGGGACGCUUUGCAUGUAUAGCCCCUGGUAAUUAAUCCGCUGGAGAAAGCUCCCACGAAAAUUCGCCUUGCAUGUGCGCGAAGAUGCUGCUGCGGGGUUAAAAGGAGACUGCAUAAACAUGCACACACUUGUCAAUUACAAAAUCAUGCAAGGAGAGUAGGGGAGAAAAACAAGAACAGUACACACACACCGAAACAAGAAACACCAGGGAAAAAAAAAGGUGGCAGCCACACCUCCAAUGAUGUCCUCUAGAUAUGUAAUUGUACAUGGCACCCUCGAUCUCGUGCAGGGCGCUUCAUCCGCAUGGGAGGCAGGACAAUGGUCAUCAGAUCAAGCCUUUUCCACGAAUGCCUGCCAGUCUUCGUAACCUUUGGCUGACCGUCUUCAAUCACGUAGUCCCUCAGCAGCUGUAGUUGCGACAGCGUUGUGUGGGCAGACAUGAACGAAGACUGGUGUGGUACAGGGUGCGCCAUCUAUAACCACGGCGUUGGGGCUUUCAGGCAUGGCCUCCUGGCGUACAACAAAAAGCUUUCAACAAAAUCUUUGUGCCCAUAUGAAACAUUUCAAGGAAAGAUGUGUAAUUCAAUAGUGAGAAGGAAAAGAAAAGACAAGUCCUAAGCAAGAGAAAAAUUGCUCAAACACAGCAGCCACGGGCAUUGCAGCAGAAGGCCCAGCUCUGGAAUGUAGGAGUCCACAAUGUCAAGCCUCCGCCUCACGAGCCUCAAGUUGGGCCUGAAGGUGACGAAGGACAUAUGGUUGUUCACAACAGUGAAUGUCCGAUCACUUGUUGAGAGGAGGCGUAGUCCUCAAAGAGCUCCCCACGCGCAGAAGAAAAGUCAAUCUGGGCGAGAUUGGCCAGGGAAGCAUCCAUCUUCCCGGAUGCGAAGACCUUGCUUGUAAACAUAGUGCGGAUGUACCUGGAAGCAAAAGCUAUCGUCGGAGCGAGAAUUUUGGACGGCUGUAGAAAACUUUGUCCGCCAACUCCUCACGCCCCGUCACCAGGAAGCUCGACACUGCUCUUUGCUGUCUAUCCGUCACAGUGCCCAAAUCCUGGAAAAAAUGCGGAGCUAUGCCAACACAGACGUAAAGCCGUGCCAGGAAAUGUGCUGCUGAGAAAUCUCCGGCCGUAAGUGCUCCUGAAAUUCCCCGCCUGGUGCUUCCUCUUGAACGCUUUCAACAGCUCCGAAGGCUUCCAGGCAUCCAUAUGGAAAGUCACAAACCGGCCUCGUCCAUUGUCGCCUCAGCGGCAUCAGCACCAUUCAUCCGGGAUGGACUUGUAAAGAGGACCGUCCUUCCUCGCGUGCCUCUAUAUCCUUGAAAGCUAUCGUCCACAAGGAGCCACGUCCCUGCUAAGCUCAACAGGUCUGUCGGAACUUUAUACGAGAACCGGACCUCUCCGCCCGGCGAGAUGAUGAUGAAGGCCCUGGCGUCCGCAAACAGUUGCACUAAAACGUAUGCUCCAGCUAGUUCCGCGUCGCUGAGGAGCUCGCGAACGAAGUACCAGAUGCAGCACGACUUUCCUAUCCCCGGAUUACCGGAGAUGUGCGCGAAGGUGCUGCGGGCGUGUCUCAGCUGACGAUAGAUCUUCUCGUAAGACUUGCGAACGAGGAUGUCGGCAGGGUUGGCUGUGAGCUCGGCUAUGACGGCAGGGAGCCUCAGAAAUCCUUCCGCAUCCCGACCCCUGCACAGGUGCGAGCUGGUGUCCGGCGGGAAAAUCUUGUCCUUGGCAAAAGGGACUGCGUAAACACGCACACACUUGUCAAAAUUACAAAUCAUGGAAGAGCAGAGGGAACAUACACACAACGAAAACAAAAAGACUGUAUUGAAAUUCCUGAGAUACAUCUCCACUCCAGGAGCUAGGACAAAGUCAGGGCAGCACUGGCGCUUCAGCCACUUGCGGAUGGCAAUCUCAUGCGGCACAUUAAUUAACAACCGUGAGCAUGAACUUCUCACGAGCAGAGCAGAUUGAAGAUGAUGGCGGUGGACGUUGGGCGGUAUGUUUCGACGACUUGGCGACGAUAGUUUCGACUUUGCGGACUAUGAUCACUGGGCCGAGACCAACAACCAGAAGGCGCAGGCAAUCCCAUCCUCUCACUUGCACUCGAUUGAGUAUGAUCAGCAGCAUCACCACCACCAAAUCAGACCACUGUUUUGAUUCUCUGCUUUCACUUCCUCGACCAAUUCUACCCUGGAAAACAGUUUGAGCGAUGGAAAAAAAAGCGAGGCCUAGAAAACACUUCCGCUUCGUCGUGAAGAUGCUGGUUAGUAUCUCAUCGGAAAGGGAGGAGCGAUUCCAAUCUUGACCUCGAACAUCAAACGCUUCUCUUUGUCCUCCAGUGGAGGAACCAUUCUUUUGGUCACGUGAGAAUCCGUGACGUCGAUGCCUUGGCCAGGAAUGGUACGAGCUCGACAUAUCUACACAGGACUAAAAGCAAAGCUGUGAGUGACAAAACCAUCACCUCGAACAUAACACUGGAAAACUAAAUUUGAAGGAAGAAAACCAGCUUACUGUCGAUCUUGCUGCAGACCUUGCAAAUUCCCUCUUCCUGGUGCCACUUAAGAAACUCUUGGAACAAAUCCGAGAGUGGCCUCAUUGCGUUACUAGCCUUCCCAGAGCUAUCCAGCUCCAACCCAAGAAAUUUUUCUUUCUUGCGGAGUGCUGGACCUCGUCAACUUCUCCCUGAUUUCGAGGAAUGCGAGGCAAAUUUUCUUAGGAGCUUUCUCCAGCGGAUUGAUUACGAGGGGCUAUGCAUGCAAAGCGUCCCAGGAGAGAAAGCUGAUGGAAGAAACUCUUGCUGGACGACUUGGACUGGUGGGGAGAGAACGAGAUUGGACACAUGAUGCUCGACGGACGGCAAGAAGAUUAAAUCCUGGAAGCAGAGAGUUGACGCCAUCAACGAGCUCAGUGAAAGCUGGGAAAAAUCAAGGGACAGAAGCGAGUGAAAUUCCGCUUCCAAUUGCUUCGAAACUCUGGUUGAAUCCGAGAAUUUCUGGCUCCUCGCUCCUCAAAUCAGUGGAGAGCAUAAAACAAAUUUUAAAAUAUUGAAAUUGUUUUGUAUAGGGUUUGUGAUUGUAAAAGGGAGACUACGAGCAGAGCAGAUCGGAGAUGGUGGCGGUGGACGUUGAGCGGUAUGUUGAGCUCAAGCGCAUGAUCGACGACUUGGCGAUCGAGGCUGGUAACAAUAGGAGCAUCCGGGUGAAACAAUACGACAGCUUCGACUUCGCGGACUAUGAUCACUGGGCCGAGACCAACAACAAGAGGGCGCUCAGGCCGGACUGCCAUUACAUGGAGGACGAGGUGGCGUUGGAUCCUCCCCAUGCCGACCGGAUCACGCGGAUGGUGGCCGUGGCGCUCCAGCAAGAGGAGGAAGACAACAGGAGGCAACUGGCUAAGGAGGUGAACCACUUCACAAGGCAACUGGCGCUUCAGCAACAACAAGCCGGGCCACCGAGCAAGAGAGCCCGCCACUGAUUGUCGAAUCAUCCCUUGGAGGGAUGAUCGAAAACAAUCUUGUAUCACAAGCUCCAACAAACGUGUGAACAAAGCAAGCUCCUACCAAGGACAAAUUUUUGUUGUUUGUACUUCCAUAUACCUGGCAAUGAAGAGAUCUUUCGAGUUCUAUGAGCUUUAGUGGCGUUCCAUCUCGCAGAAUAUGGCCGUGAGUCAUUUGGGCCUUCCUUUAGCUAAUAAGCCCUAGCUAGAGCUACAUUACGAGCGAAGGAAACGUUGCUGCGUUGUUAGCUGCCAGGGUAUGCCGUAUUAUUGGUGCAAAGAAAAUGUGUACAAGUGCUCCAGUGACCUUGGAGGGCCUGAUCAAGAACAUCAAUACUCAAUUGCUAGAUAUAGAAGAGAGAUUAGGACAGAGAUUAUCAGUUAGGAAUCUGGAAGAGAGGGUGGAUGACAGGUUAAGAGCGGUGGAAGACAAGCCUUAGGCAACCAGAUGAGACGGGAAAUUGACCUCAAGUAAUGGCAAAGUCUAUACUGAUGAAUUCAACGUCUAAAAAAGGUAAGGAAAAAACGUUUGGUUAGUUUUUUUGAAAAAAAACAAUGCGCCUACUCCCUCCUCAACUUUUUGAUUGAGGAGAAUGGCUUUUCAAUGUUCUUCUUUUCCUUUUUUAUCAUCGAAUGCUUGUGUUCUCGCUCCUGCUUCACCACUGCCCUUGCAAGUGAAAAACAACCAAACCACUGAAGUAACUGUUGUGUCAAUCAUGUUUUCUUCGAAUCGAAGUACUAUUCUUACGCUCUCUCUGGUUCCACUUGCGAGAACAAACAUGAAUUUAGAGACGAGUCGUUUAACAUGAGUUCUUUGGAAGUGUGCUUACGAACUUUUAAGAACAGAUUAAGGGAAUAGAGACUUUGGAGUAACAGGAUUUUACCAUGCAAUUCAGCUGCAGGGUUUACUUGAGGUGAUGGCAAACUCCAGUGUUGCAAAUCUCACACUUGCUGCCUUCACAGGAAGCGCCCCUCCACACAUAUCCCCGCCAUAGCCAGGCUCUCCUUGUUGACCACUCCAGGUUGACGAGCAAGUCCAUGAGGUGAGCUUAACCAUUUUGGAGAAUAUAUAUUCCAUUUCCCACUAAGGCUGUGGGUGGUAAUGUUUUUCACAGGGUUAGUAGCCUCACGAACUGUUGUUGAUUUCUUCGAACAUGGCAUGGUUUAGAUGCUCUAAGACGAAAUGGAAACAUCGCUUCUUUUCGUCCAAGAGGAGAAACGAAGAACGAACAAUAUGGAAAGUACCUGAGGAAAAUGUCUGAGAAAAGAAUGAUAAAGAAUGGCUUUCCAAUGUCUGAAAGAUUGGAAUACUUGAGUAACUCAUAAGCUCCACCUUUAAAGUUAGAAGUUAAAACACAACAGCCAAGAGUGGCAAAUCCAUUUACUUACUUGGACUGGACUGAGUAUGAUCAGCACCAUCAACACCACCGAAUCAGACGAGACGCUUGCAAAGUUGCUUCGAUUCUCUGCUCUGACUUCCUCGACCAAUUCUAGCCUAGAAAAACAACUUGAGCGAAGAACAAAGAAGCAAAGCCUGGAAACCAUACGCUUCGUCGUGAAGAUGCUGCGGUAGUUUAGUUUCUCAUCGGAAAUGGGGAGGAGCGAUUCCAAUCCUGACCUCGAACAUCAAACGCUUCUCUUCGUCCUCCAGUGGAGGAACCAUUCCUUUGGUCACUUGAGAAUCCGUCACGUUGAAUGCCCUGGCCAGGAAUGGUACGAGCUCGACAUGUCUAAACAGGACUAAAAGCAAAACUGUGAGUGACAGAACCACAAGGAGCACAGAAGCUACUGCGCAUGAAAGAAGAGGAGCUUAAGUUCCUUCGGUCGGAGCUGGAUAGCUCUGGGAAGGCUAGGAAAGCUUCAAGAAGGGAACGAGCACGCAGCCAACGAAGUUUUCAAAAUGAGGCACGCAGGAAACUUCACAUAUAAUAAAUUUGAAGGAAAGAAACUCGAUCUUACCCAGGAACUUGCAAACCCCCUCUCGACCUUGUUUUCCUGGUGCCACUUAAGAGGCUCUUGGAACAAUCCUAUCUCCGGACCUCCUUCAGGCAUAUGCCCAGAGGAGUCUUUGACAGCCAAGGACGUGGUCGCGUGGACGGCUAUGGUGAAUGCCUACGCAGAGAACGGUGUUGUGGACCUCGUGCAAUGUAUGUUCGAGAAUAGACCCGUGAGGAACGUGGUGUCGUGGAAUUCCAUGAGUUUUGCAUAUACCCAGAGCGGGCAUUGCAGUCAAGACAUGGAACUCUUUCAAAUCAUGCCUGCUCACAACGAGUACACGUGGAAGGUUAUGACUCCUCGCUAGGGUCUCAGUGUCAACACGGGCAAGGCUAUGGUUGUGUUCCAGAGCGUCGGCGCAAGAACGCUAGCUGCCUAGAACGCUCUAAUCUCGGCAUUUGCCCAGGAUGGGGAUUUUUCCAUAGUGAAAGAUCCCUUUGACGCAAUGCCUGCUCGCAAUAUUGUGUCGUGUAAGAAACGUGAUUUCCUGGACAAGUAUUCUGAAAAGUUACGCGGAUGCAUGGAACCUUAACGAGGCGAAGCGACUAUGCCAGAGCGAAGCUCAAUCACCUGGAGCGUGACGCUUCAAGCAUUUGCAGGG
Molecule: long non-coding RNA, 97166 nt
Filed under: Selaginella moellendorffii
Lineage: Eukaryota; Viridiplantae; Streptophyta; Lycopodiopsida; Selaginellales; Selaginellaceae
Description: long non-coding RNA (SMOE_LNC001167)
Source: RNAcentral